RNAcentral lists this long non-coding RNA (108427 nucleotides) under Capsicum annuum. Its description in RNAcentral is "long non-coding RNA (CANN_LNC013223)". The record is from RNAcentral. Lineage: Eukaryota; Viridiplantae; Streptophyta; Magnoliopsida; Solanales; Solanaceae.
UUUUUUUUUUUUUUAUUGGGUCCCUUCACAUGUUUGUGGGGCGCAAUUUGUAAGAUAAGUGUGUCAUGUAAUAUUUGAUCUCACUAUAAUUCAAAUUUAUAGUGAAGAUUACAAGUUCCUUGAGAUAAUUACCUCUACAUGAUUUUAGGUUUACUUCAUUUUUAAUUGGCUAAUAUAUUUUGGAUGUCGUCGCAUAAAAUUAUUGCCAAAAUUAUCUGCAAUUAUUUCAAGUACUUUGGUUAUGUAUAUUUUCUUCCUAAUAUUGACUAAAAUGCUUUCUUAGCUCUCUCAUAAUCAUAGAAGGAAUUUAGACAAGCAAUAUGUACACAAAUUUGCAGCAGUCUUCUUUAAAUUACAACCUUCAGUGACACAUUUGUAAGAGAAAUAAAUAAAAUAGCAUUCUGACUAUAUUUACCUUAGAAGAACCCAAAAUCUCACACGAGAUCACUAUACAAAAAAGAGAAAUAAAAUAGCAUUCUAAUCAUAUUUACUUCAAAAAGGAUCUAUCUCAUACGAGAUCACUAUACAAGUAAUGAAGAAAUAUUCAGAAGUUCAGUUGGUUGUUGUCACGUUGACCAACCGAAAGCAUGGGAGGGAAAAAAAAACAAAGAAUUUACAUGUUUCAAAUCUAAAACAUAUCAUAGUUUUCAUAGAUUCAAGAAAGUGAAAUGCCUCAUAAUUUCACGCCUCCACGGUUCCCUUCCUCUCCUCCUCUUCAGCUUUUAGCCAGGCAGCCUAUAAGGGAAACACGAGAAAAGUCAUGAGAAGUAGAAAAAGAACAACAAUAUAAGAUGAUCUAGGAUAAAGAUAAUACACUUGCCUUGUCUCUCUGAAGUCUAGACAUAUGAGGACGCAAAGAGUUCCCAAGACUUAAGCCUCCCCAAGCUUCUUGCAACUCCCUCUCCCUUGUAGCUUUCCGAGAAGUUGAAUCUCUUAUCUGAUAAUCAUCCUCGGGCUGACUAGCAGCCAUCUUUUCUCUCUCAAGUCUAGACUUGUGUUUCACCAAAAUCUGAUCCAAACUGGCUUUCCCAAGACUUAAGCCUCCCCAAGCUUCUUGCAACUCCCUCUCCCUUGUCGCUUUCCGAGAAAUUGAAUGUCUUAUCUGAUCAUCGUCCCCGGGCUGACUAGCAGCCAUCUUUUCUCUCUCAAGUCUAGACUUGUGUUUCACCAAAAUCUGAUCCAAACUGCCUUCACUGUGCUGCAAUUGUUUAGCACUUGUGUCCCUUUUCUUUACAUUCAUCAAAUUGUCUUCUUCCUUUGCAUGAAAGGACAUUUUCUCUUUUUCAAGCUUUGAAACAUGCUUCACUAAAAUCUUAUCCAAACCUUCGCUAUCCGUGGCACUAUUAGCUUCAAACUUUCUUUGAGUCCUUUGGAAACGGCAAACUGGCUUUACUAUAAUAUUGUCCAGACUAUCCGGUGAUUCUUUGUUUUCAACCUCGAUUGAUAAUGUGUCUGCUGACUUUGACGGAUGUUCUCCGUUACAAGAAUUUCCUACCGUACUUGUAUCAUGAUUUACAUUCUGGUCAACAUUUUCUUUUCCUACCAGCGAGGUAGUCUCGGACACAUUUGCAGUCGAGUCUGCAGUGUUCUCCCUACUUUUUGCUUCUUGAACUUCCCUUUCAAGUCUGGUCAUAGGUUUCACCAGAUAAUCUUCUAAACUGGGAACUUCUAUUUCAUGUUUCUUUUUUUGACCAGUUGCAACAGUUCCCAAUCUUUUCGAGUUCUUACCCUCAAUUUCACCAAGUUUUUCAUUCUUCCUCUUGGCCUCUUCAAUAUCUUUCUCAAGCUUCGAGGAGUGCUUAACCAGCACGCUGCUCAAGUCAGGAAGCUCAGAUGAAAGCACAUUGCUAUUUGAAGCUUUACACUUCGUUUUUAACAACAUUUCGGAGUUGUUCUUGGCCUCUUCAAUUUCCUUCUCAAAUUUGGAAGAAGAAGGCUUCUUGAGAAUACUUGCUAGGUCAUGGCCUGAAUUUGUGUGGUAUUCCGAAUGAACCAAUGUAUCACCAGAUUUAUCUUGCCUUUGUUCACUUCUUUCCUUGGCUUCAGUCCUGGCAUUUUUGGCUUCUAAUACCUCCCUUUCUAGUCUCGUUAAUCGCUUCACCAGAAACUUAUCCAAGCUUGGAACCUCAGACGAAUGCACAUUGCUAUUUGAAACUUUAGACUUGGUUUUUAACAAUGUUUCGGAGUUGUUCUUUGCCUCUUCAAUUUCCUUCUCUAACUUUGAAGAGGCAGAUUUAUCUUGCCUUUGUUCACUUUUCUUGAGAAUACUAGCCAGAUCAUGGCCUGAAUGUGCGUGGUGGUCUUCUGAAAGAACCUUAUCAGCAGAUUUAUCUUGACUUUGUUCACUUCUUUCCCCAGAUUCACUCCUGGCAUUUUUGGCUUCUAAUACAUCCCUUUCAAAUCUCGUUAACCGCUUAACCAGAAACUUAUCCAGGCUUGGAAGUUCCUCAGCUGUCUUACUUUUCUUUCCAUCCAAAUUAUAGCCCUUAACUGCUACCUCUCCAACAGCAGCAGAACCUGAAAUGUGUGGUUUGCUGUUUUCGGCUUCAGCUAGAGCAGCAUUCAAUCCACACGUUGCAACUAUAGUGGCAAGAGAUGCAAGCUCAUCUUCUUGCAAACAUCUAAGCCUUUCCAGCAUCAUUUCCACGAGAUUGGGCAUAUUAAACUUUUCAUAUGCUUGCUUCUUUUUAUAUUUCCUUUCCUUUACCCCAACAGGUUCUGUCUCUAAAUCUGCGACUUCAGAAGCCGUAUCUGAUUCACAUUCUGAAGAGAACUCAGACACUUCUUGAUGAUUAUCGUCUGUUUCAGGGUUCUGGCUUAUUCUGUGCAGCAGUUCCUUGACUUCAUCUUUGUUCAUGGAAGGGCAAUUAGCAAGCUUACGAAGGGCAGCCUUAACUGCACUUGCUACUUGUUUAUCCACCUCAAAUGCAGUUUCAAACGAUGUUCUAACAGUAUGAGUGGUGGGUCCUCCUUCUCUUGCCGGUGACUUUUCUAUUUUGUAAUGCUUUCGUGAGCAAUCAGGAAUGUCAAACAAGAUUACUCCAAUAGCUGUUGCAGCUUCAAAAGCUUCUGCAGAAAAAUUUUCCGCCUUUAUCAGCAAUUGUUCUGCUUCUUUACAAUCAAUCCUGUAUGACAGAUACAGAAAACUACGUUUUAGACUAACAUAUGAACAAAACUCUAUUCAAUCAAUCAACUAUAUCUCAUCACAAACACGUUACUAUUGGCUAUAUAUAAAUUUUAUAUACCCAAUUCACGCAUUUCACUCCAAUAUCCCAACCACAAACAAGUUGCUAUUGCCUAUAUUAAAUUCACAAUCUAAUUUGCGCAUUUCGCUCCAAUACCAAAUAAUUAGCAAAUCAAUUUACUAAAAUUCACACCUAUGCUUAUACAAACAUACACAAGUCUCCAACCAAAACAACAUACAUCCUAGAGGAUCAGCCUCAACACGUUCAACCCCUAUAUUUACAAUUAGCAAGAACCUGCAGCAUAAGGAAAUUAAAAAAAAAAAAACUUCAAAUACAGAAUACCACUAGUGGAUCGUCAAUCUCCAGAUGUAACAUUAAGUUUAACAACAACUAAACAAUAAUGAACAUUAAUGCUCACUAGCAUAAGUAAUUUAAAAACUGUUUCAAAUAUAGUAUAUCACUAGUGGAACCUCAAUCUCUGGAUCUAACAUAAGUGUAACAACAACACUAAAGACAAAAAUGAAGAUAAGAAUGCUCACCUGGCUGCUUGAAGUAUUCGGCACCAUGAUGCUUCAAUCAGUGCAGCCUUCCGUGUUUCCACAGCUCUUUGAGCAGCUUCUCUUACUGCUAUUUUUUCUCUCAGAACUCUACAAUAAUGGGGAUUAGCAUCCCCCAAUGUCUCAUCAAGGGUUGAGUUCAUUCCAUCCACUUCCUGGAAUUUCAUACAAGGCCAGCAACACUAUCAGUACAUCUAUUGACAAUUGAAAAAAAAAAAAAAGAAUGCACAAGCAUAUAAAUAUACCUGGAGCAUUUUUAUUUUCCUCUUCAAAUAGGAAUCCACUUUCUUGCGAGGGAACCAAUUCAGAGGCGAAGUUUUGCGAUGAGGUGGCUUUCUAAUUUGUGAUCCAGAUUUGUUUAAAGAAACUAAAUUUGACUGUCCACCUUCCUUCACGGCUUUAGCCUGCACUACUCCAAAACACAAAAUGAAAAACCAAAAUUGGAAACCACCAAUUAAAGCAAACAUCUAAUAAAUAUUUCAAAGCAACUAGAUUCGACUAGCCACCUUCUUUGAUUGCCUUGUUCAGCACUAUCUGGAAACAAGACGAAAUACUACCAACGUUAGGCAAUACACCAAUCAAAGUGAACGGUUAUGUGAUUUUGCUUGAAGUAACAAAAUUUUAUUGUUGACCUUCAUUUCCUUGUUGUGCACUCCUAGAAAACAAGAACAUACCCGGUGCAGUCCCACAAAGUGGGGUUUGGAGAGGGUAGAGUAUACGCAAAUCUUACCUCUACCUCACUGGUAGAGAGGCCGUUUUCGAUAAACCCUCGUCUCAAGACAAAACAAUCUAGUAAAAGACGUAAUGGAAGUACAAGAGACAAUAAAUAGUAACAAAAAACAAAUAUUAUCAGAACAAUACUACAACAAAAUAAUACAACACAUAUUAACAGAAAUCGAAAAACAAGAAACUACAAGAGUAAUACUACGACUACUAGUAAAGGCAACAAGACAAUGCACUCCUACAUACUAGUAUGAACACACUCCUACCUUACUAACUUUCUACCCUAAUCCGUGUCCUCCACACCUUCCUAUCUAAGGUCAUGAACAAAAGAAAUUUACACCUUUUAAAGUGCAGGGAAACUUACAUUUCACAACACUUAGUUAGCAACUGAUUUAAUUUAACUCUCAUACAUACUCAAUGAUAAUGAAGUUUUAGUUUUGUCAUUACCGUUACACACCCAGUCACAAAAUCAUAUUUUUUUUAAACCAAUUCGCUAAAGGAUAGAUGACAAUCAAGAUUAAAACAAAAACAAGAACAACAACAUACCCAAUAUAGUCCCUAGAGUGUACGCAGACCUUACCACUACCUUGUCAAGUCGAGAGGCUAUUUCGUAACGCCCCUAGGCCAAAAUCAAAGAUAUUGAAGUUUGCAUUUUGUCAUUACCAGUAUACCCACUCACAAAAUCAUAUUUUUGUUUAAAAUCAAGAUUAACAUGCGGGGAUCAAAUUACUUUCUUUUUUCCCUAAUUAAGACCAAGGUUUUUUUUUUUUUCUUUUUUGGGAAUACCCGAAAAUCAAAGAGACUCACCCAUCUAAGAAACGUAAGCAAACUGAAAAAGUAAAGAAUGGAUAAUGGGUACCUUUCCAAGUUUGGAAGUAGCCGUUGUAGAAGCGGCAGUAGGACUGUUCAUACUUUCGUUGGCCGGCUUCUUUUCAAUACAACCCAUAUCAAAACAACCCAAAUCCAUUCUCCAAAAUAAUAACAAUUGAUGGAAAUUACAAUCUUUUUCUGUAUACUCGUACAAUUUAAAAAGCAAUCAGUCAAAGGGAUGCCUCAACAGUUACUGAAAUCAAUGGAGUAAUUAUUAGCGUUUCUUGAAUCUGAAUUGAAGAAAUUUGUGUUCUGAUUCUCAAAAGAGAAAGAGAGAGUGUAUUGCUUUUGAGUGAAAAAAAAAAAAAAACUAUCCGUUACAAUCGAUCCUUUCGCUCCCAACGGUCUUUUUUUUAUAUAGAUUUUUUUUUUUUGUUCACUUAUUAAUUGUCAUCUAAACAAAUAAAUAAAUGGAUACUCCUUAAUAAUAAAUGAGAAGAGUGUGAGAUUAGUGUUACAAUUUCAUAGUGGUUGUAAUUUUCAUUAAUUUGCAACUAUUCAGAUUUCACUAAUAGAUUGUUUUUUUUUUUUAUUUAUAAAGCGAUUUUUUGAUCAAAUAUCUAAUCAAGAUACAAUGAUAUAUAAAUUAAAAAAAUUAUUUAAUCGAAUUAAUAUACUUUUCCAUGAACUGAACAAGGAGUACUAUAAUUUUGUAUUUUGUUUGCUCUAAGAUUAUUUUUUAAAAACGAUUUAUUAAAUGAGGAAACAUAGCUACGAAACGGAGAUUUUAAAUGAAUGAAAAAAUGGCUAAAAAUUAUGAUUGGGUUAGAAGAGAAAGUCACACCAAAUGGUCAUAAAUGUCCCUAAUGAUGAGAAAUAGAAUAAGUUUUCUGCCCGUUCGAAUUUAAUCACAAGUAUGCACUCAUUAUUAGUAGCCUUAGAUAUUAAAAAUAGAAUAUAUUUUGCUCUUUCUUUAAAUUUAAUCACAAAUAUGCCCUUUACUAUUAAUAGAACGAUUUACAUUUGGCCCUCAUGUGGUAUUCUUUUCUGUUUCCUUCAACCUUUUCCCUUUAUUUAAUAUAGACUAGAUAGAUUGUGUUUGAACAUUAUCAUUGAACCAUGAAUAGUUGAUAGGAUUAUCCAUCCUUCGUUUUAUUACCUAUAUGGUACAUAGUUUUACAAACAUAAGUGCAUCUAAGCAUUUAUAAAUUGGCCCUAGUUUCAUUCUAGAAUUGUAAAUAACAGAUGAUCAGAGCUGGUUUAUGCUACUAAUAAUGCAACCAGAAAGAUGAUACUUUAACUGCAAGUCACAAAAGGAAACCACAGCGCCGACAAUUAGGCACAGCAGUAAAGCUAUGGAAAGGACAUUGAUGAACAAGAGUCGAGAUUAUCAUAACAGAGAAGAAGAUAUUCACAAUGAGUGGAAUCGAAUCAGGAAGUAACAAACCAAGAGGAUCUGACUUAUGAUAAACUAUAAACUUUCCUCCUCCUUUAUCCGGGGCUAGGGACUCAAGCACAGGCAGACUUAAAAUUUUGGUUUUUGCUCUUUAGGUGAGGACCAGCAAAACGUAACAAUAAAUGUCCAGAGAAACAUAACAAUGGCAAACAUUUUCUGUGCUUGGUUUAAAGGAGCUGGUCCUGGCAGAUCAUUUCUUGUUGCCAGCAUCUCCAACCUUCAUCUGCAAAAUUCAACCAACGAGAAAAUCAGAACCAGAAUAAAUGAAGUCUCUCAAUGUUGUAGCAGCUGAAAACCAUUACCCUUCUUGACACCGCGUACUAUCUGAGCUCUGCGCUUCCACUCCUUCAUCUGCUUCAUAGACUUCUCAACCUUUGUGUCUUAUCCAUUCUGCAAUAAUUGUUCAAUCCUCGAAGAAAUUAGCCAAAAAAAGUACAGCCCCAGUCCAUUCAUUAAGCCUGAUUUCAACGCUAAAGGUGCACUAGACAUAAUGGAGUAAGAAAACUAAAACAUUUACAUUACUUGAAGAUAGAGUACAAAAACAUGAACUUAUUUGCCAAUACCGACAGGAAGAUGAAAAACAGUUCAUAAUGAAGCAAAACAGUUACCUCAUGAGCACCAUUCUCUAGCAUUUUGGAACAUCCGCAACCAGGGGCUUGGACCUUUCUUUUCCACAUCCCAAUUCUUAGGAUACCACGGGAACUGCCACAUCAAGAAGCAGCGUUCGGGAUGAGGCAUCAAUGCAAGAUGCCUCCCAUCCGGAGAACAAAUUGCCGCCACACCCAAGGGAGAGCCAUUAAGAUUGAAAGGAUAUACAUCCGUUGGUCUGCCAUCAUCAUCAAAAUAUUUCACUGGUGCCAAGUUUGAGCCAAGAAUAUGAUUGAAAAUGCUAUCAUCAGGGAAAUAAGCUCUUCCUUCACCAUGAGCAGCCCAAACACCCAGCGUACUACCUUCCAUGCCUUUGAACAUUAUGGACGGUGAUUCUUCUAUUGUCACACUCGUGAAGCGGCACUCAAAUCUUCCUGACUCGUUAUGUACAAACCUUGGCUGUGAUGGGUCCCCGCCAGCACCCAAAACACCUCCCACUUGGGGCCCCGGAACCCAACCCAACAGAGCCAUAAGUUGGCACCCGUUGCAAACUCCGAGGCUGAAAGUGUCUGGACGGUUGUAAAAUGCCUGAAAUUGGUUUAAAAGAGGCUGAUUAAAGCGAAUGGAUGCUGCCCAACCUUUUGCAGAAUCGAGUACAUCAGCAUAACUAAAACCUCCAACAAACACAAUUCCUCUAAAUUCAUCAAGCGUGAUAUCUCCAUUGAGAAGGUCUGACAUUGCAACAUCCCAUGGUUCAAAUCCAGCAGCAUAAAAAGCUGCAGCCAUUUCUCUAUCACCGUUGCUGCCUUCCUCCCGGAUAACUGCAACCUUUGGCUUUGAAACAGCAGUCAUAUACUUAUCAUCAGUAAAUGUAGGUGUGAAGGAUAGUUUCCAGGAUGGUUCACGCCGAUUCUUCAAUCCUUCCUUUUCUAAUUCUACACAUGAAGCCAGUCUUUGGAACUUUUCCAGUUGAAAGCUGGUGUCUUCCCACAUAUCCCUGAGCACAGAAGUUUUCUCAUUCAAAUGUGUAAUCCCGUCAAUCCUAAAUUCAACUAUUGGAGAUGAACUAACUUGACCAAUGAUAUCAGCUGAAACAGCACCAUGGCGGAGCCUUUCCAGAACUAAAUCCAAGUUCUUCCUUUGAACUUCAAUGAGAAGGCCAAGCUCCUCUGCAAAAAGUGUUUGGGCUACACUACUCCCUAAAGAAGCUAAAUCUAAGUUAAUGCCACAGUUCCCUGCAAAAGCCAUUUCAAGGGCAGCCACUACAAGUCCUCCAUCACUGAUAUCAUGACCGGCAGAUAUCAGCUCAUCAGAAAUUAGAUUCUGAACCUCAUUAAAAACAGUUUUAAGAUAAGAGACAUCAUCCAAAUCAGGAUUUUCAUCCCCAAUUUGAUAUUAAACCUGGGCAAGGGCAGAUCCACCAAGUCUCCGUUUCCCUUUGGCCAAGUCAAUGUGCAGCAGUACACCAUCAUCUCCAAGCUUCAAGUCUGGCGCAACUGUUUUAGUUAUAUCAGGACAUGUCACAUAAGUACUGAUGACUAGAUUCCCUGGAGCUUUAACAACCUCCCCAGAUGCUUGGGCUGCCAUGGAAAGACUAUCUUUCCCCCCAUCAAUUGCAAUUCCAAGUUCAAUCAUAGCUUCAGAAAGAGCAACAGCAGCAUCAUACAUAGCAGCUCCUUCACCAUCUAGCUUUGCAGCAUACAUCCAAUUCCCACUUGCUUUAACAUCAGAAAGAGAUGUAACUUUUGCCCAAACAAGAUUUGUGAGUGCUUCUCCAACAGACAACCGUGCCAUUGCUUUUGGAUCCAAAAGACCUUUUAUUGGCUGCUCCCCAAUUGAGCAUGCACCUCCGGUAAAGCCUGUAUAAGUCUGAGCUAUAACAGCAACAUCAGCAAGAGGAAUCUGCAAUGGACCCACAGUUUGCUGCUGUGCCACAAGGCCUGUGACACACCUGUCAACUUUGGUGGUUAAAACCUUUUCGAACAAACAGAAGGAAGCCUCAGGACCUUCUUCAAUGAAUCUAAAACUGUUGUUGCAGGACCAAUAUCAAGUGGUUCACGCAGAGUGUUCAUGCGAUUUAAUUCAAAUGUCUUUUUAGGCAUGUCUCCAAGCACCUUCUCAAGCUCAAGAUCAACAGCAGGCGGAGGAGGAGGCAGUCCACUAGACCUACAUUUUUCAAUUGCUACACUAUCCAGCAGAACAAUCAAUACGCCCCUCACCAUUAAUUGUUCCAAUAACAGCCAUUGAAAGUCUUUCCCUUGAACAGAUAGCUUCCAAAAGACCGCGGCUUUCAGGCUUCACUAGUAUUGCAUCUUGCUCCUGAUAUUCUGCACCCCAAAUUUCUAGAACAGACAUUGUGUGAUCGCCAACUACAAUUGCCCUUAUAUCAAUUUUGGCACCCUGUGGGUGUAUUAUCUCCUUCACAACAUUACAGUUUCCACCAGCACCCUGAUCAUGAAUGCUAAUGAUGGGAUUGUUUUCACCCAUUUCAACGCAAGCACGAACAAGCCGAUAUAACUUCUGUGCCAUCUCAGCAUCUCCACGCUGCACCGCAUUGAAGUCAAGCUCAGCAUCAUUCUGUCCACUGACCAUGCUGGAUGCAGCACCGCCUCCCAUUCCAAUGCGAUAUGCCGGUCCUCCAAUCUUAACUACCAACAUACCAAUCUCGGGUUCUCCCUUUGAUAUGUGAAGGUGAUCUAUUUGCCCAAUGCCAGCACUAAACAUGAUCGGCUUCAACCAUUCCCUCCUCUCACCACUUGGCAGUCUCAUUCCAAAAUUUCGUGUAUAACCCUGGAUCAAGGGCUCCCCAAAUUUAUUCCCAUAAUCUGAUGCUCCAUUACUAGCAUCAAUAAGGAUCUGCAGUGGUGAUGCCAGAUUAGCUGGAUAUGUGAAAGAAGGAUCUUCCCAAGGAGCAUUUGACUCUUCAAGAUGAAGAUUUCCAACACAAUAUACAGCUGUAGAUGCAACAACAAUAAAACCCCUUCCAGUAGCAUGAGUAUCCCGGAUACGGCCGCCUGCACCUGUCUCAGCACCUGGAUAAGGUGCCACAGCACAAGGGAAGUUGUGGGUUUCUGCAGUAAAUAAGAUAUCAAGGAAUCUGGUAGUCACGUCCAAGGGGCAUGUCGAACCAGGCUGAAUAGGUCGCAAUUGCUUCACUGGAAACCCCUUAAUAGCACUGGAAUUAUCUUUGAAACCAAUAACCGAAUUGUUUGGAUUAGCAAGCAAAGUGUUUUUGACGAUCUGCAUAAGAGUCUUAUCCACAGGUUGACCAUCUAUUACAAGCUUCCCUGUAAAGAACCAGUGCAUACUGUGUUCACUAUUUGAUUGAGCAAUAUCAAACAGUUCUACAUUCGUAGGAUUUCGCUUAAUGUCAUCCCUGAAAAGUUUGGUGUAGUACUUUAAGUCUUGUUCAUCAAAGGCCAAGCCCAUUUUCUCAUUAAUUUCCUCCAGUGCCUUGCGACCCUUUUCCAUGAUAGGUAUAUAUUGAACUUCCUCCGGAACUAUACUUGUCUUGAAAGAAGAAAGCUUCUCAACAUAAACACAUUCCGUCAUCCGAUCAUGAACCAUCGAAGCAAACGCAAUAAUGUGAUUAUCCGGAAGUGACCCAUUGGCAUAGAAUAAAUACCUCCUUGAACGUUCCAUUCUAUUUACUUCUGGUAACCCACAUGCUUGACAAAUCGACACUGCAUUAGCAGACUAUGCUGUAGUGAAAGAUAGCCCUGGACCAACUUCAAUGAUAUAUGCAUCCAGACUUUUCCUCUUCUCCUCGUCAAGGAAACUCUUACUUCCCAAGCUCUCAGGUUCAUAAGUUUCUCCUAAAACCCAUUUAAGCACAGAAAGUUUAUCACUUGAAAGAUCUGAACUGAGCCCAAUGUUAAAGCAUUGUUCAGUUUUCAAGCCAAUUAUUUGAUUUGAUAUCUUUGUCUGAACCAAUUUGAGAAGCUCAGCAGUGGCACUGUCCUGUAGAAACGGAACGCGAUAUAAAUGUAUCACCUUUUCAGCAACCUCCUGAAAUUUGCCUGAAUCUUCAUUUACCAAGCUACUGACAUCCCCGGAAACAACGGCUAUAAUAUUCACCGGAUUAUGGGACCUUAAUCUCAAACUUUUAUCCGAAUACCCAGCAGGGCACUGUCUUGGAAGUGUACCCCAAAGCAAACGAUUUGUCUGCCUACUAAAAUGUCUGGGCAGUGCUAACUUUUGUCUAUGAAAACCCUGCAGUUCAUAUAAACAAACAUAACGAUUUGUUCCGUUGGCGAUCGAUACAAAAAUUAGUCAACAAAAAAUAUUUAACAAUUUUCCAAACAUCAAUAAACAGAACAUAUUCUCGACAAUAAACACUUUCCCAAACAAAAUAAACAGAACAUAUUAUAGACAAUAAACAAUUUACAAAACAUGAAUAAACAGAACAUAUUGUAGACAACAAAAUAAGUGAUGAUCAUACUUGUAAGAACUCUGUUGCAGUAAUGUCCCAAGCAGAUGUUGUCAUUCCCAAACUCUGCUUCUGCAAUAAAUAACAAUUGAUAAAAAUAUAUGCUCAAAAAAAAACAGAGUCUACAAUAGCAAUCACAAAUAAUUAAGAAACAGUUAUAAAGAUAGGAUUUUGGUUAUAGAAAUAAUCCCAACUUCUCAAGAUUUAGCAGAAUAUACAUAAAGAGAGCAAAAAAAGCUCAAAAACCAACAAAUGGUCAAAUUAGAGGAGUUGCUUUGUACCUACAUUUGGGUCUUUCUUCAACAAACAAGACAUACCCACAAAGCUUUUUAGCAUAAGAUAGAGCUAUAAUGGCUCACUCACCAAUUUUGCUUGCCAAAAAUAUCAAAACUUUGAAAUAAAAAAUUGAUCUUUUUCCACAAAUUUUCAUCCUACAAGAAAAAGAAUACAAUAAAAUUGAUGUAGCAAGAGUAUACCUUUGAGUGAUGCUUUAGCAAAAUCAGCUAAAAUCAGCGAAAAGGGAAGAGGUAGUUCAGUUCAAUGGAGGAAAGAGCUAAAUUAGUGACAGUGUCCUGUUUGGGUUUUAGACAAAACCCUAGUUUUAAGAAAUUCUCUAAAUUCUAAAUUCCAUUAUAUUUAUACUUAUACAUUUUUUUGUGAAUUACUGUUAGACUCCACUCACCACUGUAAUAUCUUUGUGCUUCAAAAAAGAUGGAGUAGGAUUUUCUAUUUCAAUUUGGUUGUUUGGUAUUACUCAAUAUUUCAAAAUUGUUUAUUACGUAUAUUAAUUUUUUUAUAUUUUAUAUAAUUUUUAAAUAUAGAAAUUUUAUUUUAAAGAAAUUUAAAUUUACAUCAAAUAUUAAUUAAUUUAACUAUCACAUAAAAUGAAACAAGAAAGUACCACUUCCUGUAUUUUAAUUUGUUUACUCCAUUCAUUUUUAUUUAGUGAUCUUCUUUGCUAAAAAUAAAUAUUUUUAAUACUUAUCAUUUCACAAAAUCAAAACAUAAUUAUUUUUUUAUAUUUUUAUCCUUAGUUAUAAAUAUGUGAAGUAUCAUUACAGUACAAAAAAAGAUAAUUUAGUCAAUUUAACGUGUAAUUGAUUUUUUCUUAAGAAGAGUGAAAAUAAAAAUGAUCACAACUAUUUAGGAAUGAACAGAGUAUUUGAUUUUACUUUAACAUAAAAUUUAGAAAAAUAAAAAAACUAUAUAAAAAUAUAUCAAAAUAACUUUUUAUCUUAUAUUACCUUAUAUAUCAUGCAAAAAGUUAUGAUUAAAGAAUUUUAAAAAAAGAAAGGGAUACUUAUAUUUUUUCUAAAAUGGCUAAAAAGAGAAUACUUACAACCAAAUGGAAACAGAGGAUUGAUCAUACUCCCUUCAUCCAAUUUGACAUUCCACGUAGAUUAAGAAACACAAUUAAUAAUAUGGUUAUUUAGUAUUCUAUUAAAUGAUGUUUAUAUUUUAAUUUGGAGAAAAACAAUUAAUACUAAGAGUUAAAAAAAAAAAUUAUCUUGUCUUGAUUGAUGAAAAAUAACAAAUAAAAUUAAAAAAUUUAGGACGAGUAAUUACAAUUCAUUGACUAAUUUAUCCCAUCUCAGAGAUGAAUAAAAUAAUUCCAAGCAGAAUGACACAAGGUUGGAUAUCCCAAAAUUAAAUUUGAAAUAAAUAUUUUAUCGCAUUUGGUAGACGAUAUAAAAAUGCAAUAAAAAUCCUAUAAUCUCAAGUGCAAUUCUGAAAUAUCUUAUGUUGUCUCGUGUACCAAAUGAGCAUGCUCUUAAAAGGGAUCAUCUUUUUCUGUAUUCGUUUUCUUUUUUGAUUCUAAAGGAUACCUCUGUUUGUUUUUCUGCAAUUAUUAGUUAGUGUUAUUUCUCAACUCUUUGAUACAAACGGAAGAUCGCUUCAGGAAUUGAUUUCUACGUGUAUAUAUAUAUAUAUAUAUCCACGAUUCAUUGUGCAUGGAUUUUAGUUUAAGGAUAUGUAAGUACGCUAUGACACUAACUAGCUAUCACUUAUCAGUACUUUAAAAAGUACUUUUGGUCCAAGCCCAAGGCGAACAUAGUAAAAAUGUAUCGAAGCAAUUAGGAGUAAAAAUAUCAUAAGGUGCAAGUAUAGACGUACGCUCAAAACAUUGACCAGUAUCUUUAGUAACCUGCGUGGAUAUAUUGGAUUACUUCUGAAAUCUUGUUAUAAUACAUUAUUCUGCUACACGUCUUAUUUGUAUUAUUAUACCAUAUGCUAGUGCUAGUACUAGUAUAUAACACCAAUAAGAGCACUAGUUAUUAUUGGAAGAUCCCACACCUAAAGAGAUUUCCUCUACUUAAUCUAUUGUUCAGUGGCCAACUAAUUUAAAUUUGUGUCGACUAAGAGCUCAUUCAGAAAUAGCACUCCCUACCAAGAGAUUAGCUAGUUUCAAUAACGUUGCCUAUAAUUAGCCAUGUGGAAAUCCUGUUCGGGUUUGUCAACACCAUCUUCACUCCUUAGCCAAUAAGUCUGAGGAAGAGAAGCUGCACCAUUUGGUAUGUCAUCCAUCACUCUUUCUUGCCCUUUUGGAAAAUAUAUUCCUGUUCGUGGAUGUGGCACCCACCACGCACCCUUCUGUUCUAUCUCCUCCUCCUCCUCUUCCUCCUUAUCGGUCCAACUCGAGAACGUGCUCAUCAUUCUUUUAAUUUGUUUCAUUUUCUGUGACCUGCAUCCAGCACUUUUAACAUUUUAGCCAUCAGUAUAAAUUUAUACAGGUGCUAGACAUGAUUAUAUAUUCUAAACUUUUGAUAUUUGCAAAAAAAAUAUAUAUAUAUUAUAAGUUAAAAGACCAUUCGAGAAAUCAAAAUAUUUUUUGAAUGAUUUAAGACUUUUAAAUCUAAGAUUAGAAGUGAAUAUUUAAUAUUAUUAUCAGGAAAAAAAUUUCCUACCUUAGGUUUGCAUACACUCUACCUUCUAUAUACCCCGCAUUAUACACUAAAACUAAGCAAACAAAUUUAAAGAACAAGAAACAGCAUUCUAAUUACCUAAUUAGUCGUAAUCUCUGUGAAAACGUAGUGAUUCCAGCUGCAGUGAUAGGCAUAUAUAUAAAAAGCUUUGAUUGAUAAACCAAACAAGAAAUUAGAAAGUGUAGUAGCAAGACAACCUUUUGCUGAUCGUUUUAUAUAUACAGAAGAAGAAUAUAUUCUUUUCUAAGGAAUUAAGUUUGCAAAUCUUAAAAACUUCAAAAAAAAAAAGUGAUGUUUCAGAAAAAGAAAGAACAAAUCAAAGCAACUUUUUAUAUGUGUAAUCGCUCUCAAUUUGUCCUUGUCAAUAAUAAAGAAGUUUAACGUGAUCCUUGUCCUCUUAAUCUUUCAUUAUUUUGUCAUUUGAAAAUCUCUAAAUUCACUGCCACAUAUUCGAUUAAUUUCGUGGACGUAAGUCUUUUUACUUAAAAAGAUAUUGACAAUGACAAUUCAAUUUUAUUUGUACGUGGAUAGAUUAUUAGGGGUGUUCAAAUUAAAUUUAAACCCGUACGGGUGGAUAGAUAAUUAAGGGGUGUUCAAAUAAAAUUGAACCCGUACCAUAUUGAAAAAUGAAAUCAAACACGACAAAAAAAGGGUUCAGGCAUAAUUUAGUACUAAGUACGAAAAAAAAGAAAAUUGAAUCAAACCGAAAUAUAAGUACAUAACUUUUAUAAUAAAAAAAAUGUGUCAAUUAUUAUAUAUAUAUAUAUAUAUUGUUUUGGAAUGUUUAUUCUUGAGUUAAGGGUCUAUCGAAAACAACCUCAUUGCUUAAUUUUAAGAUAGUAGUACAGCUGACGUGCAUUUUACUCUCUCCGAACCUCACUGUCUAAAGAAUAUGUCUUUUUUGUUAUGAUCUUGAAAGUUAAUUAGAAAAAAACUGAAAGUGGAUAGAAAAUAAAGGAGGAAGCUUAAUUAUUCAUAAGUCGUUUAAAUUUGUAGAGCUACUUUGAGAAUAAUAUAGUUUUAAAAAUAAUUCAAAUCAAAAACACAUUUUCUAAUUAAUUUAAGAUUAAAUGUACUGAAAGAUAGCAAGAAUCAAAAUAAAAAUUUAUCAAUAAUUAAAAAAAUCACCUACUCCGCCAAACAUUCUACUAAAAGAGUACUCUUACAUCCCUGUUUAUGAUACCUUUCGAAUCCCAAGAGUUACACAAAUUCUUUUUAACCAAAUUUUUUCUAUGCAUGUCUUUUAAAUUUUAAAUAAUCUAAAUUAUUAACUACUGUAAUUUAUAAUUUUUUAUGUAAUUUUUAAAUUUAGAAGCUCUACUUUGAAAAAUCCUAAAUCAAAUUAUAUCUAAAUUUACACUUAAGAUUAAAAAAAUUAUUUCUUAAACUUAAUCGGUGUCAUAUAAAUUGAAACAGCAUAAGUUUAGCGAAGGUCUUUUAACUUACUUUUGGUACGCGGGAUACCCAAUGGCACCAAGAGAGGAUGGAUGGAGAUUACAAGGAUUUUGUUGUUCCUAAAAGAACAGAACAUGUACUAUUCUUUCACGAUAUGACUCUCUCGUACUAGGUAGAAUCCAUCAACCAUUUCACACUUUAUUAUUUGUUAUUCUCAAUUCUCAAAUACAAACAAAAUAUGUGACCGAAUAAGUGAGAUUUUAUUAUAAAUUUUAAAUAAAAAUUUUGAAUUUAAACUUUAGAAAUAAAGAUUUUAAGAAUGAUUUGGUAGAGUGCAUUAAAAAAAAUAAUGCAUAUAUUAAUAUUAUGUAUGUAUUACUAGUACCUUAUUUGUAUUAAUUAUACACUUUAUUUGAUAUUAAUGUUUGUAUAAUUAAUACCUCAAAUCUACGAUAUUAGUAAUACAAUGAGUUCUAAUACAUGCAUUAAUACAGUUAAAGACACAGUGACCCUUCAAAAAAAUUUUCACAUCAUUUUCAUCAUAGGUGUAGAGGGUAUUUUUUAAAAAAAAAUAAAUACAUUGUUUUAAAAGAAAAAUCAUGCAAUGAAUGUUAUUUCUAUUAUAUCAAAUCGAACAAUGCAUAAGAAAAAUCCCAGCAUAAUUAAUACUAAUAUUAUUAACACACUAUAGUUUUUAUUCUUAAAAUAAGCAGCUUUUGAGCAACAAACAUGAAAAGCACUUUUGAUGUGCUGGAGCUUAUUCUACAUAUAAGCAGUUAUGUGUUUGGAUAAAAAUGCUGAAACUAAAAAUAAGCAGCUGAUGUGUUUGGUAAAAAAUGCUGAUAAGCAAUUUUUUCUGUUAAAAUGACAUAAAUAUCUUUAACUAUGAAAGUUCGUAAAAUUGAUCCUUGCAAAAUGUUUAAUUUCAAUUGAUUAAAAUACAAGUUAAUUUAUAUCUCAAGUUAUUUUAUAUUUUAAAUUAAUUAGAUAAAAUUAUUUUUUAAUAAUUUCAAAUUGUUUAUUGAAAACAUUUAUGAAACUGAAAAAUAGCAAACAAAAUUGUUUUUCGCUGCAAAGUAAAAUUACUAAUUACAACAAGAAUAAAAAGAACUUUUUUUUCACGGAAAAUUUAAAUCAAAAUGACAUUUACCGUGAUGGAAGAGAAACCUGCUUUGCUUCCACCCACAGAUCUUUUCAAAUAAUAUUUAAUAUUAUUUUAAUUAAUAUAAUCUUUGAAUAAUAAAAUUUGAAUAAUGAAAUGAACUAAUCAAUCAUAACAUUACAAAGUCCAAAGGAAAGAAAAACAUAAACUAUGAUAGAGAGCAGCAACAAUGGAAGAGAGCAAAAAAAGGAAGAAUAAGGAAGGAUAUUUUAGAAGUUUCAACAACAUGAAAUAGAUAAUAAAGUAUUUUACUUGGUCAAACUUAGAAUAGUUUUUAAGGUAAAAAUAAUAAAUUGGGAUAGAUCAACUUAUAACUUUUGACUUAUUUUAGUUUAAAAAUACUUAUUUUUAAGCACUUUUAUUAUUUAUCAAACAUUCAAAUAAGUUAAAAAAUAUUUUAAAGCUAAUUUGACUAAUUUUUAAGCCCAUCCAAUCACCCUUUGGACGAACCCUAGGUACAAAUCUUAAUGAAUAUGAAUUGUAGAAUUCGAAGACGAAUGUUCUAAUUGCAACAAAAGUACAAAGUCGUUACUUUUUGUACUAAAGAACCAAUACCCCAACCUUAAUUGUCCUUCUAUAUUAGUUUCAAAUAUCGACACCUAUUCACAUUCAUGUGCAAGAAAGAAUUAGUUACUAAAAUUAUUAAAAAUUCAUUUAGUUUGAAAAAAUUAUAAAUACCUUAACUUUUAUUAAUUUAGAUUAAAAGUUGAUAUACAUUCUAAAAUAUCCUUCUUAUCUCAUUUUAACUCAAUUAACUACGAUUUCUUUCUAAAUCAACGACGAAAUUAAUUGAAUUCCUUAAAAUUAUUAUCGUAUAAUUAUAUCUUUUAAAAUGUGUCAAAAUUUUAUAAGUAUUUGUCGAUAUUUUUAAAAGUUCAAAUAACAUAAAUUAGUAGCAAAAAAUGACUUAGAGAUUACUACCGUAGGCCACAAAAAAUAUUUAGAGAUUGAGAGAUGCUCAAUACGAAUUCCUACUACAAAUUUAAUUAAAACUGCCACUAUUAUUUGUCUCUGCUUAUACAAUGAUGUUUGUAGGUAGUUGAAUACAAAAUUUAAGGUAUUAAAUUAAUUUUAUAUUUCAACAGACGAAAAAGAUAAAAAAUAAUGAUUUAAAGGGAAGUUUAACAAAGAAAAUAUCACGUUGAAUUUUUUAUUUUUAUCAAACUAUUGUAAAUAUUCUGAAAUAUUCCAAAAUGAAAAUAGUUGCCAUAUAAUUUAUAGCUGAUAAAUAUACUCAUUCAUGAAUUAGAAAGUUUUAUACAGUGUCAAAGCUGAGAAUAUAAUCAUGACAAGGGCGAAAGGUUAUAUCUGUAAUGGAUCUUAUCACGAUAACAAAAUAUCUUCCCAUUGACAUAAUGGUGUCUCUUCAAUGGCGUAUAAAAUGAAUGCCUAACAUUUGGACCCAUUUUUUUAAAAAAUUAAUUAUUUUUGGGCUAAAAUAAUUUCAUUAAUGCUUGAAAUAUCAUUCGUGAAAUUUAUAUUCCGUAAAAAAGUUAUUUUCCUUAUUUUAAAGAGCUUAUGUUUUUCAGAAAUUUUAAUUAACUAAACAUAAAGAAAUUUAAAAAAUAAUUUUCUCUCUAUGAAUAAAAUGAAACUACAGAAUAUCACUUAAACAAGAGGUCUCAAAUCUCUGAAGUACAAUGGAAUAUUGGAAUGUCAUCACAUUACAAGCCCAAUAGUAAGAUUUCAUUACUGUUUCAGAAACAUCUGUACCUAUUAGGCAGCUAGUUACAUAUAAAAUUGUAAUUUUAAUUAUCCGAUAAAAUACUACCUAAUUGCUAGUUGAUUAAAAAAAAAGGUAAUUUGUUAGUAUGUAAAAGUUACAUUAAUCCCAACUUGGAGUGUUGGAAAAUAAAAUUUUCGAGGUCAAAAAAUAAUAAAUAAUUGAGAUAAGAAAAUAUUGCAACAAACAAUUUUAUUGAUUUCAACGCGAGCGUUACAAUCUCUAUGAAUCAUUUGAUUCGUCUUUUCAAAUAUAAAUUCAAGGGCUAAUUAAAGUUUGAUCUUGAAUUUGAGCUUAAUUUGAUGGAUUUGAAGGACUUGAUCUUGACUUGUGCUUGAAUUCAAGGAAUUUUGAGCGUGUUCUUGAAUAUUGUUGUCUUGAUCUUGAAUCUUGAUGAACUUGAUUUGAAUGCUUGAAUUUUUUAGAGAAAUUGCAGAGUUUGAUCCACGGGCUUUCUCUUGCUACUUGUUAGAGUUCUGGGGGUUCGUUUUUCUGAAAUUAUGAGGCCCCUAUUUAUAGUUGUAGGAAAGGAAGAGUCCUGAUGAAUAUGAAUUUCCUUUGAUCAAUCAGAUUUAAGUGGUGGCGCCUUUUAUGGGCUUUUAUUUCAUGGACCUGCUGCAUUAGUUUGACAUGUGGCAUGGUCCUAUUGGCUCCUUCACUUGACUUGGCUACCACGUUAUUUGACACGUGACGCUUAUUUGGGCCUCUAGAAUAUGAAAAUAUUUUGGAUUUAGUAAAGUAGGCCCAUCAUUUGUAACCCAAAUUAAUGGACUAACCCAAUAAAUAUUGGGUCUUAUUUAAAUUCAUACCUAUUUGGACUUAAAUAAUUAAUUCAAUUAUAUUAAUUCGUAAUAUUUAUUCGAAACUAAUAUAUUUUGAAUUUAAUAUAAUUCAAAUUUUGUACGAAUUUAAAUUUAAUGAAAUUAUAUCGCCCAUAAAUACUCCUACUUCAAAACUUAUCGAGACAUUUAAUAUUUUAAAGACUAACCUUGAAGUACCAACUUGAUAUUUUAAUUACACACAAAAUAAAAUUGUGUGCAAACAAAAUUAUGACGGACCAUUUUUAUACACAAAAUGAACACUUUGAACAUGCAGAAUGAUUCACGUGCAAGUGUAAAGAAACAAAUGAAUUUGUUCAUCUUUGUUCUUUGACAUUUAAUGAAUUUGUCCACUCGUGGAAUAUAUAUAUAUAUAUAUUAUUUUAUUUUUACAUGGUCCCAUGGACCCCUCUUUUUAAUAUUCAAUCAAAUAAUCCAACAAUAUACCAAUUUGAUAUCUUUUGGAUUAAUAUGAACUGCCGCCGUCCUUUUUUUUCACAUUAGGUAGGUCCCACGUCUCCUUUGCCUUUUUGAAUUGAGAUGCUGCUUUCCUUCCUAUUGUUUUCUCUUAGAAUUAGGACGUUGCCUCUCCAAAUUUAAAUUGAUUUAGGAGUUUGCCACCGCCUAAUUACUCUAUAAAUACACGCUAUAAAUUAUACAAUUCACAACAGUAAUUUUGCUUGGUCCUUGUUGCAGAUUUUAUCCUGCAUUGGUUCGGUCGUUGUGCAUCAUUGAAGUAUUUUUGGUGAGUGGCCUUUUUUCUUAUUUUGUUUACUAUUAUUUCAUCUUUUUCCCUUUCUUUUGGCAGGAUUGAAAUAAAUAGCAAUAUUGACCGGCUUAAGGUAGGAAGAGUUUAACUUCGUCUCUAUCACCUUAAGACCGAAAGACUUACGCAAUAAUUGGCCGACUUAAGGUGGAAAGAGUUUAACUUUACCUCUAUCACCUUAAGAUCGAAAGACUUAUGCAAUAAUUGGCCGGCUUAAGAUGGUAAGAGUUUAACUUCGCCUCUGUCACCUUAAGACCGAAAGACUUUGCUUGAAGACGGCAUGGUUUUCUUUAAAUAUGUGCCCUUUCACCGAUACAUUUAUGCGAUGAUCUUCUCUAAUUAUGGGCUCUUUCAUCGAUGCACUUAUGCAAUGGUCUUCUUUAAGUAUGGGCCCUUUCACUUGAUGCACUUAUGCAAUGGUAUCCUUUAAGUAUGGGCCCUUUCCAAUUGUUAGCUUAAGGUGCAAAAGGACAAAUUUUUAUCCACCUUAAGGCAUGAAAAUUUUGAUAUCCUUUCAAGUAUAAAUCUGCGAGAGGCCGGCUGAAGGUGCAAAGGGAUAAAUUUUGUCCACCUUAAGGCAUGAAAAUUUUUAUAUCCUUUUAAGGAUAAACAUGUAAAUGGCUAGCUUAAGGUGCAAAAAGACAAAUUUCGUCCACCUUAAGGCAUGAAAAUUUUUAUAUCCCUUUAAGGAUAAACAAGUAAGAGGUCAGCUUAAGGUGCAAGGGACAAAUUUCGUCCACCUUAAGGCAUGAAAAUUUUUAUAUCCUUUUAAGGAUAAACACGUAAGAGGCCAGCUUAAGGUGCAAAAGGACAAAUUUUGUCCACCUUAAGGCAUGAAAAUUUUGAGAUCCUUUUAAGGAUAAACCCACGAGAGAAUAGCUUAAGGUGCAAAGGGAUAAAUUUUGUCCACCUUAAGGCAUGGAACUUUUGAGAUCCUUUUAAGGAUAAAUCCGCGAGAGGCUAACUUAAGGUGCAAAGGAACAAAUCUUGUCUACCUUAAGGCAUGGAAAUUUCGAUAUUCUUUAAGGAUAAACCCGUAAGAGGUCAGCUUAAGGUACAAAGGGACAAAUCUUAUCCACCUUAAGGCAUGAAAAUUUUAAUAUCCUUUAAGGAUAAACUCGUUAGAGGCCCGCUUAAGGUGAAAAGGAACAAAUCUUGUCCACCUUAAGGCAUGUAAAUUUUGAGAUCCUUUUAGUUGUAGGCUUGGAGAACUUUGGCAUUCCAAAUCCCUUUGAAGGAAAUUUCUUUCUUUUCGACGGGUUGCCCCCAUUGAGUCACAAAUAUUUAGAAUAAGUCCAAAAUUUAAUUAGAAUAGUUUCAUACUUGGUAUCCAUAUGGUAGAUAUUGUAUGAACAUAUUUUUUUUUACACUGGUGCAACUGAACUCAGAAUGAAAUUUCCAGCGUCUACGUACCUCAGUAAAGAGGAUCAAGUCACAACGUAGUUCUGGGUGAGUGUUUUUUUUCUUGUGUCCUAACUUUUACCUAGGCCGCCUCUUUCGAGGUUUUCAACCUAGCGAACUUUCAUUUUCUUUUUGAGCCAUACACAGUUUAUACUCUUGCGGGCCAGGAGUGGACAUACAGUUUAUACUCGUGCCUUAAGGAGUGUACAUACAAUUUAUACUCGUGCCUUAAGGAGUGUACAUGCAGUUUAUACUCGUGCCUUAAGGAGUGUUAUCUUCCUUUAAGGAUAGUACUUCUUCAAGAACUUGGCGUUGAUGGGACCAAUCCUCACGCCAUCUGCAUCGACAAGCUUGUAAGCACCGUUUGAAUAUGCCUCUUGUAUGACAUAUGGUCUAUCCCACUUUGGGGUGAAUUUACCCCCAGACUUAUGAGAAGUGAUAAUGGGCCUUCUUACUGCAAGAACUUGAUCUCCAAUUUGGAAGCAUCUCAAGCGAACCCUUUUGUUGAAAAAACGAGAUAGCCGGGAUUGAUAGCAUUCAAGAUUUUGUUGAGCCUCCAGCCUCUUCUCAUCAAGAACUUAUAACUCCGCAAGACUCAACUUAGCAUUUUCUUCAUCGGUGAGCCCUUCUUGAAUAGCCAGUCUCAAAGAAUGUAUUUGACGCUCAAGUGGCAGGACUACUUCAACUCCAAAAGCAAGUUAGUAUGAGGUUGCUUGCGUUGGUGUACAAUAAGUUGUCCUAUACGCCCAAAAAGCUUAUUCCAUUCGCUCAUGCCAGUCUCAUUUGGAUUUGGAGACGACUUUCUUCAACAAGUUGCAUAAAGUCUUGUUGAAGGCUUCAGCUAGACCAUUGGAGACAGCAUGAUACAUUGAAGACUUGCACUGCUUAAAGCCAAAGAGGUCACAGAUCUUGUUCAUCAACUUGUUAUCAAAUGGCUUGCGGUUGUCGGUUAUUAUGUACUGAGGAAUUCUAAAGCGGUAGAUGAUAUUCACUCAGAUGAAGUUUGCAAUAUUUUCUGUCACGCCUCAAAUUCUAUUGGGGCGGACUGGCACCCGUAACCGAGGAGGCUCGGGAGAACCAGCUCAUAACCUUAUACUUCCCAUGCAUACCUCUAUGACAACCCGAAAUUCGGACAACAUCAUGUCGCAUAUAAAAGGAAAUAAUAACCUGUAUAAACUCGAGCACACAUAUAUAUGUAUAUACAAUACUUGGCUGUUGGAGCCAUCACGUCUAUUAACAAAAUACCACCUUAACUGUACAUUAGGUCUACAAAGCCUCUAUACAAUACACAGAGUUUAACUAAGGUCGGGACACACCCCGCCAUAUAACUAACUUCUAUAUAAUACCAAAAGUGACUGGAUAUGACACGGAAAGCCCCGAAGCAAACGGGAGCUCACCAAAAGCAGCUGGGUAUCCUAGCUCCUACUUGUGCGGUGUAUGAGCUGAGGUGAUAUCCUGGCUCCUACUUGUGCGGUGUAUGAGCUGAGGUACCUGUGCCUGCAGUAUGAAAUGCAGGUCCCCCGUGGGGGACGUCAGUACAAAAUAUGUACUGAGUAUGUAAAGCUGUAGAUAAUCACAUAUGAUAUAGGAGCUCAAUAGAANNNNNNNNNNNNNNNNNNNNNNNNNNNNNNNNNNNNNNNNNNNNNNNNNNNNNNNNNNNNNNNNNNNNNNNNNNNNNNNNNNNNNNNNNNNNNNNNNNNNNNNNNNNNNNNNNNNNNNNNNNNNNNNNNNNNNNNNNNNNNNNNNNNNNNNNNNNNNNNNNNNNNNNNNNNNNNNNNNNNNNNNNNNNNNNNNNNNNNNNNNNNNNNNNNNNNNNNNNNNNNNNNNNNNNNNNNNNNNNNNNNNNNNNNNNNNNNNNNNNNNNNNNNNNNNNNNNNNNNNNNNNNNNNNNNNNNNNNNNNNNNNNNNNNNNNNNNNNNNNNNNNNNNNNNNNNNNNNNNNNNNNNNNNNNNNNNNNNNNNNNNNNNNNNNNNNNNNNNNNNNNNNNNNNNNNNNNNNNNNNNNNNNNNNNNNNNNNNNNNNNNNNNNNNNNNNNNNNNNNNNNNNNNNNNNNNNNNNNNNNNNNNNNNNNNNNNNNNNNNNNNNNNNNNNNNNNNNNNNNNNNNNNNNNNNNNNNNNNNNNNNNNNNNNNNNNNNNNNNNNNNNNNNNNNNNNNNNNNNNNNNNNNNNNNNNNNNNNNNNNNNNNNNNNNNNNNNNNNNNNNNNNNNNNNNNNNNNNNNNNNNNNNNNNNNNNNNNNNNNNNNNNNNNNNNNNNNNNNNNNNNNNNNNNNNNNNNNNNNNNNNNNNNNNNNNNNNNNNNNNNNNNNNNNNNNNNNNNNNNNNNNNNNNNNNNNNNNNNNNNNNNNNNNNNNNNNNNNNNNNNNNNNNNNNNNNNNNNNNNNNNNNNNNNNNNNNNNNNNNNNNNNNNNNNNNNNNNNNNNNNNNNNNNNNNNNNNNNNNNNNNNNNNNNNNNNNNNNNNNNNNNNNNNNNNNNNNNNNNNNNNNNNNNNNNNNNNNNNNNNNNNNNNNNNNNNNNNNNNNNNNNNNNNNNNNNNNNNNNNNNNNNNNNNNNNNNNNNNNNNNNNNNNNNNNNNNNNNNNNNNNNNNNNNNNNNNNNNNNNNNNNNNNNNNNNNNNNNNNNNNNNNNNNNNNNNNNNNNNNNNNNNNNNNNNNNNNNNNNNNNNNNNNNNNNNNNNNNNNNNNNNNNNNNNNNNNNNNNNNNNNNNNNNNNNNNNNNNNNNNNNNNNNNNNNNNNNNNNNNNNNNNNNNNNNNNNNNNNNNNNNNNNNNNNNNNNNNNNNNNNNNNNNNNNNNNNNNNNNNNNNNNNNNNNNNNNNNNNNNNNNNNNNNNNNNNNNNNNNNNNNNNNNNNNNNNNNNNNNNNNNNNNNNNNNNNNNNNNNNNNNNNNNNNNNNNNNNNNNNNNNNNNNNNNNNNNNNNNNNNNNNNNNNNNNNNNNNNNNNNNNNNNNNNNNNNNNNNNNNNNNNNNNNNNNNNNNNNNNNNNNNNNNNNNNNNNNNNNNNNNNNNNNNNNNNNNNNNNNNNNNNNNNNNNNNNNNNNNNNNNNNNNNNNNNNNNNNNNNNNNNNNNNNNNNNNNNNNNNNNNNNNNNNNNNNNNNNNNNNNNNNNNNNNNNNNNNNNNNNNNNNNNNNNNNNNNNNNNNNNNNNNNNNNNNNNNNNNNNNNNNNNNNNNNNNNNNNNNNNNNNNNNNNNNNNNNNNNNNNNNNNNNNNNNNNNNNNNNNNNNNNNNNNNNNNNNNNNNNNNNNNNNNNNNNNNNNNNNNNNNNNNNNNNNNNNNNNNNNNNNNNNNNNNNNNNNNNNNNNNNNNNNNNNNNNNNNNNNNNNNNNNNNNNNNNNNNNNNNNNNNNNNNNNNNNNNNNNNNNNNNNNNNNNNNNNNNNNNNNNNNNNNNNNNNNNNNNNNNNNNNNNNNNNNNNNNNNNNNNNNNNNNNNNNNNNNNNNNNNNNNNNNNNNNNNNNNNNNNNNNNNNNNNNNNNNNNNNNNNNNNNNNNNNNNNNNNNNNNNNNNNNNNNNNNNNNNNNNNNNNNNNNNNNNNNNNNNNNNNNNNNNNNNNNNNNNNNNNNNNNNNNNNNNNNNNNNNNNNNNNNNNNNNNNNNNNNNNNNNNNNNNNNNNNNNNNNNNNNNNNNNNNNGGCUGGCCUCAGUAGUUUGUGUGUAGGAAAUUUUCCUGCACAUUUACUAUUCCCAAUAUCCCGGCCAUCGUUUUAUAGUUUCGAACGUGCUCGAUUAUAUUCGAAACCUAUUCGUUUUUGGAAAUCUUUAUAUCGUUGGAAAGCUUAUUCAAUAACCUUCGUAUGGAACCAUCGAUGGGCAAAUUUCGGUAUAAAUAAAAUAAAAUAAAAUUAAUUCCAUAUAAAUAAGACCAAUACACGUACUUGAAUACGCCAAUACACGUACUUGAAUACGCGGUGUUACAUUUUCCUUCUUUACUUUCUUGAGGGCAACAGUUUCGGCCUACUUUGAGAAGUAAUUUGUUGUGGCCAAGAUGUAUAAGUGCCUACCAGAAGAUUUUGGUAGUGGACCGACAACAUCCAUUCCCAAAGCAUUGAAUGGACAAGACGCUAUAGUUGGAUGUAGUACCUCUGGAGGUCGAUGUAUGAAAUUUGCAUGGAAUUGACAAGCUUUGCAUUUUCUAGCAUAGUCCAAGCAAUAUUUCACCAUCGUUGGCCAAUAAUAUCACAUCCUUUUAAUGUGAAAAUGGAGCUUCUUUCCAGAUUGAUAUGUUCCACAAACUCCUGAAUGUGUUUCUUACAAAGCUUGGAUUGCUUCUUCCUCUCCCAAACACCAUAAGAGUACUCCUUCAAAUGAUCUUCUAUACAGUGUGUCCUUAUAGUAGAGGAAGCGAGGUGCACGACGACGAAUGUCAGUCUUUCUUUUUGGAUCUUCUGGAAGUAUCCAAUAACAUAAGUAAUCAAUGAUAAGUUGUUGACAAUCUUCUUUUUCAGUUUCAGAUACGGCAACGAGGUAUUUCACUUUAUCUUCUUCAUCAUUUUUUAUGGGGGUACUACCCAUUCUUGGCGGACAGUAACUUGUGUUUGAUUUGAAAGAGUCAGGGUUGAGGCCAAAACAGCUAGGGCAUCAGCUUGCUUAUUUUUCUUCCUUGGCACAUGCUGUAGGGUUACUUCUCCAAGCCAUCCCAUCAAAUUUUUUGCAUAUUCAUGAUAUAGUCUUAACUCAGGCUUCUAGACUUCAUAGCUUCCCAAAUGCUGCUUUAUCACCAAUUGAGAGUCGCCAAAAAUUUAUAAUUGUAGUUGCUUCAUAUCGACAGCUAUCUCUAGUCCUACUAUGAGCGCUUGAUACUCAGCAACAUUAUUGGAGCAACGAUUCGUCAAGGUAAAAGAGUAGGGGAUGACCUCUUCUUGUGGAGUGACAAACACUAUGCCAGCACCAGCUCCAUCUUGAUGUGCAGCACCAUCAAAAUAUAUCUUCCAUAGGGAUCUAACUUCAACAGCCAUUGUAUCUUCAUCAGGGAGUUCAUCGCUCAGCUCCCAAUCAUCAGGUAUUGGGUGAUCUGUCAAGAAGUCAGCCAGUGUUUGUCCUUUUACAGCUUUUUGGGGAACAUACACAAUCUCAAACUAUUGAAAUUGAAGGUACCAUCUUGCAAGUCGGUCACUAAGGACUAGUUUCGACAUUACAAACUUGAUGGGAUUUACCCUAGAGACUAGCCGGACAACAUGAGCCUGAAAAUAGUGCUUUAUCUUUUGAAUCAAGAAGACUAAUGCCAAACAUAACUUCUAAACUGGAGAAUACUUUAGCCCAUUCGGCGUCAUCAUUAUGCUCAAAUAGUAAAGAGAAUUUUCCUUGCCUUCACUGUUUUCUUGAGCCAGUAGUGCUCCAACUGACCUCUCUUGUGCCGCAGUGUAGAGUAUCAAUGGUUUCCCAGGUAUGGAUACCGCAAGAACUGGUGGUUUCAUUAAGUAUGAUUUGAUACUCUCAAAGGCAUUACUACAAGCUUGGUCCCAUUCGAAGGAAGUGUCCUUCUUCAUGAGACGACUAAAUGGUUUACAUUUUCCAGCCAGGUUUGAGAUGAACCUUGUUAAAUAUGCUAGCCUUCCUUGAAGGCUUUUUAACUCAUGAAUAUUUUGAGGCUCAGGCAUCUUCAAAAUUGCAUCGACCUUGUCUUGAUCAAUUUCAAUUCCUCGGUGUCGUACAAUAAAGCCAAGAAACUUUCCAAAAGUAACUCCAAAGGUACACUUCAACGGAUUCAUCCUAAGUUGGUAUCUUCGAAGUAACUCGAAUACCAUUCUUAGGUCUUUUAAGUGGUCGUCUCUCUUUCUUGACUUCACCACUAGAUCAUCCACAUAGCAUUCAAUAUUUUUAUGGAGUAGGCCAUCAAAGAUGUUCUGCAUAGCCCUUUGAUAAGUGGUAUUAGCGUUCUUCAAACCAAAAGGCAUUACCUUAUAGCAAUAAAUACCUUUGGGCGUACAAAAUACAGUGAGUUCUUCAUCUUUAAGUGCCAUAUGGAUUUGAUUGUAGAUGGAUGAACCAUCCAUGAAGGACAUUGCCUCAUAACUAGUAGUGGCAUUAAUCAUCAACUCUAGUAUAGGGAUUGGAAAGUCAUCUUUAGGGCAGACGUUGUUGAGAUCCCGAAAGUCAACACAAACUCGAAUUUGUCCGUUCUUUUUCCAUACUGGAACAAUACUUGAAAUCCAUGUGGGAUAUUUGACUUCAUGAAUAAAAACUGCUUCAAUGAGUUUGUUAACUUUAUUUUCAAUCAAAAGAACCAACUCUGGCCUAAAGCGCCUUUGGGCUUGCUUAACAGGACGAGCACCAUUCUUGAUCGCCAAUUGAUGGACUGCUACUUUCGGAUCUAAGCCAGGUAUUUCCUUAUAGCUCCAAGCGAAGACAUCCAUAUAUUCUUUGAGUAUGUCCAUAUAAGCGGCUUCCUCCUCUACUUCUAGAAACGCACUAAGUAAGUUAGUCUUGGGUCUUCAUUAGUUCCAAGAUUAACUUCCUUUAGGGGAUCUAUUGUGGCCUUUACUCCUUCUUCAAGUUGAGAUGGAGCAUCUCCAGCAUCUUCCUCCUCUUGAGGAUCAUCAUCGUUGAUGGAUAUGUGGUGACACCAGAAAGUAUCUUCCAUCUCUUUAUCAACCUUUAUUUGAGACGAGACCUCAUUCUCAUUUUGGAUCGUAACAUGAUAUGAGGAGCCAAUACUUUCUUCAUCUUCCUCAUGUUCCUUGGUAUACACCACCGUAUGAGUUUUAUCUUUUAACACCUCGUUGCAUGAAACCACCAGUUCUGUCUGUCGCCUCAUUCUGAAAGGGAUCAAACUUUGGAAAUCCUUCUGGAUUUUAAAUGAAGAGUGCAUCAUCAUGCUUUGAUGACUUCUUUGACGCUUGUUGCUUUUCUUCUUAUUUAGAGGUCCCAACCUUUCGAACAUGGAAGUUCUUGAAGUUGGUUCUCCAAGUCGAUCAAAGACAGAGGGUCUUUUAGCAGCAGUGGAUUCUUCUUCUAUGGUGAUGUAAUUAAUGACUGCCCUUUUUAUGGAGAUUCGAAUUGGAGGUAGCUGUGUAUAUCCUUGGCCUUCACGUGCUUGCCUGGUUGUACCCUCUGAUGGAAGUUUGCCUAACCUUGAUGGCUCAUUAGGAUCGUAUCCGGCCUUUAUAAAUAGCUUGUAUGCAUUUGGAUCAAAGCCCUCUUUCGUACGCUUCAUAGGGAGUGUCAUAUAUUAUGGUAGAUUUUGAGCCACAGACUCUUCAAGAAGUCUUGAGGAUGGAUUUAUUGCAUCAAUCUUCCUGAUAGGUAAAGUUGACCCCUUUAGCAUAUUAUCUUGGGAACCUGAUGGGUGAUCUUUUUCUUUCCUUACCUUUGGUACAUAACGAAGAAUGGGAGUUGCCUUCUUUUUCGUAGAAGUGACACCUUCUUUAUUUAAAGUGGAGAGAGACUUUUUGGUGGUGAAUUUUUCGACAGUCACCGCGACUUUCUUAGAUGUAAGAUCGUCACACUUGGUCUUGGUGACAUCUUCAACCCUUUUCUCAUCCACAACAUGCUUCUUUAAGUAGAAUUUUGCAUCGGCAAAAUGUGACUCAGCUUCAGUGAAUGGUAUGUCAUCAGAAACUAUCUUUAUUUCCAUUCUGCCUUCAAGGUACUUCAAACAUUGAUAGUAAGAGGACGAGAUAAUUUUGUUCCCAUGCACCCAAGGCCUAUCGAGCAAUAUAUUGUAUGAAGUUUUGGCAUCAAUCAUAUGCAUCAAUGGGUUUGAUUGAAAAUCAUCCAUACGAAUCCCCAACUUGAUACGUCCCAUGGCCCUAUGGCCCCCUUGGUUGAAGCCUUGGAUCAUUAUAUGGCUUUCAUCUAAUUCGCUAGUAGCGAUGCCAAGCUCCUUCAUCGUACGGAUAGGCAGGAUAUUUACUCCAGAUCCCUCAUCUAUUAAAAUUCUAUUGAUCUUCUUUCUAGAAUUUGACCUACCAUGUAUAAGGGAAGGUUAUGUAGGGUCUCACCAAGCAUAAGAUCGUUAUUUGUGAAUGUAAUUUUUGUAUCACACAAAUGUGCCUCUUCGCCAAGAGUUUCAGCAAGCUUUUCGGAAGGUGAAGAAACCUUCAUGGGUAGAUUCUCACCCUUUUCCCCCUCUUUGGUGGUAUUAAAACAAGACACCUCAAGGUUGACUUGGGCAGUCUUAUACGAAACCAACUCGGUAAUAAUUCCUCUAAUGUCACCGGACGUUAAGGUUUUAGAUGGUGAAGCUCCGUCACCCUCGUCUUUUUUUAGAAUCCAACCAACUUCUGUUUCUUUGGUUUAUUUACCAUUCUCUUUCUAGUUGGCUGCUCAUACGUCUCCUUUCGCAGACUCAUCUUCUUGUGUCUGCAUCUGGUCACCAGAGUCCAACCUUUAUCAUCGUCUUCGUCAACUGAAGACCUAUUAAGCUCUAAUAUCUUCUCAUUAUGCUCUUUGACACAAAUCUGAAUUGGGUCGAGUGAGCUAAAAGUGAUAGAUAUUUUAUGAGAGCUGGCUGUCUCAUCGUCGAAGAAGAUUUUUUUUUCUUUUGCUAGUUGCAUGACUUUAUCUUUAAAGAUAAAGCAUUUCUCCAAAGGGUGACUUAUGAGCCUAUGAUAUUUGCAAUAAUUAGGAUCAUUGGUCUUUCCAGCUUCGUUGGGACGCUUCAUCUCUGGGAUUUCGAUGAGCUUAUGCUGAAGGAGUUCAUCGAAAAUCUUAGCAACAUCAGAAUCAAGGAAGGGAUAUUUCUUUUCUUGCAUCUCCUUUAAAGUUUUUUGAUUCAGACGCUCUCCAGAAGUCGUCUUCACACUUUGCUUCUAUCUUACCUUUGUGGUGACCUUCACAGGAGAUACAUCAACAUUCAUGGAUUCCUUGUUUUCAUUUUUGGGAAGAAACUUGCCCCAUAUUUUGGGUUUUUGCUUUUUCUUUCUCCUUCGAGGAUCAUGAAUAGGCACUCCUUCCUUUCCAGUAGAAGACAUGCUCAACUCCAUGUCGUGAGCACGAGUAGCUAACUCUUCAAAGGAUUUUGGUUUAAUUCCUUUCAAGAUGUAGAGAAGCCCUCAGUGCAUUUCUUGGAUGCACAUCUCUAUUAUAGAAGCUUCACUGAGCCUAUCUUUCCAGUUUAGACUGGUAUUUCUUCAUCGAUUGAUGAAGUCGAUGACUGGCUCAUCCUUUCUUUACCGAGUAUUUGUGAGCUCUAUCAUGCUCACUGUACGCCUUGUGCUAUAAAACCGACUUAGGAACUCGUGUUCCAAUUGCUCCCAACGGUCGAUGGAGUUAGGAUCGAGGUCUGUAUACCAAUCAAAGACGUUUCCCUUUAGGGAACGAACAAACUGUUUGACAAGAUAGUCACCUUAAGUUUCAGCAUUAUUACAUGUCUCGACAAAGUGUGCGACAUGUUGUUUGUGGUUACCUUUGCCCUCAAAUUGUUAAAAUUUUGGGGGUUGAUAGCCAACAGGUAUUUUGAGGCUAUCUAUUCUUGCAGUGUAAGGCUUGGCAUAUGCAAGGGAAGACUUGGUGACAACAUCAUACUUGUCUUUGAGGGUCCCUUCAAUAAAUUCCCUCAAUUGCCUAAUCGGGAUUAUUCCCUCAGCAAAAACUUGCACCUCUUUAGUCGAUGGUGUUUGUUUCACAGGAUUUUCUAUCUCAUGAACCUCUAGAGCUUUUCCCAGUGCAUAGCUAGAUUCUCUAUCUAUCAAGCCUUCCACUCUAUCCACUAUCUUAUCAAUCCUAGCCUCUUCAUUCUGAACAUAGUUGGUCAGGCCUUCAAUUGACUUUGUCAGAUUCGCAAGCUGCUCCUCUAUAGAUGAGACAUCAGUUACCAUUGCUUGCAUGAUCACCGAAGAUGUUGGAGAGUAACACGAAUUAUCACAUAAGUUGAUUUUUGAAGUACUUAGCUUAUGUGGUGUAAGUGGAGAUGACGCAUUUGUUGAACGACCAUCGCUCUUGGCUCCAGAGUAUUUGAAACCAGAAUGCUCAAGUAGAGCUAGAGUCUUUUUCAGUGAUUCAGCCACACUGCUUCCUCCUUCUGAAGCACUUAAAUUGGACUUCGUUCCUUUUGAGGUUGAAGAUCCAAAAACUGGAACUGGAGCGGACGACACUGGAUGUGUUUGUUGUCCUAGCAAGCCUGCCUUGCUUCUUGUGACAGCUCCCAGGCUUCCGAAAGUAACAUAUAGAAUGCUUUCUACUUCAGCAGAGAACUUUGAAUCUGUAGCCUUGGAAACAGUUCAUUGUGAAUUGGCCUUCUUGGAAGUCAUUUCGUUGUUUUUAAACUUUAAAGUAUGAAAAGUUGAGAUGAUAGGUAGAGAUCGUCCCACUGGGCGUGCCAGAAUUUGUUGGACAGUAAAAUUUUCGAGGCCAAAAAAUAAUAAAUAAUCGAGACAAAAAUAUAUUGCAACAACCAAUUUUAUUCAUUUCUAUGCGAGUGUUACAAUCUCUAGGAAUCAUCUGAUUCGUCUUUUCAAAUAUAAAUUCAAGGGCUAAUUAAAGUUUGAUCUUGAAUUUGAACUUAAUUUGAUGGACUUGAGGACUUGAUCUUGACUUGUGCUUGAAUUCAAGGGCUUUUGAGCUUGUUCUUGAAUAUUGAUGUCUUGAUCUUGAAUCUUGGUGAACUUGGUUUGGAUGCUUGAGCUUUUUAGAGAAAUUGCGGAGUUUGAUCUGCGAGCUUUCUCUUGCUACUUGUUAGAGUUCUGGGGGUCCGUUUUUCUGAAUUAUGAGGCCCUUAUUUAUAGUUGUAGGAAAGGAAGAGUCCUGAUGAAUAUGAAUUUCCUUUGACCAAUCAGAUUUAAGUGGUGGCAUCUUUUAUGGGCUUUUAUUUCAUGGGUCUGCUGCAUCAGUUUGACAUGUGGCACGGUCUUAUUGGCUCCUUUACUUGACUUGGCAUGCUACAUCAUUUGACACGUGGCGCUUAUUUGGGCCUCUAGAAUAUGACAAUAUUUUGGGCUUAGUAAAGUGGGCUCAUCAUUUGUAACCCAAAUUAAUGGACUAACCCAAUAAAUAUUGGGUCUUAUUUAAAUUCAUACCUAUUUGGACUUAAAUAAUUAAUUCAAUUAUAUUAAUUCGUAAUAUUUAUUCGAAACUAAUAUAUUUUGAAUUUAAUAUAAUCCAAAUUUUGUACGAAUUUAAAUUUAAUAAAAUUACAUCGCCCACAUGGAGCUAACUGAUUUUAUCCCAAUUUUCUUUUUAAAAUUAUUUAAAAUCCUACAAAGAUAUAUCAAUUUUUUCCCGGAUACAUCACUUAAUUUAUAAGAAUACAUUAUAUUAUGGAUACAUCACUUGAUUUUACAGUAUACCUUACCAAAAUUUUAAAUAAAAUUAGAAAUUUAUGUAAUUAUUUAAAAGAACUAAUAUUUUACAUAAUUAUGAUAAGUUAACUUGUGGUGUAAUGUAAUUUUUUCAAUAAAUAUAAAAACUAAAAAUUACACAAACUCACAACUUAAAUUUCACUUAUUACAAAAAGGUCCCAUCUCUCCAAACAUAUUACAAAAAUCUUAUUUUCCUCUAAAAAUACAUAUGCAUAGCUUCUAUGUAUAUGUCGGUCCUUUUAUGUAUAUGAAUCGGCUUUGUUAUGUAUAUGUCGGCCUAGUUAUGUAUAUGUCAGCCUUGUCAUACUUGUUGUGUGUAUGAAUCGACCUUGUUAUGUAUAUGUCGGCCUUGUAUUUAUAUGUCGGUCUUGUCAUACUUGUGUAUGAUUCGGCCUUUUAUGUAUUUGUCGGCCUUGUCAUAUACAAAGGUUUCUAUGUAUAUAUCGUCCUUGUUAUGUAUAUGAAUCGGGAGGGAGAGUAAAGUAAUUAAGAAAGUGGGAUAAAAUGUAAAUAACUCUAAUGAGGUUAGGAUUUAUGUUAUUUUUACAAUUUUUUUAUAAUUGCAUAUUAUAGCAACUUUUGAUAUGUAUUUUUGCAAAGUGUUGCUAUAAAAAUACAAUUACAAUUGUUUUUACUGCAUUAAUUAUCUAAUCUAAAUAUGGUAAUAAUUUCAUAAAUUAACAAUUAAAGAUUACAAUCCCAUUAAAAGCUCACUAAUCACCCUUUUUCUGUUUCCUCCCAACAACCCUAUUCAAAUUCAAAAAAAAAAAUUAUAUUAUCCACUCGCUAUAUGUGUGAUUCUUCUUCUUAAAAAAAAAAUAAUUCAAUUUUCCAGUCGCUAAACGCAUGAUCCUUAAAAAAAAAUCAAUUCAAAUUUUUGUUGAAGCUUCAAAUUCGCUGUAAUUGAACAAUCAAAUUCAAUUGUACUUGUUGAUGUUCAAAAAAAAAUUCGUAAAGUUCAACUAUCAACAUUACCUUGUUCUCGAUAACACUUUGGAAUUCAAUUAUCUUCUACGAAUUAGUGUUUAAGUGUUGUUUCAGGUAUUACCGUAUUUUUUUUUUAGUAUAUUUUGUUUUUGCCGAUCGUUUUUUCAAUUACUCAAUUUUUGAUUCAUCGUAGAUUUAUUUACUGAUGCUCCUAUCUAAUUUUUUGUUGUCGCCGUUAAAUUUUAUAUGAAUAAUUUCUAAACGAAUUUUGAGUUAUAAGCAAUGAAGGAGUAAAUUCAACAUAUAUACAAAAACCUUCAGAAUUCAACUAUUUGUUGCCAAAUUUCAAUUUAGAAGUUGUUUCAGGUAUUAAAAUUUCACUAUUCGACUAUUUAUUUGAUGAUCGUUUGUUGUUAUUUUGAUUGGUUUAACAAUUGAACAAAUUGUGAAACUUUCUAGAAUUUCGAUUAUGAACAUAAUUUAAACAAAUUUUGAUUUCAAUUUCAUUCAAUUAUUUUCUGAAAUCCUAGAUCAAUGAAUGAUCGAAUUGAGCUGUUGAAUGUGAUGAAUUCUAUUGACACAUAUCAAAAUACAAAUUAGGUAUGCUCCCAAAUGUAUUUUUGUGUGUUUAAUGUUAAAACUGCAUAUGUAUUUUUGCUAUGCUUAGUGUUAACACUGCAUAUGUAUUUUUGGUUUGUUUGUCGGAAUUUCAGAAUAUAACUGUAUAUGUGAAAAUAUAUGUUAUACGUGUUUUACUUCUGUUCGAUUCAGUAGUUUCUGUAUUUGGUUGAAAACUUUUGUUGUGUUUGUAUUUUACUUUAAAUAAAUUUUAUUAUGUAUUUUUUGAACAAAUUGUGAAGUUUUGUAGAAUUUCAAUUAUGAUCAUAAUUUAAACAAAUUUCUAUUUGAAUUUUAUUCAAUUAUUUUCUGAAAUCCUAGAUCAAUGAAUGAUCGAAUUUAGUUGUUGAAUGUAAUGAAAUUCUAUUGACCCAUAUCAAAAUACAAAUUAGGUAUGCUCCCAGAUGAAUGAGACGUCUAUAACAAUUGUACUGCCACCAUAGUACAAACGCCCAACAAGAAGACCUCCUGCAAAGAAGGAUCGUGGAAAAUCGGAUCGAGAUAUGUUUGGAAAGAAGAACAUCAGCUCAUGCACUGGAUGUGGGGCUAAGGGUCACAACAGACAUUCUUGUAGGAAAUAUCAUAAAUGAUACAUUUUUUCUUCUGUAUUAUUUUUUAAUACUUUCUUCUGCACUUUUUAUAAUAAUGAACACAUUUUUAUGGUUCUAAACAUUUAUUUAGCAUUUGCGAUCUAAGCACUGUUUAAUAUGAAUGUUGCAUUUGUAUAUAAUGCAAAAUCUGAACACUGCUUAUGUAUUUUGAAUCUACAUAUUAUAUGUAUUUUGAAUACUGUAUAUAUAUUUUUAGUACAAAUUUAGUAACUUUGGUUAACCUCAUAUGAAUGUUAGCUUUAGAAUAAAGAAAAAUUAAAUAAAUAUGAUGUAAAUUGCAUAUGUAUUUUUAAUGCAGUUUCAUAUGAUUUUAAUAAAAUUUUAAAAUAAAUUAAUUUCAUGCAUUUUUCUAAAUUAGUUAGUUUGAAUCACCUCAUAUUUAUUUUGAAACUAUUGAACAAAGGAUAAAUACAUAUAAUAUAUUCUGCAUAUAUAUUUAUUUAAUGCAAAAUCUGAACAUUGUAUAUGUAUUUUUGAUCUCUAAAUCUCACAGUCAAAAAAAUAAAACUGCAUAAAAUACUUAAAUGAAUUUCUUUCAUUCAAUUCACAAACUUAAAGUUGAAUUCAUCUCAUAUGUAUUUUGAAAGUAAAUGAACACAAAUUAGAAUAUAUAUGAAGGUAAGUGCAUAUGUAUUUGUAUUGAAAAUUUUAAGACUGCAUAUGUAUUUCAGAGGUCAAUCGUACUGCAACCAAUAUUAUUGAACACUGGAGUAAGACACAUAGUACAAAAUUGUUGAAAACAUAUUCAACUUAUACAACAGAAAUGAAUUACUUUCAUUCACUUCAAAAUAAGUAACAUUUAAACACUUCAAAACAUAAAUAAGUUUGUACAAAAAAAAAACAACAUUCAUACACCAGUUUGUCGACUAUCCAAUGUAAUAAAUUCAACAAUCAUCAUAACUCUAAAACUUCAGUGACACUAGUUAUUCGGCUUUGCCUGCCAGGCCUCAAGGGUGCUUCGACAUCGCUAUGAGCAUUUGCUUCUUGUUUUCUCAUGCCAUAUAUAGCCCCACAAUAGUGCAGAAUAACAUGUACGAAGUGUAUUGGGGUUGAACUCAAUCAAAGGAACUCUUUUACCAUAAGAAAGACACUCUGCGUAUGUUACCAUAUACAAACCACAGUCCCUACAAAAAAAAAAAAUUGAAUAGUAAAAUUUAAUUUCUACAAACGAUAUUGGUAAAUGUAUAUUAAAGUAAUUACAAGCUUUCACUUGAUUGUUGAACCAAUUCAUCUGCAAAUAACACAUCAAAAAGAUCUGACAAGCUUUUAUCUUUGUAUAUUGGAUGGUUAUGAAGAUCAAUACCUUUCUUUUCGUAGAAAUUACAAGCUUGGGAUACAAUAGGAUAAUCUCAGCUAAUUUUUGUAUCUCAACCAGAACAAUUGCAUAGUGACCAGAGAAUUCAUAUGAAUUAUAUAAGAAUAUGCACCUCUCGGAGAAUGAUAAAAUUGCGAGAACCCAAUGAUGUUUCUCAAAUUUAACAAAAAAAAAAAUCUUGUAAAACUGUAAAAAAAAANNNNNNNNNNNNNNNNNNNNNNNNNNNNNNNNNNNNNNNNNNNNNNNNNNNNNNNNNNNNNNNNNNNNNNNNNNNNNNNNNNNNNNNNNNNNNNNNNNNNNNNNNNNNNNNNNNNNNNNNNNNNNNNNNNNNNNNNNNNNNNNNNNNNNNNNNNNNNNNNNNNNNNNNNNNNNNNNNNNNNNNNNNNNNNNNNNNNNNNNNNNNNNNNNNNNNNNNNNNNNNNNNNNNNNNNNNNNNNNNNNNNNNNNNNNNNNNNNNNNNNNNNNNNNNNNNNNNNNNNNNNNNNNNNNNNNNNNNNNNNNNNNNNNNNNNNNNNNNNNNNNNNNNNNNNNNNNNNNNNNNNNNNNNNNNNNNNNNNNNNNNNNNNNNNNNNNNNNNNNNNNNNNNNNNNNNNNNNNNNNNNNNNNNNNNNNNNNNNNNNNNNNNUUCGCCUUUUGGAGAAGAAACUUUUUUCAACCACUUUUUUCUUCAAAAUAUCAGCUAUCUUCAAAAAAAAAUUCAACCAACAACAACAACAAAUCAACCCAAAAUCAUCUACAAUAUUCAUUCAACUCCGAUUAUCCUCCAUUUAUCGCAACAAAACAAAACCCAGUUCCAAUUCUCAUCCAAAAUUUAAUUUUUUCAACUAUAUCAACUCAUAAAACAUCAAAUUUAACUGAAAAACAAACAAAACAAAAUUCAGCAAAUUCGAUGACCUUGAUUCUCCGUUAACAACUACAAAAAUCAAAACCUUAAAGAUGAAAUGGAGAAAUUGUUUACAGUACAAAAUUAAAAAAAAAAAUAUAUUGAAAAAUUGAUAACAUGCAAUAACUGAAUUAAUUAUUACCUGAAAUUGUGGAACAAUAAUCAUGAAAAAUACGUUAAGAAAGAAAAUUUUUGAAAGAGAAAAUCUAAUAAGAAGCAUGAAAAAUGGUAAAGUAUAAAGCAAUUAAAGGAAAGAGAAAGUUUUAAGCGUAAAUAAUGGAAGCAGCUUUUAAGAUGCAGUAAUUGUGGUCCCCCACUGAAAAUAAUGCUACAAAUGCUACACAAGUUAAUUAGGAAAAAAUGUUGCUAUUUUUUGUAAUUUAGUACUUAGGUAUGCUAUGUAUAUGUAUUUUUCUCUAAAAAAUAUUCACAUUGCCGGUGUUUAUAACUUGAAACCGACAACUCGACAUUUAUGGGCUGAUGCUGUAAAAGAGGCCCAGCCCAUUUAUUUAUUUUUCGCAUCAUCCAUUAUGACCAAUUUAGUAACCGAAUUUAAGGAAGUCCAACUUGUUCAUCUCUUUCCAUUUCUUUCUGCUGCUUCUUCCUCCUCAUUUCGUCGGUUCUUCCUAAAAAAGGUAUCUCAUUUUUUUUAUUAUCCUUUUCAAUGGAACUUCCUAUCUUUGAUGAUUUAUUCUUUUUAUAUACAUAAAUAUACUUCUCAGAGUAUUUAUUUAUUUUUAUAAACGGUAAUGUCUGAACCAACUUGCACGCACAUGACUAAUUUUAUUGCAGGGGGUAGAGUAGAAGAAACGGUGUCGUAAUUGCAUGACGAGUGCUUCAGAGCUAUUCUUCACUAGGAGGUCUCGUUACGGUCGAAGCGAUCUCGAAUUAGGAUCCAAUUUAUCGCCAAGUCGAAUUUCUCACCACCACGGCGGUCACAAUCGCCGCCACCACCACCAAAAUAUCCGCCGUGAUCGUCUCGAUGUGAACGAUUGUGAGCCGUUGCGCCGCUCACCUCACCUUCAUAGACGUUUCCCUCCUCCUCCUGUAAGAAUUUUGGAUUUGUGUAUUUUAUUUCUAUGUGCAGAAGGGAGCCUUUGGAGUAACGUGUUCAAGCGGUGUAAACAGUCUCUUGCAGAAAUAUAAGAUAAAGUUGCGUACAAUUGACACUUGUGGCCCCGACUCUUCUCUAGACCAUGCGUAUAGACGGAGCUUAGUACACUGGGCUGCCCUUUUUUGUUUCUACAUGUUGUAGAGUGAUAACAUUAAAAAUGUUGAGUGCUGCUGUAUCUAUUGUGUUGCGCUGGCAUAUUAUAUUUGAUUAGAGCAUCUAAUUUGCGUGUACAAAGACGAGAUUUUGAGUCACAUUGGUCUACAUGCAUAUAUUUAAUACUAGAAUUGCUAAUUAGCUGAAUCCAAUUGUUAUUUCAGCGAAUUCUUUUCUAUUUUAUUCUCCAAUUAUUAGUUGUAAUUUCUUGCCUCAGCGGUACUAAAUGUAUAUAGUAAUAUGUAGUGGUUCACCCUCUUUUGUAUAAUAAGUAUUAUAUUUUCUGACAGGAGACUGUCGGACCGUUGGGAUCGUGCCACAAUCAAAUAUGCACUUUUAAUUGACAUUCUGCUUUCUUUAUUACUCUUCCUGCCUAGUGAUGAAUAUAUGGACAACGGACUCGUGAAUUUGAGGAUAAAUUUUAUUAUUCUCGUUUAUCACACCUGCAUUGCCUUUAUUUGACAUUUCUAGUUGCAAAUGUUAGAGCGGGAGGCCUGUUUAUAUAUAUAUAUAUAUAUAUUGUUCAUCACUCUUAUUGUUACACUUGCAUACAAAUCUCUAGUCAUGCUAAAAUGAAUCAUGGAAAACAGGGGACGUUCUGUAAAUGUUACGAUUACAAUUAAGGUUAAGGUAUUGUGCAAUGAUAUGUUUAUCUCUUUAAUUUUUGUAAGCUUACCAAAAAUAAUACAUCAACAAUUAGGCUUGAAUCCCAAAUAAGUCUUAUAUGGAUCUGUUGUUUCAAUCUUUUGUUCUUUAGCUAUCACAGACGAGAUUUGCUCCUUUUCCAAUUAAUUCCUGCCAUUGGUGGCAAUAUUUUGAAGCCACUAUUGCCAUUUGGUGUGCCAUUUUGAGAUUUACUCCCCUGUGGAAUGAGUCGAGUAAAUGUGAUGUGACAGCUUACUUUAAUUGCAAGCCUUGGUUUUGUUUAGCAGUAUGAACUUCAGAGCUUUUCUUAGUGUAAAUGAUUGCCAUUGUAUUCUCGAUUGGCCUGAUUAUAUGGCGUUUGACCCGUGAUUCUUGUAAUAUCUUAAUGUAGUGCUGGCUGAUGUACUUCUCUCUCUGUGCUACAUCUUUAAGUCCCUCCCCUCCCCUCUUUAACAAUUCAUUCCUCAGCUUUUAUGUUCGUUUAUGAGAUGGUAAUUGUUGUAAGUAUGUACUUGAUGCUCUUGUAAUUGAUUGAUAGAUUAUUUGGAUUUAGUCAUUCAUUUUUGUUGUUGCAUGAAUAUAUUGCUGUUUUGUUUUGUGAUAUUGUGUAUUUCAAUGUUUGUGUUUUUUACAGUAUAUUGCUGAUUUGUGAUUAAAAGACUUGGUAGGAAGCUCCAAAUUCUUACCACCUAAUUUUUCUGAUAGAUUUCAAUUCUUUGAAGGUAACUUGAAACAUUGAUGCUAAUUACUUUGGUCUUUUUCACAAAUUAGGAUCGUGAUUCUGUUUCGCUUGACUCUGGUAGUAGCCAGGCUGCAUCAGGAGGCGCCAGUCAUGCAACAAACCACGGCAACAGAAUACGAGAUAGGGUGGGAAUCGCAGGUAGUGAGCGUCUCCCUGGUUCUGUACUACUUGCAAGGGAAAGACUUCUACAGAGGUUGAGAGGUGUAUCUAUAUCUGGAAAUAGGUUGGUAUUUUCAAUCCAUGAAACCCUAUAGUAUGAGCUUUUCUUGGCAAACCACUGUAGUUUAUGAUAUUAUAUAUCCAAAAUUCAACCUUUGAUUAAACAAAUACGGAGAUGGGUAAGUGUACAUUUCUAAGAGGAUAAAUUUCUGAUAAAGCAGACAUGAAGUUGCUUGGGUCUUGAGAUGAACUUUGAGUUCUCUGAUUCCUCAAAUCAAUUUGUUUGGGUCAUUAAGAAUAUCGAAAUGAGCAUGUGUUAGAUGAAAAAGACUGGAGAUAUUAGUUUCCUGUAGUGAAUGGACUUUCAUCAUAUGAUUAUCAAAAUAUUGCACCUAGACAUUGUUGAGUGCUUAGUAAGGAGUUUAGCUGAUUUUGCUGACCCUUCCUCCUCUAUGGCUUUUGUCAUUGUAGAAGUUAAUGGACAUGUUUUAGGACGUCAAUUCACCAGCAGUCUUACAAGUAUACGUUUUUUCCGUUCUGGUUGUCUUGUUGGGAUGAUUUCGCACUAGUGUUUGUAAGUUGCUCUGGUAGUUAUUGCCAUAUGAUUUAAAUUCUGAUAACACUGCCCCUUUGUAUUUGACAUGAGCAGUUUGGGCGUGAUAUCAUUCAAAAUUGAUCUAGCUGUCUGUUUUAGGUGUUCUAUGUUGGUUAAACUUGGUCCUUACAUUCUGUGGUCACUUGAACCUUCUAUGCUAACCCAAAGAGACUUUCAAUUAAUCUUCAUUUUAAAAUAGUGAAGUGCACUGUCAAUUUAAGUGGAACUUCAAAGCUGUUGCAUGUGAUCUAGUUGAUUGAAAGCUGAUAUUGGCUUCUGCUAGGGGAAGUUACCGGGUCCCAGUAAGCUCCCGUCACAACUUCACAUUUGAGGAUGAUUUCAGACUUGCCGAUGUCGGUGAUUGGGAAUCAGAUUCUAGCCUGUGGACUGCUGGAACAACGCCCAGCCCUGAUCUGAUGUGGGUAGAUGGAAACAAGAGGCCCCCAGGUCUGAGUCAGGAAGCCAUGAAUUUAUUGCAUAUUGGGAUUUUCAGCAAUUCAGACAAGAAAGAGGAAGAAACACAGGCACGGGUGGUUCUCGACUGUAGCAUUUGUCUUGAUGCUUUCUUGGAGGGAGACAAGCUAGUAUGUUUACCUUGUGGGCAUAGGUUUCACCCUUGUUGCUUGGAACCGUGGGUAAGAACUUGUGGGGACUGCCCAUAUUGUCGAGCAGCUAUACAUGUAACUUCUUGUAGGGCGAAAGGAAGGCCAUGAAGCCAACCAUCAACUAGAGUGGUGGUCUCUUGUGAGUUCUUCUUUUCUGAUAGACUUUGACCUUUUUGUUGUAUGGAUGAUAGCUUUUUAUAGAAUGAGUAGAACGGGAAUGUAGCCAAAUAUCUGUGCUGUAAUCAUGUUGGGACUGUAAUCGAUUAUACUUGAGACUUGAUAAUUUUUUAUAUUUUUGGUCAUUCUGAAUGGAGUUUAUCAAGGUUUAGAUUUUGGCCAAAACAACGUAAACAAACAGAAUUUGCGCAAGAACUGAAAGGGUGAGCUUGCAAACUCAAGUUGUUACAAAUUUCAGAACAAAAGCCUGUAAGUUUCGUGUAAGCUAACAAUGUCAUUAAUGUUGAAUUAGUCAGAUCCCUAUAUCAGUGUUUAGAUACCCUUGAGUAUUGAGUUGACAAAGUAUCCCUACUUGGUUGAAUUAAUUGGGUUCUUUUCUACAUGUAUCACUAAGUAAGUUUAUGAAAAGACUAUAAUAAUUAACAAGUCUCGUCAAAAGUCCAUGCCGUGGUGCUAGUGCUAGACAAAGUCUUGUAAUGCACUUCGUUUUCUCUACAUAGCUGGCAAAUUAUGUUUUCUCCAGAAAUGUGGUAGACAAAACAGUGCAAGUAGAUAACUUUCAUGCAUGCAUCAUCAUGAGCUUCAUUUAUUGUAUAAACCAAGCUAGCUAGCUAGGUGUUUUACAUAUUCUAUGUGCAUUUCAAAAGGCAUUUAUAUGUUUGAGUUGUGCUGUUUCCUUUUCAUAUGUUCAUAUUAAUUCUAGUUACAUAUUCGUAUCAGAUACAGUUGUGAUUCAAAUUAUUAUUGAGAAAUCAGACGGUUUGAAAGGGAGUGGCUUCCUAAGAGACGUCCAGAAUACCUUUAUUCUGGUCAAUAAUAAAUGAAAAAGGUGAGAAGAUUUCAUGUUCAUACAGAUCCCAAUGUAGUAUUCCAGCUAUUUUGAAAAGCAAAGGUGCUAAAUGACCAGGGGCGGAUCUUAAGGGGUUCACGGGGUGACAUGACACCUGCAAACUUCGAUUGGAUAACUGUGUGUAUAUAUAUAUUGAAUAAAACUGGUAUAUUAUUUAAGUGUCACCCGGUGCAACAGUUGAGGAAGUAGUGUCAGUGGCAAACGCGUUGAAAUUUUACGUAGUAGUGUCAGUGGCAAACGCGUUAAAAUUUCACGUAGUAUACCAGAGUUCAAGUCCAGAUGCCAGCAGUAUUUUGUUACUUUUUGUUCGUUAUUCUAUUUUCUAUAAGUUUUUUUCAUCUUAACUUAAUUUUUGUUUAACUCCUUUUUUUGGGUAAUCUUUGUUUAAGAAUUUUUAACUUUAAGUGUAGAAUAUAAUUGAAGAUUCUUUCUUCGUUCAAAUUUAUAGUUAACCUCUUCUCAUAAAUCAUAAUAAUGAUGUUUGACAUUAUGUUAUAAUUUCUUAACAAUAGAAUUGGAAAUAUCCAUUGAAUGUUGACAACUAUUUUGUACUUUCACGCUGACUGAUAAGUUGAAUUUAACUCUUGUUUACAUAAUUUAUAGUAAUAACAACAACAACGACAACAAAUUCAGUGUAUUCUCACAUAGUGGGGUCCGAGGAGGGUAAAAUGUAUGCAGUCCAUACACUACCUCCGGAGAAGUAGAAAGGUUGUUUUCGAUAGUAUUUAUAAGAAUAAUCACAUUUUUAUGAUUUGAUCUAUUUGUCUGUACAAAUUGAAAAGACAAAUAAUCAAAUCGAAACUCAAAGUCUAUAAAAUCAAAAAAAUAUUUAUCUUAUUUGGGACAGUGUAAAUAGCAAAACGUAAAGCAAAAAAUUAACUGAUUUCCACCUGAAUACGUAAAAAUUAGGUUCUUCAAUAAUGUUUCAAUGAAAUUUUUCUUCAAAAAUCUCAAACUAACAAGCGAAAUUCCAGUGGGAUGUCCAUAAAAAUUAUCCUUUUUGAGUAAUAGCUUUAAUGUUAAAAGUGACAUGGCACCCGCAAUCUCGAAAUCCUAGAUCCGCCUCCGUAAAAUGUUUUCUGAAAAAUGUUUUCCUAUUUUUCCUUGUUUGGUUGUAAUAAAAUGUUUGGAAAAUAUUUUUCAUAAUAACUCAUUUUCCUCAAUUUGGGGGAAUAUGACUUCCCUCCUGAGCCAAGGGAAGUCAUUUUCCAGAAAAUGACAAAUGUGACGUAUGACCCCACCCCUAUUCCUCUUACUCACCCCAACAACACUCAUAUUCACAUAACUCAAAAAAUUCACAUUUCUCAAAAAUUUACAUUACUCGGAAAUAUUUUUCACUGUGCUUUAAUUCAAUUUUUCACUGCUUGAAAUAAAAAAUGGUGAAGCCCGAAUUUUUUCCAUUUUCAAUGUUCGUUGAAUGUAUUGUUAUUUUCAUAUGCAUAGAGGAAGACCUACCUAUGUUACUUUUGCUAAUUGUAUAUUUUAUUUUGUCAUCGAUGUAACUUGUUUUACGAGAUUGAAUAAGCUUGUCGUUCCAUUAUAUUUCUAUUGAUUGUAAUAUCUUGAGAUUGUCUUGACAAAAUAUUGAAAAGUGUCUUCUAUAUUUGUUAAUUAAUAGUUGCUUUAAUUUAGUGAUUGUAAUAUUUUAGUAUUUGAUAUUGAUAUUAUUUGUUAUGCUUUACAAAUUGUUGAGUUGCGAGAGGCAUUGAUAUACUAGUUAACGGUUAGUAGUAUUUUUAAAAAAUAUAUUUUUCACUCACCAAUCAAACACUAGAAAAUAUUUUUCUAAAAAAUAGUCUCUACUCACCAACCAAACACCAUAAAAUACUUUUCGAAAAAUAUUUUUCACUCACCAACCAAACAUGAGAAAAUAAGUAGAAAAUCAACUUAUUUUCCAAGAAAACAUUUUCCAUGGAAAAUAUUUUCCAUCAUACCAAACACACCCGGUAAGUUGAAAAAUAAUAAUGAAUUUCACUUUUGAUAUUAGAAACUUCAUGGUAUCUAAUACUAUGGUAUCUGUUGCUGGUGAAAGGUGACAGAUACUCGUGAAUUUGGUCAAGGUACGCGAACACUGACCCGAACACCAGGUCGUAAAAAAGGAAAAACUUCAUGAUAAUGGUAGCUCUUUUUUAAAAAAUAUAGGAUCGAAAAAUAGUUAGUCUGUUAGAACAUGCACAGCGGAAACAAUAAAUCUACAAGAUCAAUAUAACUUACAUAUAAUAGUAGUAUUUUUAAAAAAUAUAUUUUUCACUCACCAAUCAAACACUAGAAAAUAUUUUUCUAAAAAAUAGUCUCUACUCACCAACCAAACACCAUAAAAUACUUUUCGAAAAAUAUUUUUCACUCACCAACCAAACAUGAGAAAAUAAGUAGAAAAUCAACUUAUUUUCCAAGAAAACAUUUUCCAUGGAAAAUAUUUUCCAUCAUACCAAACACACCCGGUAAGUUGAAAAAUAAUAAUGAAUUUCACUUUUGAUAUUAGAAACUUCAUGGUAUCUAAUACUAUGGUAUCUGUUGCUGGUGAAAGGUGACAGAUACUCGUGAAUUUGGUCAAGGUACGCGAACACUGACCCGAACACCAGGUCGUAAAAAAGGAAAAACUUCAUGAUAAUGGUAGCUCUUUUUUAAAAAAUAUAGGAUCGAAAAAUAGUUAGUCUGUUAGAACAUGCACAGCGGAAACAAUAAAUCUACAAGAUCAAUAUAACUUACAUAUAAUCUAGAUAACAUAAAUCAUCAAACGAAAUUGAAAAGCUACUUACCUAUUGAAUCUUUCACACAAUUCGUUCACUGCUGUGACCUCCAGGGUUAUAGUCUUCUACUAUAUCCUGAUUAACUUUUGCUAUCAAACUUGUGUGGACAAGUACUUUUUGGAUUCAAAGAGAAUAUGUGAAGAGAUGAUAAUCUUCUGAACAAAAAUUCCUAUUUAUUCUUGUUUUCUCUUAAAGAGGGGAAAGCCAAGAGGCAAAGUUUUUGUCUUUUCAGUUGUCAAAAACAUUUUCUGCCUCUUUAUUAUCCAAAAUAUUUUGUGUCCUUUAAUCGUCCAAAACGUUUUCUUAUUUAAAAUCAGAAGAUAUCUCUUCCUUAUAGAAGAUCAAUAAAUAAUAUUACUUCUUCUAGUAAGUUAUUUCUCUUUUCCAAAAUUGAUUAGUUCAUCAGGUAUAGCAGGGAUCACAGAUUUAUUAAGUGAGGCUUCCAAUUAUAAUAUUGAUUCGCACAUGAAUAAAUUACCAUAUUACAAUAAAUUACAAAUUAUUCCACCAAAAAUCUAUAAUUGCACUCCUCGAUUUAAUUUUGAAAUCUACCAUUACAUCUUAUUUAACUCCCCACGUUAGAAUUACCGACACCAAUUAAUUAAAUUAAAUUUCUGAAAAAUUUAACUCAUUAAUUAAUUAAAUCCUUUAUUUACAAUGUUUAACUUAUUUCACAUGACGGAUACAAAAUUCACCUGCAGUGUUUUCACGUUAAAACUUCUAAGCAACCAUAAAGGGGUGUCUUUCAUCUCAAGUCUGAGACAUGGUUCUAUCUACUAAUUAAUAUUUCGCUAAGUGAUUUGUCAUCAUCCAACCUAUUAGGAAUAUGUUGACUCACAAAAGAGUCUCGCCUUUUAAUAGAUUAAAACGGCAAAACAAACCACAUAGAUCAUAAUAAUUAUAUCAAGAUUAAGAGUAUAAGUACAUGUAAUGGAUUAGAGAAAUCGUUAAUUAAUAGGAAAAAUUGCAUAUAUAACGACAUGUUUAUCAGUAUUUAUCAAAAAUCCCAACUAUUUUCAAAAUUUCAUAAAAUCCCCACUUUUAUGCUCUGAAGAUACAUAUAACAUGUAUUAGAUACAUCCUAUAGAUACAAGAAAUAAUUAAACGGAUUAGCAUGAUUUAUGGGAUGUAACGACCUAAAUAGCAUUAAUAUAGCAAUUACUCAAACUAAUUAUUGUUUAAACGGAAUAAUAUCCCACAAUAUGAGAAAAUUUGUUUGUUAUCCCACAAUAAUAGCUAAUAUGCGUUAAAAAAGGCAAAUAACAUAAAUCUUCAUAAUUGAGGAGUAAAUCACUCUUCAUUAGUUCAAAAAUCCUUAGAAAUCAUAAAUAAUUUUAAUGGGUUCAUUCAAAAGAAAGGAAAUUCAUUAUUCUUGAAAAAGAAUUUGUUAUCCCUUCUUCUUUGUUAUUCGUUGUUGUUCUUCUUUUUUUUCGAAGAUUCAUAAUAAUGAAUAUCGCGUCUUAUUAGUACAUUUCAAUAUUUGGUUGUCUGAUGUCAAGCUCGAAGAAUAUAAGAUUGAUGGUUGUGGUCGGAGAUGUACCAAUGUCGAUCUCAGACGCUAUCUCAAGAAAAGCCGAUGAAGAUUUUUCCUCACCAGUUGUUUCACUGUCGAAUGUCAAUAAUGUAUGCAAUUUAUCCGUCAUGAAUACAGAUUAAAAAGUCAGAUUAUAAUCAAGAGAUGUACUCAUGAUUUGUUUGUCAACUCGUUUAUAACCUGAAUUUUAAGUUCCUUUUCUUAGAAUUUUAAGUUUUAAGUUUGUGGGUCAAAUUACUAGUUUUAAGUUGUCAAAUUACUCAUUUUAAGUUUAUUGGAUUAUAGUCUGUCUAUGCAAUCAUUGUUUCAAUUUUAAAGCCAAACAUUCUGAUAAACAAAAUUAUGUAUCUCUUGUUGAUUGAAUUUAGCCAAAAGUACAAAGUUGUUUUCAUGUUUAAGUCAAAAAUACAACACAGAACGAUAUAUAGAAAAACUGUAUGAACAUAAUAUUAUAGAUACAAAUAAUACAAAUAUGUAUCUUGGUUGAAAUACAUGUAUCUAUUGAUAUGCAUAAAUCAAUAAAUGUUAAACAAUAAGAGAUACAUAUAAUUCAUAAACAGUGAAGCAGUGAUCCAAGAUAUGAGAAAUGUAUCUAUAAGCUUGUAAACAUGUAUCUAUUGUUGUGUUAAUUUGAAUAAUAAUUACAGAACAUUAGAAACAUAUAAAAAUAAAAAAUGUAUCUAAUGAAAAAUAAAAAAUGUUCACAUUAAGCAAAUUUUAAUAAAUUUCUUAUGUAUUUGUGAAUUUAAUAUUAAUUAUAUUCAAAGUAACUAAAUGAUAUAAAAAGAUUUAUCUGAACGUUCAUUGAUAAAUUUCUUACAUAUUGCACAAGACUAUCGUUACGUAAUUAACAAUUGAUACAAUCAUUAAAAAAUUGUAUCUAUUGAAAAAUAUAUUUUGUGAACUGUAUGAAGCGUAUGAACAAUUACGUUCAGCUCAAAGUUAUUCAAUUUAGAGACAAAAUGUCUUGCAAAGAGAAAAAAUUAAGAAAGAAAAUUAUGAUUGAAUAUGAGAUUUAAUUGUACGAUGUAUCGUUAUGUUGCACAAUGUAAUGUUGUGUUGGUUACUUUCAUUACUAAACUUAGUUAUAUAUGUUUCAAUAAACUUGAUACAUAUAGUUAUAAAUAUGUAUCUAAUACAAUGUGACAAAAAAUGUUAAAUAUGAUAACUUUGUAAAGUGUAACAAAAAUGUACAAUAAAAUAAUAAUAUAUCAUAAUUUGGAAUAGCCAUAUGACAAUCAUUGGUGAUAAGGUAGAAUCCACGAUGUUGAAAAACAUCUAAAAAAAACACUAACAACAUGUACUAACAUCAUCAAACUAUAUAACAGUCAACUAGCCAACAAGUAAACAAUUACUCAAUAUGCAAAGCACAGACUUUUUCUUUUGGUGUGAAGCUGCUCCUUUGCCUUGGUGGAUCGUCAUUUUCACUAAAGUAUCCUUUCUCCGCCUUUAUAGAGCCAUACUUGCACAAAAAAGUGGCAUAUCUCAUGCGAUGGUAUUGAGCAUCAAUACCCGAUGAGAGAAUGCCUAAUUCCUUGCUCAGGUACUCGGCAUAGACAGCUACAAAUACACCACAAUCCCUGCAUAGCGAUUACUAAUUGAAUUAAAAAUGCAUAUAUACUUGUUUAAGAUAAUGAAAACAAUGAAAAAGGUAAUGUAAUACUUACAAACUUUCACUAUCUUGUUGUGCUAUCCCGAUAAUAUAUUUCACUCGGAAUGGAUCCUAAAAAAAUAUCAAAUUUAAAAAAUAGUAUUAGAUGCAAUAAUUCUACAAAAACACAGAACAAUAUAUAGAAAAACUGUAUGAACAUAAUACUAUAGAUACAAGAUAAUACAAAUAUGUAUCAUGGUUGAAAUACAUGUAUCUACUGAUAUGCUUAAAUCAAUAAAUGUUAAAUAAUACGAGAUACAUACAAUUCAUAAACAGUGAAGUAGUGAUACAAGAUAAGAGAAAAUAUAUCUAUAAGCUUGUAAACAUGUAUUUAUUGUUGAGUUAAUUUGAAUAAUACUUACAAGACAUUAGAUACAUAUAAAAAAUCAAAAAUAAAGAAACAAAUAUACAAGAAAUUGAAAAAAACGUAUCACGCAUAUAUAAAUAUGUAUCACGGCCAAUUAUUUUUCAGAUCUGAACAUGCAAAUACCUUUUGAAGUUCAUCUCUUGAAAUAACUUUAACCACUCUUCUUCUCUUAGCGGGAACAUCAACUCCAACACUGUUAGAUCCUCUUUUCUUCGAAACAAGAGCUUCUUUUUUCUUAUCUGUUUUGACCUUCUUUUUUAGUAAUUUCUUCAUAGUAUGAGGAUCGUUUCUAUGAUUUGAUCUAUUUUCAUUAAAAUCAUAAGAUUCGUAGUCAAAACUAUCAGGAGCGAAAUUUACAACUUCUUUAUAUUGUUUGCUAUUGUCUAAUUGAGAGAUUCCAAGACUGAAUCUAUUCAUUAUGUUAAUUGAAAAAAAUUUAGACGAAAAACACCAAUAAUCAAAGACUUUAUUUCAAAAAAUAGCCGAAAAUUAGUUUGUAAAAAUCAGUGCAAAAAAAUUAUUUUUGGAGAAAUAUUGUUCAGAUAAGACUACAAUAAGUUGAAUAUAAUUUUUAGGGGGGGAAAUUACCUUAAAUCAAAAGUUUGAAAUAGAGGAAGAAAAUAGUUGAAAUCGUCGCUGAAAAAUUGGCGAAGAAUGAAAAAAAAAAAUGGUGUAAAAUUGAUAAAGUAAGUGGCUGAUAUUAAGGGGUUUAAAUAUGUAUCUCAACUUUACCUAAAAGUGGUAAGUGUUGAAAUUUUUGUAAUAUUUUUAAAGUGGGGGGAUUUUUUUAAGUUUUGUAAGUAAAGUUGUUUUAUUAGAUAAUUUUUUCUUAUUAAUAUUUAGAACAUAACUGAAUAUCUUUAAUUGGUCCGUUCAAUACAUACGAAAUGUACUAGCACAAGAAAUUGGAAUAUUAUCACUCCCAUAAUUAAGAUCAAAUUAUAUUUAAUCUUGUGCUACAAUCAUCAAGAAGUUUGUCCUACCUCAUCUUUGAUUGUGAACGUUGAUUUAUUACUUAUAAGAACCAACAAUUUUAAUCUUUCGUGCAUGAGUUAAGAUACUUCAUAUACAAAAUUGUUUACUAUAUAAGUAAAGGACACACACGUUAACACAAUAAUCUAUUCAAAUAAAGAUUUUAUUAAUAUAAUAAAUAGCCUUUACAUUGGAUGAAAAUAUAAUACUAUAAACACAAACUACAUGGUUAAUAGUAUAUCCUAACAUAGUCGACGCUAUUUCAACUCUACAUAUUUAUACUUUUCUUUUGUUUUUCUAUAUGUUUUUGAUAUAAACUUGCAAUUUCAACUAAAUUAAAUUCGUAUAAUUUACAUAAGCUUCAUUUAAGAAAAACUUUAAAUUAAUUCUUUUUUUCAUCUUCAAGGUCGAACUCAAGACCUAGGCUGAAAAUAGAUUGAUCAUAUUCAUUUCACCAUAAUCAUCGAUGAUGCCACGUGUUCAUUCACUGAUCUCCUAAACAGUAUUAUAUGUACAGUCGGUCCAAUUAAAUGUAAAGUCAUGCACCAAACACGCUACAUAUUUAUACUAAUAUAUUCUUCUCAGACCAACAAUUAGUCGUUAAUUUAUUUGUCUAUAUAUGUGAAUGUGCACCUAAACGACCAAUGAAUUCUAUAUUUGAAGAUUCCACAGAACAGAAUUAUGUUUGGUCUUGAAAUGUUAUUUGGGUCUAAAUUAAACUAAUCUAGAUGGUACUACUGUUUUAUUAUAUGCAUUUUAUUGUAUCCCUUUCCUAAUCCAAGGGGCAACAAGCUGUAACAUGAGUUUACUGUAACUAUAUAUUGUUUAUUAUUUAAUUAACUCGUCGUCUUAUUUCCGAAACAUUUUAUUUAUUAAUACUUUAUUCAUUUUAUUCAAGAUUAGUCAUACUAACUUGAGUCACAAUAAAAAUUCGAUAGAUUGUUAGUAAAUUCAAAUAUCCACGAUAUUGAUGCAAAUGUAGCAAUUUUUUUUUGAAACUCUAGGAAAAUUUGCAGCCGCUAUAACUUUUUUUCACAGCCUCUGCCCUUUUUGAUGAGCACUUUGUGCGCAAUCGCUCGUAAAUUAUACAGGAGAUGUAAACCGCAAAAAUACAGCAAAUUAUAGAUGACAAAUGUACAAAUAUCCAUUUCUUCUAUUUCAAUUUAUUUUAGAUAUUCUAAUCGAGCACGAAUUCAAAAUCUAAGACAAAACGAAAACUUUUAAAACAUAUAAUAUUGACAGAAUACAUCGGCAGACCCCUUAAGUACGCACCAUCUUUCACUAGGCACCUCAAGUGGACGUUACUCACUUUUGACACCUAAAGUAGUCAUAAAGUGUGUCAUUUUGGCACAAUCAGCAAAGAAAGUGUAUUACACUCGCUUUUAAGCGAGUUUGAGGGGUAUUUUUAUAAUUUUUUAUCUUUAAUUUUUUAAAAAAAUUAUUGAAAAUCUCACAUUGUCCUCUCCACAACUUCUUUUUAGCUUAACCUCCAUUAGUGGAGGUGAAAUCAACGCUAAAAAAAAAAUUUCACUCCAUUAACAAAAUACUCAAUCCAUUAACAUGUCUACACAAUAAUACACACCAUGAACACCAAAUAAUACCCCUUCCAUUAAUCAACGGAACACACCCAAUUAUAAGAAAUUCAAGAGGAAAAGUAACGAAAAUUUAUAAUCAAAAUUUUCAGAAGAUAAUGAAGAUAUAAUCAUGAUUGGAACUGAAAAUUUUCAAAAGUACUGAAAAUUAGAACUAAAAUAGUGUGUAUUAUUUUCUUCUGCUAAUUUAUUUUCUUUCGUGUGUGUAGCUGUGUGUAUGCCUACUUAGAUGAAAUGAAAGUUGUGUGCGUUUUCGAUGGUGAAGUGGAUGUCUCGAUGCGGCGGCCAAACAAAAAUGGUAGUUUGGGGGUGGGGGAGGUAGGAGGGGUGGGGAGAGGCUAUGGAAAAAAUGACUUAAGGGGUUUGGGGGGGUGGGGAUGGGGUUUGAAUUUUAUAUUUUUUUUUAUAAUUAUUUAAGUUAAAAAAAAUUACCAAAUGUCAAUAAUUUAUUGGUGUUUUUUUUUAAUUAAAAAUAGUUAUUUAACAAUUAAUUUGGAGAAAAAUGACAAAUGUCAUAAUAUUAUCAGUCACUUUAUACGUCAUCGGUGUGUGUAAUACACGCACACGAUAUAUUUUUGCUGAUUCAGUAAAAGGUGUCAAAAUGACACACUUUAUGGCUAUUUGAGGUGCUAGAAGUGAGCAAGGUCCACCUUGGAGUGCCAAAGUGAAAAAUGAUGCGUACUUAAGACUCUGACGAUGUAUUCUGCCUGUAAUAUUUGAUAUAUCAUAAACAACAUGCAUACGGCUAUAAAACUUUUGAUUAUAGUGAUCUUAUUCGCUUGAAAGGAGAAUAAAAGUUGUUAGGUAAAUUAUCUACUUUCCUUCCUACAAUGGUUGGAUUAUUGGAUACUUUGGAUAUUGGACGUAACUUUGAUCAAGACAUCAUUAGUAUUAAACACAAAUUUUAUUAUGCAAAUUAUUUUAUAAUACAAUUAAGUGGUUUGUUACCAAAAACCAACUGCCUUAGCUUGACUUGUGACUUUUUCUACUCAUAAAUGAAAACAAGCUCUUAUAAAUUACUUCCUCCUUUCUCAUACUAUUUGAAUUAUUGCAAAGUUAGAAAGAAAUGAAGAUUAUUAAUUAAAAUUUAUGGUCAAAACCAAACCUUAAACAUUUGUUUCAGUUAUAAAAGAAGAACUUUUGAGUUAAGUCGUUUCGAAUUAUAGUAUUUUGAUAUUGUUUUAGAGCAAACUAAAAAAAAAUUGUCACAAAUUUAAAAAAAAAAGAUAGUAUUUAAUUAAUUAUUAGAUAUUUUGAGUCAUUUUUCUAUUGCAGAUUAUUAGACAUUAGUAACGUAAAGCUGGGGGAAAGAGAAGACUGACCAGAAAUUUCAGCUCUAAGUAAACGACCACCUUUUUGAGUAAAGAAGAAAAAGAUAAAAUUAAACUCUUUUAACUUUCACAUUUGGCAAAGUAUUUCUAUUUGAGUUUAUAAGUUAUGCAUGUGGCUAGGGUAAGAAAUUUCUAUAUCAUCAAGAAUUUUUAAUAUAUUGUAAUCAGUAAUUUCCAGACUUCACUUGGUAGGAAUGCACUGGAUAUGUUCUCAUUAUUGUUGUAAUCAGUAAUUUACUUUUAAUACAAAUGACAUUCUAUAACACUUUUUAAAAUAAAUAGUCCAAAUUUGAUAUCUUUUCAAAAUGUGGCCAGUCGGGUAUACUAAUUUCACUUUAUAUCCAUUUCCUAAUUUGAGUUAUUUUGGCCCAUGUAAUCCAGAUACAGUCCAUGUACGAUACUGAUACAGUUUUCAACUUGAGUCAUUCGAUCCUUUUAAAAAUAUUUCAGUUUUUUUUUGCUAUAAAAUUUUUAACUUGAAAAAUAUUUUGUUUUUUUUUAUUGUUUAGAAAUAAUAAUUAAGUAUAAUCUAUAUCUAUAUCUAUAAUAUAAUAAUAAUAAUAUAUAAAAGUGUGAAGGGCCUUAGAAAUGUUGUUUGAACUUUUUGUCCUUCAUUAAAANNNNNNNNNNNNNNNNNNNNNNNNNNNNNNNNNNNNNNNNNNNNNNNNNNNNNNNNNNNNNNNNNNNNNNNNNNNNNNNNNNNNNNNNNNNNNNNNNNNNNNNNNNNNNNNNNNNNNNNNNNNNNNNNNNNNNNNNNNNNNNNNNNNNNNNNNNNNNNNNNNNNNNNNNNNNNNNNNNNNNNNNNNNNNNNNNNNNNNNNNNNNNNNNNNNNNNNNNNNNNNNNNNNNNNNNNNNNNNNNNNNNNNNNNNNNNNNNNNNNNNNNNNNNNNNNNNNNNNNNNNNNNNNNNNNNNNNNNGAGUUAGUAAAAACUCAAUAAAUGCACAAAAAGAAGAAAUAUCAAAUUUAGAAUUAUAUAUAUAUAUAUAUAUAUAUAUAUAUAUAUAUAUAAACAUAACACAAAUAUGAUUAAAAUUGAUGUGUCUCUCUUGGCCUGUGACAACAAGAGAAAGAUGUACCAUAUGACAAACACAAAAGUAAUGAUUAAUCAACCAAUUGAAACUUUUGAUGGUAAAACAUAUUUGUGUAUAUGUUUAUGCUUACAUUAUUAUAUGAAAGUGUAAAAUAUUUUUGAAAAGUGAUUUGAACUUUUAGACUUUAUUAAAAGUCUUUGCAAUAGGCAAAAUCAUUUAAUUUUAAAUAAUUAAACGUUACACGUGCAAGACACGUGCGGUUAAACUAGUUAUGUAAAAACGAUAUAAUUGUUAUAUAGAAUAUGAUUUUACUUGUCUUUUUUCAUUAAUUAAGAAGAGACAAUUUUUUUUUUUCAUAUUUUACCCUUUGCAUUAAUUAUUUUUUCUUCAAAUUAAAAUGUAAACAUCAUUUAAUAGGGGUACUAUGGUAAACUAGGCAUGUUAUUAAUUAUUUUUCUUAAUCAAUGUGUUAUCUCAAUAAGGGACAGAAAAUUUGAGACGGAGGGAGUAUAUAAUUGUUGUAUAAAAUGCGUGGAAAAAAAAAGUACAAUUAUUGUAUAAAUUGUGUAUCGAAACUGUAUAAUUUUCAUAUAGAAUAUUUAUAUGUAUCAGAUAUGUAUAAAAAAUGUAUAGAAGGUUUAUAGAAACAGUGUAGAAUAAGCCAACAAAUUGAAAUGGCUAGAAAGUGAAAUUUAAAUUUUAUGACCAUUUUCAUGAAAAUAGUUUAAUUUGAAGUGCGGUUUAUGUUAUUUUCCUAUAAUGCAAGCUCUUCUUGAAUGUCCAUACUUAUUUUAAAGGGAUAAUAAAAUGUAUUUAGUUUGUUAUUUUAAUGCUGAGUGUGAUAUCAUUGAAAAAAAAUAAGUAUACUAAUAUACAGUUCUUUUUCUACAAAAUAAAUAAACUGUGUACAUUAAUAAUGUAUAAAUUUAUUUCAUAUUAUUAUUGACUUAUAAUAGUUUGCAUAAAAGCUCUUCAACACAAGCUUUUGUAACUUAAAAAGCAAAAAUAAUAAUCAAUAAAGAUUAUGGUGAAGUUGUAAAUGUUCUUCUCAAAUUUGAGCCAGUUAUUUAGUUAUUUCGGAUUAAUUGGGGUUCAAGAAUAGAACCUUGAAAAAAAAAUAAUAACCAUUAAAGAUUAUGUUAAGUGGUAAACAUUCUUCUAAAAUUGAAAUGAGUUAUAUUGAGUUAAUUGGGGCUCAAGAAUCAAAUCUUCUAAAAAAUAAUGACCAUUAAAGAUUAUGUUGAAGUGGUAACCAUGCUUCUAAAAUCUAAGUUAUUUUGAGUUAAUUGGGGCCCAAGAAUCGAUCCUUCAAAAAAAAAAAAAAGGAAAAAAUGACAAAUAUACUCUUCAAUUUUGUGAUUUAGAACAAUAAAUGAUGGAGAAAUUAUGUCCUUCCUCUGUCAUUUUUUCUUUAUUAUGUUUCACUUUUCAAAUGUCAAGCUUUGCGAACUUUGACAAAUAUUCUAAAAUGUAUUUUUUAUCGAAUUAAUAUGAAAAAGAUUACAACUUUUAACAAUUAUAUUUUAUAAUUUUUGAAUAUCUAAAUUUAAAAUUUUAAAUAUUAAAUUAAUCUAAUUCAAUUUACCGGUAAUAUACUUUGAGUGACCUAAUAGAACAAAAUUUCUUAUACUAACAAUGCAUCAGUUUAAACUAAUUUUGUAUAUCUCAUAUCUCAUUUAACUACGGGCAAAAGAAAAAAAAAGUAUGAGUUUGAUCUCAUGUAAUCUCUUCUUGAUUAUCAACGAAUUUAUUUUGAAGGGAAAAUUGAAAUGUAUUUAACUAGUUACAAGUUUAUGCAACUUAAAAGCUAAAAUUAUAAUCACUAAAGAUUAUGACGAAGCCGUAAGUAUUUUUCUCGAAUUUGAGCUAGUAAACUAUUUCGAGUUAAUUGAGGUUCAAUACAAAAAUUAACUCCGAAGAAAAGAAAAAAAAAAAAGAUAAAAUAAAGAAAAAAAAGGACAAAUAUACUACUCAAUUUUGUAUUGGGUCAAAAUCAUUUUGCCUUCCCAAUUUUGCCUUAAAAACCAAACUCCCUCUCAACUUUGAACAAUAAUCAUACUCCCCCUUUAUCUUAAUUGAUUUUUUAAAAUUCUUAUUUUACCCUUUAUCAUCAAUUUUUUAUUCUUUUUUUUAACUUCUUUAAAAUCAUCAUAUUUUCAUUUAAAAAAAAUUCAUAGAACAAAUUUUUCAUAAAAACAUAAACAUUAUUCAUAUAACAAAAUUUUCAUAAAAACAUAAACAUUAUCUUCUAGGAAAAAAAAGUAAGAAAUAUAUAAGCUAAUGAUGAUCUUUAUAAAGUAAAUUGGCGUAAUAAGAAAAUUAGUUUUAUUAAUAAUAAUCAAAACUAUAAUAUUUAUUUUACAAGUGAAAAUAAUAAGUAAUACUAAUUUUAUAAACAUAUUUCAAUGCAGAAAAUACAAACAAUAAAUGAAAGAGAUAAGCCUCUAGUACCACCCCGAACUAUGGUCAAAGUUGUUAUGACAUACUCCAACUUCCCAGGGUUCCUAUUAUUCCCUGAACUCAAAGUUAGCGUAUUUUUGUCAUUUUUUGUGCUAAUGUGGCACCUUUAUUGCAUAAAAUGGAACCCACAUCAAAGGUGUCACGUCAUCUAAAAUGAUUGACAAAAGGUAUCACGUUAGUUAAAAAGAUUGACAAAAAUACGCUAAAAUUUAGUUUAAGAGUUAAUGAAACCCCGUGAAGUUGACGAGACGUAGCAAAUUUGAUCAUAGUUCGGGGAUACUAGAUGUUUUUCUCGAAUAAAAAUAAGGUCAAAUUUUAAAGAUUAUAUUUAUUUAUAUAAAUUAUAAAAUAUGUAAUACUCUAUUAAUGACAAUCACAACUUAUUUACUGAUAUAGACAAUAGAUAAUAUCAUUUCUUAUCACUUGAUCCUCAUACUAAAAAUAAAUAUUUUAAUUUAUCUAUUCAAUUUGUGAAAUCAAGAGAAUUGUAUUAUGUUUUUUUCUACCCUUUAGUGUUAAAUAACUAUAUAAAGUAACAGUAUAGACAAAUUUAAAGUUUCAAAUUAUCAUUAAUAAGGUUAAUUUAACAAAUAUACCUCUAAGUAAAAUUUUCUUAAGGAUUGUGUUAUAUCAAUAAAACGUUAAGUAAUACGAAAUAAAUUUAGUAAGAGAAUGAUAAAACACGAAAAUAUUCGCACAUGCAUGUACAUACAUAUGUAUAUAUACACACUUAGGGGGUGGGUUGUUUGGAAACAAGUUAUUCCGGGAUUGGUUAUUACAAAAUUAGUUGUACUAACAUGCAUGUGUGAUCACUUAUCUCAUCAUUGUGGUAUAAAUGGUGCGACAAAUAAUUUUGAGACUACCCAAUACAUCUAAUUAAAUGCAGAAUAAAUAAUCAUGAACUUUAUCUCUGAAUUAUUAUAAUUAUAACUCACACCAAACGACUCUUUAAUACAUAUAAUACUAAAAUAACGAUCUUAAAAAAUAACAUUGAAUUUUAUGAUAAAUUUAUAAAAAGUAUUAAUUUACAUAUAAAGUUAAUAAAUUUAAAUAAAAUGCUACAAAUAUCCAUGUUAAAAAAAUAUUCAUUACAUAUAAUAUAAAAAGAUAUUACAUAAAUAUAAAAUUAAAAUUAUAAGGAUAAAAUAAAUAUUGUAUGAAAUAAAAGGGGAAUAUAAUUAUUCUUCAAUGUUGGGAGAUAAUGAUUUUCACCCAUUUUGUACUCCACAUGGUUAUUUAUCAUUCUUUUAAGGAGGAAUAUAUUCGUUUCAAAUAACACAGUCAGUAGGCAUAUCCCCUUUACCCAUAAAAUUAAUGAAAUUUAUCAACCUCUUACAAUUUGAAUUAAACAAGAAAAAAUACCUCUUCAAAUAUCUAAUGUAUGAAAACAUUUCUUUUUAUUAAAAAAAUAUAAAAUUAAAAUCAAAUUGUAAAAGACUAAAAAAAACCCAAAUAAAUGAUGUGCCGCACAAGGUUUAAAAAUUAUAGAGGCAAAAUUCAGAAAUAACAUACUUAUCCCCUUAAUUAUUAGUUUCAUAAUAAUUAUUUCAUAAUUACAUAAUAUAACAAGUUGUAUUUUGUAUUUUUGUAAACUGUUGCUACAAAAUUACAAAUACCCUUAUGAUUGAUAUAUAUUUUGUAUUUUUAUAAAUUGUUGCUAUAAAAAUAUAAAUAUAUCUGCUACAAAAUAUAAUUUGAUAAAAGUGUUGUUGUUUUUAUACUUAGUAUACUAGUUGUCCAAAAUUAUAUAUAAGGUGAAUGGGAAAACAAAGAAAACAUCCUAAUCCUAAUCGUUGUAGUACAAAACAAAAAUGGCAAAGACGAAAGCCUACUUUUAUCAUUACUAGUAGAAGAAAACUAGAUGUCUAGUUGAGUACUAUAUAUAUGUACACAUAAAGAGAAACGCGUGACACAAGUAUCUUUACCUCUUCUUCUACUUUUUCUCUCAACUGUAUACAAAUUGUUCUCUCUUUCUUUCUUUUUUGUAAAAUUGUGGUUGGAAAUUCUGAUCAAAGAAGAUUAGGAUGAUGAUGCGAUCGUGUUGUAGGCCAUUAGAGAGGUGUUUUGGGAGAAUAAACGGAGAUGGACUAUUAUGGCAUAUGGAUUUAAAGCCACAUGCUUCUGGUGACUUUUCAAUUGCUGUUGUUCAAGCUAAUUCUUCUCUUGAAGAUCAAAGUCAAGUGUUUACUUCUCCUUCUGCUACUUAUGUUGGUGUUUAUGAUGGACAUGGUGGUGCUGAAGCUUCCCGUUUUGUCAACGCACACCUCUUCUCUUAUUUGCACAGUGCGUGUUUUUUCUUCUUUUGUUGACUUGAUUUUUCAGUUUUUUUUUUUAUUUGAUGUAUGGUUUUAUGGGUCAUGAUUUGUUUCUGCAAUUACUUGCGUAAUGGGUGAUUUUCUGCUGUUUUCGUUUUUGGUCUGAUUUUUCAGUUUUGCGCGUGGUAUACUUUUCUGGGUAUUAGGGUAGAAGGAUAGUAGGGUGGGAAAGUUGUCUUAUUUUUCGAGAGUUUAGGCUUGUUGGUGUUCUAGCCAUAGUCCUUGCUUGUGAUAUUAAUUAUCUUGUUUAUUGUGUUUUAUCACACUAUUUUGUUGUUGUUCUUGUUUCAUCCUUGUAGAAUGGAAUUUCACUGGGUAUGUUGUUGUUGUACUGUUGUGGGUCACGAUUUGUUUCAGCAAUUGCUGCUCAAAGUUCUUUUUUAAAAAAAAAAAAUAAUCCAGGAUUAAGCUACGUUUUCUGUUACUAAUUUUUAUGAGGGAUUUUGGUUUUGAAUUUGUAGAGUUUUCGAAAGAGCAAGGGGGUUUAUCAUCAGAUGUUAUAAAGAGGGCAUUUAGUGCUACAGAAGAAGAUUUUAUUCAAUUGGUGAAAAGAUCAUUGCCUGUAAUGCCACAAAUUGCUUCUGUUGGAUCAUGCUGUUUGGUUGGUGCAAUAUCUGAAGGUGAAUUGUACGUGGCUAAUUUAGGAGAUUCUAGGGCAGUUCUAGGACGCAGAAGUUUUGAUGGGGAAAAAAGUUCAGUCAUUGCAGAAAGGUUAUCGACUGAUCACAAUGUUUCGUGUGAGCAAGUGAGGAAAGAAGUUGAAUCACUUCAUCCUGAUGAUCAGGCUGUGGUGGUAUACAUUCGAGGUGUUUGGAGAAUUAAAGGCAUAAUUCAGGUGAUCUUGCUUGUUUCUCAGUUGACGAAUUGUCAAGUUUUUUAUAUCUGUGUUCUAAAUGUGAGAAUAUGUAUUAUUUGGAGUAAUGUUAAAUUUGAACUUUCCAGGUGGGAAUGAUCUGAGUAGUCCAGGUUAUACAAUUCACGUUUUUUACUUUGCUUGGUGCUGACUUUAUGUUCUUCCAACUAAUCUGGAACUGUAUCUUUAAUGUUAAACUUGAACUCUCAGGUGGGAAUGAUGUUCUAUCUGAAUAGUCCAGGUUAUACAAUUCGCGCUUUUACUUUGCUCGGUGUUGACUUUAUGUUGUUCCAACUAACAUAGUAAUAUAUAUUUUGCAGGCCUCCUUUCACAACAUUAGUUUCAUCUUUAUUUUGCAUAAUUCUUUUCUCUAACCUUAGAUCGUUGUCCUGUUGGUUUGAUGGUGGUUAUGUUUUGCUCUCUUUCAGUCAGGUUCAUUAGUGCUGAGCCCUGAAUUUAUGAGCUGUGUUGUGUAUAUUGUAUGACUUGGGUAAGUUUAGGCUUCAGAGCAUGAACUGUGGUAAAUAUGCUCUAUUUUAUUUUGUGUGCAUACUGAUAGGGAAUUUCUGUUUAUCUUUGUCUUGUGUGUUCUUAAGGUUUUAUAUCUUAAUACUCUUCCAGGAAUCCCACGCUAUGCCUCUUGUUCCACUGUUUCAUGCAGUUCAAGUUAGAGGAAGCCUGUGUUCCCUACAUGAGAUGGUCAUGAAAUUAGACCUAGAUCUGUUUGUUUUCUGCUGAUAAAAGCAUGGACAUUAUCCUAAGAGAGUACAAGGAAUGUUUGCACUCUAUGUGUAGUCUUUUGUCCGUUCCUCUCCAGUCUUGUGUGAUCGACUGGAGAUCUUAGGACGUUUCUAACUUAUACAUCUUCAUUUGCAGGUCUCAAGAUCUAUUGGAGAUGCCUAUUUGAAGAAACCUGAAUUUAACAGGGAUCCUAUCUUCCAAAGAUAUGGGAAUAUUGUACCUCUGAAGCGGCCUGUACUGACAGCAGAGCCUUCAAUCGUUACAAGAAGUAUUAGGCCUCAUGAUUUAUUCCUUAUAUUUGCUUCGGAUGGCCUUUGGGAACAAUUAAGUGAUCAAGUAGCUGUGGAAAUAGUAUUUAAAAACCCAAGAGCUGUAAGUUUCAAUUAUUUCUUUCUUGUCUCCUGAUGAACUUUUGAAAAUCUGUGCAUUUAUGGAUAUUGGUGAGUUCAAUUGAACUCCGCAUUUUUUUUAUCACUGAACAUAGUUAUAUAUGUUAAAAACUAUUCAACUUUCACUGAAAAGUAUAUAAUUAGUUUAGUGCUAAGAAACAUAAAGGUUGAACGCGUCAAGUUUAUAUCCUAGAUCCGCCUCUGGGUCGAAGUGUAGAUGGCAUUAAAAAGUAGUCAAGAGACAUUUCAUUCAGCAUUCAAGUUACAUACCUAUGCUCAGCCGUCUCUACCGUCCUGGAUGCAAGCUUGAGUGAGUAUGUGUAACCUGGCUGGCAUGGAUUGGAAUGGGUUUGCUACUUCUACUUUUGUAUAGCUCGUCCUGUUUCGUGAACUAUUUCCUUGAUUUGUAGUUUUAGAUAUGAGACAAUCCUGUUAUGACUGAUCCUGUUUAUUUGGUUGAUGUACUUGCAGGGAAUAGCUAAGAGACUGGUGCGAGCGGCCCUUCAGGAGGCUGCUAAGAAGAGGGAGAUGAGGUAUAGGGACAUAAAGAAGAUUGAAAAGGGGAUUAGGCGCCAUUUCCAUGAUGAUAUAACAGUUAUUGUGAUCUACCUUGAUCACCAGAAAGAAUCCUUCCACUCCAAAGGCACUCUUGGCUCUAUCACCGCACCUGUAGAUGUUUUCUCAUAUAAUUCAGAUGAUGCUGAGGAGAAACAAUGUUUUCUCAUAUAAUUCAGAUGAUGCUGAGGAGAAACAAGUUAUUGGAGCUUUUUGAACAGCCAAAAACCGCAACAAGAGGGUGGUAUAUUCAGUACAUAAUGUUACAUUAUUGGGAAAUAGCGACAUACAUGGCAUUACAUGGAGAGGAUACAGGUUUGAUGUAGAUAAACCGGGUUUAUGGGUGACUGCUUGGAUGAUUUGGGAGCAGAAAUUCAGUUUAGGAUCUGACCAAACCCAUUGUUUUGUUCUUUUCAGAAGGAUUGUGCUUUGAGAUAAGUGGUGCAAUAGAGGAUUGCUGUUAAUUUUGAGCUGACAAUUUCUAGGUGGGGAAGUUUUCAAGAAACCCUUUCUGAAAAUUCCCAGGUUUUGUUGUAUUUUGCUUUCUUGCUGGGCAAAAAGUUGAAUAAUGUGAGAAUCAGAUUAUAUCUGUAUCUUGCAGUUAAGUGUUAUGUGGUCUUUCUAUUCAUAAACAUACACAAAUCGUCGAUUUGAAAUCCAUUGGGUAUUCUUCAAAAUAAGUUAAACAAACUCUUAAACACUUAUCCUUGUCGAUAUAAUGCUAAAUGUAACAACAAUAAUCAAGCUUUAAUUCAACUAAUGGGUCGUAACGAUCCUUUGUUUCAAUGUGAUGUACUUUCUAACAAGGCUCUCCAAGAUUGUAAAUGUAAUCCUUUAUACAUCAGUUAGCACAUUGUUCAUAUUUUCGCGGUGUACAUGUAUAACAACAGGAAAAAGGAAGAGAAUACAACAAAAUGGUAUUACUACUAAACUAUAGUCCAUAAAAAAAAGAAAACUCAUUUCUUCAUCAAUCGCGCUGAUAAUCUAGUCUUUUCCUCCUUAGAAACGUGAGGAUUAAGCUUACGGAGGUUGUUAAUAAAAGCCAGAGCUUCAUCUCUCCGAUUGAGUUUACAAUAUGAGUCUAUAAUGGAGUUAUAUGUGCUAUCAUUCGGUUUACAACCUUGCUUGAUCAUGUAACGUACCACUUCAAUGGCAUCAAUAAACAUUGCGUCAGCUGCAUACCUUGCAACAAAGGUAUUAUAUGUGAUCACAUCAGGAACAAUUCCAGAUUCCUUCAUUUCUGUAAAGAUUCGUGAGGCAUCUCUCAUCCGCCCAUUUCUGCAAUAAGCAUAUAUUACUGUGUUAUACGAAAUAACAUCAGGCCUGACUCCUUUUGCUAUAAUUUCCAUCAGUAGUUGCUCCGAUUUCUCAUAAUUGCCAGACCGGCUGUACAUGUACAUCAAACUAUUAUACGUAGUCAAGCUAGGAGUGAAACCAGAAUCACUCAUGAAGUUCAUGAUCUCAGCUGCCUUUGUAACCAUUUGCUUCCGACCAUAGAUGGAAAGCAUGGCAUUUAAGGUGGUUAUGUCUGGUGAGAAACCUCUACUUCUUAACUCAGAAAAAGCUCGUUCAGUCUCCACUAAAAGAUCACUUUUGCUGUAAACUAAUACAAGGGUUUUCAGAAGCACAACAUGAGGUUGGAUUACGGAAGAGUAAAUCUCCUCUGCAAGAGAAUGAAUCCUGUCAAUCUCUUUCCCAUUAGCAUAUGCAUGGAGUAAGGAACUGUAUGUUAGCUCAUUGGGCUUACAACGACCAUCUUUCAUCUCUGCUAGUACUUUUUCAGACUGUUCCCACAGCCCUCCCCGAGCCAAUGCUGCUAGAACAGCGUUAUAUGUGGAGAGAUCCGGAGUGACCCCUGCAUCUAGCAUUCGCCUGUAAAUGACCAUAGCUUGAUCAAAAGCUCCACAACGACUGUAAGCACCAAUUAAGGUGUUGAAGGUGUCUCUCUCAGCUACAAACCCUGCUCUCUUCAUUUCUUUGAACACUCCAGUGACUUCUGAAUCCAUUCCAUUCUGGCCAAAUACGGCUAGGAGCGUGUUCCAAGUGACAAUAUCCGGAGAACAACCAAACGUCCUGAUAUCAUCGAAAACCUUCAUCAUUUCAGUGAAUUUUCCUCUGUUACCAUACAUUUUAAUAAGAGCAUUGAAAGUACAGAUGUUUGGCUUACAGCCUGCACUCGUCAUUUCCUCAAAGAUUCUCAUCGCUGAUUCAUCCUUACCAGCCUUCUCAUAUCCAGAGAAUAAGGUGGUAUACGUAAAAACAUCAGGCCUAAUCACUUUUUCGGUCAUCUGGGAUUUCAGCUCCAUCGCUUCCUCCAUCAAACCAUCCCUAGCAUAAGCAGAUACCAACGAAUUAUAAGUCACAAUGCUUGGUGAAAACCCAUGCACCUCCAUCUCUCGUAAAACCUCCAUAGCUUCUUUUGGCCUCCUAGACCUCCCAUACACAUCUAAUAACGCAUUAUAUGUAACCUUAUCAGGCAAAAAACCUCCUAGCUUCAUCUCCUCAAAAAUCUGCCUAGCUUCCUCAUGCAAAGAUCCACGACGACAGCAAGUAAUAAGAGUAUUAUAAGUAUAAGCAUCGGGAACAACUCCAGAAUUCUUCAUACUUUCAAACACACCCGAAAUUCGACUCCAAGGCAUACCCAUUUUCCCAUAAACAUUCAAAAUCACAUUGUAAGUAAUCAAAGUAGGUUGACACCCUUCCUCCUCCAUUUUCUUGUAAGCCAUCACCGCAUCCCUAUACCUCCCAUUACGCGCAAAUGCAGUAAUCAACGAAGUAUAUGCAUAAACAUCAAUACAAAAUCCAUCUUUAUGCAAAUUGUGCAGCAAAUUUGAAGCAACCGAAAUCUUCCCCUCUUUCCUUAACAUACUUACAAUCACAGCAAUAACAGAACCAUUCAACAAAACCCCAGAAUUCGGCCGAUUUCUCACCCAUUCAAACACAUUCAACGCUAAGUCACCUUUUUUAUAAUACCCUAAACCCUUAAUAAUACCCAAAAUAUCAAAACCCAAAGACUCUAUAUCCAAUUCAGAACCUUCUACAUAAUGCUCUGUAUACAAACUAACCAAAUUUUGGUGAAUAUUUUGAACUUCAAAUUCAGGGUUAAUAAGUGUUUGCAGAAUUUUUUCACCUUGAGGGGAAAGCCGAUGAGGAUUCCAUGGUUUGCCUUUGUUGAAAUCACUGUGUUUGCCAAUACGACGUCGUGUUGUUCUCGGUAUAGGAGAAGGGAAAUUUGUAGAUUGAGGAAAAUGGGUUGAUUGUGUUGAAGUAGAAGGGAAAUUUUGAUGGUGAAAAAGGUCAUUUAAGAAUGGUGCUAAAGGUUGAUUGGAGGGAACAGUGAAGGGGGGUUUUGGGUCUUGGAAUAUGGAUUUUGAAGGUGGAGGGUUUGGUAGUAGAAGAGGGAGACCUAAUUUGUCCGCCAUUAACAGAGUUCAGAGAGCUUCUGCUAGUAAUAUUGCGCAACAAAGAUACUAUCCCAUAGUAGUAAUAACUACAAUUUCUCCUAUCUUGUUUUUUUUCUUUUGGUACUACUAGUACCUCAUUACUCACUAGACUUCCUAUGGUGACCAGUUGUUUUGUAUUCCUAAGAUAUUUUCUUUUUCAUUUAUUUCAUCUUUUUUUUUUUUGUCUAUUUUGUGAUUUUCAACUCAGGUUACUCAAUCUUGUUCUAAAUUGGUGACUUAUUUUGACUUGCAAUUUUUUUUCUAAAAAAUAAAAUUAUCAUCUUAAACUAAAAAUUUAUCAAAUAUAUAUAAAAAAAUCAAAUUUUGCAAUCUUAAAAGAGAGAAAAAAAAAAGUAACUCAGAUAAAUUGAAACGGAGUAAAUAUAAAUAACCCUACAAAAAUACUUUUUUCUUCUUUAUCACAAUUGGAAUGGCAGAUGGUUGAAAGGCAAAUUUGUGUUUCCCCUUAACAACAAAAUACAAAAUAUAUUAAACGUUCCUUCUUGUGCAACCGAAAAUUAACAGUAUAGCCCGUAUAUCUUCCGCAAGCUUGCGAGGUGAUAUUUAUGAAAGUAACAAACAAAAUAGUAUCAUAAUUAAUAUAAUCGCCGAGGACAAUAUGAAUCAUGUUAGUCCUGCAAGUGAAGCGAAUGGGAUGAUUUUCCGGAGGCGUAGCCAACCCUCAGGAGGUUGUCCGAACCAUUUCGACGAAAAAACAUUUAAGUUUUUUUUUUUUAAUUAUUGACCCCUUACUUGAAAUAAUUCAAAGAGAAGGAAAAGAGAACAACUACUUUAAAUAAACGUUAAAAGAAAAUUAUUCAUUGAUCACACUCUCACAACAUUUUCUUGCUUACAACUGCAAGACGAAGACACACAACCUUAGACUAUUACACACACACAUAAUUCAGCUUAAAACAAACAUUAUUGACAAGGGACUUUCCAAAAAAACAGCUGAUCUGCAUGCACUUGUUUAACCAGAGAUAUCAAUCGCCUUCACCUCAGGUUUCUUCUGCUCUUCUUUAGGAACAGUUACAGUGAGCACUCCAUCCUCCAUAGCUGCCUUAAUUUCCCCCAUCUUCGUAUUCUCCGGCAGCCUAAAUCUCCUUAAAAACUUGCCACUGCUCCUCUCCAUACGGUGCCACUGAUCAUUCUUCUCCUCUUGUUCUCUGCUCCUCUCACCGCUUAUCUGUAGUAUCCUUCCUUCUUCAACUUCGACUUUCACUUCCUCUUUCUUGAUCCCCGGCACGUCUACUUUGAAGAUGUGAUCUUGUGGGGUCUCUUUCCAAUCGAUUCUUGCAUUUGCGAAAGCAGAGGUUUCACGAGCUGAGGAGGGGGUGUUAGCGAUUGUGCUUGAAAUUGGGAAGCCUUCGAAUGGAUCCCAUAAGUCGAGGGAAAAUGGGUCGAAGAUGUUGCUCCUGCGACCAUCGAAGAAGCUUGGAAUCAGAGACAUCUUGGGGAAUUUGUUGUUUGAAGAAAGCAAAAGAUUGUAUUAUGAAGCUUGAGUUUUUCUUUGAUAGUAGUGUUUGAUUUGCUGAUAUAAAUUUGAGAAAAUGUUGUGCUAUUUAUAGGCGAUGAACCAAGAAACCUGUGUAAUUCCAAUAUAAUCAAGGAUGUUCACCAGAGAAUUCAACAAUAUUCUACAACUUCUUAUCCAAUUUGAGGCUAAUCCAGGAUGUUCUUUGGUUAAUUUUUAAUAGGAAAAAUAAGAGGCUUCUACAAUAUUCCAGAGAAUUUUUUUCUGAAGCGUUUAAGUCAUAAUUUCAGUAGUGCAUACAAAGGUAAAAUGACUCGGGAGGCUUUGUAAUUGACUCUGUUUGUUAGCUGAAUCCGUCCAACUCCCUCCACAAUUGUCAAUUGAACUCCUAAAUCUCCCGUGGUAAGCCCGGCCCAAAGUCAAGAUAUAAACAUAAUAAUGUAAAUUUAAAAAUAUAAUUUAUAUCAUAUAUUUUUUUACUUUAUAAUUAGUAUAAUCAGAUGGCAUAUUAAACAUAUCUUAUUGAUAAGUUUUCAUAAUUAGUAAAAUACUGAAUCACAUAAUUGGAUAAAUUUUUUUUAAAUCUAAUUUGUGAGGACGAAAAUAUUACCAGAGUAUUAUAAUAUAUCAAAAUGCUACAAGUAAUUCGAUAUUUUAUAAAAUAAUAUGAUUUAAAAUAUGUAAUAAUUAGGAUUCAAAGAAGAUCACAAUAGAAAAUAUUGAUAUUUUUAUAAAUUUGUGGGUACGUAAUUAUUUAGUUAUAUAUAGAAAUAAAUUAUAUUUAUUGAGUUUUAGUUUCUCUCGUGUGUGAUUUCAGUAGCAAGACUUUUACAACAUAUUCUUUUUCAUCUUAUAGAAUUAUCUGAAAUAAAAUAUUUCAAUGACUUCAAGAUUAUAUUAUAACAAUUAUAUCCUUAAUUUAGAGUCAUUAUAUAAAUUAACUUAAUAAUGAUCUAUAAGAAUAUUAAACAAUAAUUAAACUAACAUUAAUAGAUUACUCCAUUUGGUCGAUUUAGUUGUUAUGUAUAUUUUUAUAUGCCCCUUAAAAUAAUACCUAUUCACUCCAUUUUAAUUAUUUCUUUAUCUUUUUUCAUAUCCACCAAGAAUUAUAUUAUUUAUUAAGUUAUUUUAUGUAUUAUAUAUGUCUGGAGGGUCGAAUAUAAUAUUAGAAAAAUCUAUAAGGUAAUAGUUGAAAUCAUUAUAAAAUUUAAUUUUAUAUUAAGUUAUCUUGAAUAAUUUUUUUGAGUUAAAGAUAUUGUUGAAUUAAGAUAAAGGAAAUUUUAAUUAAAAGACAAUCUAGCAAGUGGCAAGAAGAAACCAAUUACAAAAUUUUAAAUCUAAUGAUCUUAACAAGAAAAAUAAGGGCAAAAAUAAAAAUAUAUUAAAAAAAUCACCAUCACUUGCUAUGUGUAAUAACCUUAUUUGACCAAAAAAAUAAAAUAUCAAAAAUGCCCUUGUGAAGACUAUCGAAAAUUGAUAUCCUCUCUUAUAUAUAGUAUAGUAGUAAUAUAUAUAUAUAUAUAUAUAUAUAUAUAUAUGAAGAAGCUUCAAGGUUUAAGUUGAAAAUCACCAAAAUAAAAAAAUUGUAUGGACUACAAUAGAUAAGAAAAAUAUCUUAGGAACACAAAAUCAAGGACUCGUACCAAUUACAAACAAGAUAGGAGUAGUAUUUGUUAUAUCUUGAGCAUUACCAGCCGAAGCUAUGGACUCAAAAUCUAUCACCCAAGACCCACAUCGUCACUUCGUUUGUUUCCUCCGAUCCAACAUUUAUAUGUGAUUAAGUUGCGUAGAGCGGCAGAGGUAAACCUUGCAUGGACCCUUACACUUUGUUUGGAUGGUGGUUUGCUAUGAUUUCAUAAUAUACGCUACAGUAUGAGAUGGUAUGGUAUUGUACUUUGGAUGGUUGGAAUAUACUAAAAUAUCCCUAUGAAAUUAUUUUAUUCAAUCACUUAUUCCAGGAACUAAGUAAUAUGAAUACCAGCUACAAAUUGUAUAUCUCAAAAUUAUUAUCCUUAUCUCACCAAUCAAACAAUCCAAAUUUUUUUUUAACUUAACAAUGCAUAUAUAUAUUUUUUCAAAAUUAUUAUCCUUAUCCCACCAAUCAAACAACCAACCCGAAGGUUUUCAUAAUUUGACAACGCAUAUAUAUAUAUAUCUUUUGCGAGGUGACGAUAUGAAAGCAGUAUUAGUCCUGUAUGUAAAGUGAACGGGCUGAUGAUUUCAGAAACUUCAUUUAAAUAGAGAAAUAAUACCGGAUAUUUUCAUACAUAUGCAAGGAUAACAAUUCCCAAAAUUCUAUAAAGUUCAUUAAGUGUUGCAAGUCGAAAUUGUUCUAAAUAUAUCCCGUAACAAACUAACAAUCCAUUGGCUACUAAUUUUACAUCGAAAAACCGUCAUAUGUAAAUCUCAAUACCAAGAUCAAAAUUUUAGCAAAAGAGUGAUCUCCAUAGGUUAAGGCUCCUUCAAACAAAGUUCAGAUUUACUAAAUUAACAAAGCACUACUCUUCUUAGUGAAAAAUCAUCACCCAAUCUAGAGACUAAUUUUUUUAAAAAAGUUUUCCUUCUACGCUUGUCUUUAGAUCAUUUAAAAAAGUGAAAACUAAUCAAAUCAGUUAUCUCAAGGAAUCAACACGCUUCUUUCCAUCAAAAAUUGUCUUUUAACUUCUCAUCACAAAUUAUCACCUUCUCGUUUUGACGACCCUACAAAGGUAACAUAUGGCUAAGUAUCAACCCAACUAUAUAUAGAUAGAUGGUAACCCCCAUAAAGAAAGAACAAGUAGAAAUGCACUUCAAACAGUGGAGUACAGUAGAAGAAAGCAUGGCCGCCUUUUUACGUAUCACCCAAUACGAAUUAUAAGUGCAAUGCAGAAUAUACGGUAUUAGUAAUACUUGCAUUAGUAAUGCUUAUAUUAAUUAGUUAUAUUGAUAUUGUUUCUUAUACAUUAUUUAAUUUGACAUGUUAAAAAUAAUAUAUCUUAUAUAAUUUAUAUAAAAGAAAUAUUUAUUUAUAAAACUAUCCUUCUUUGAUUUAUUACAUUUUUUUCAACAAAAUUCGUUUGCCAUCUCAAACAUAAUUAGUGUUGUUGAACUAGUAUAUAGAGGUUUAGGAUUAAUUGCAAGACCGUCGUCUUUACGCAUGAAAUGUUAUGCAGGCGGAUUAACAUAAUCGAAACAAAAAUAAAAUACAAGAUAUAGAAUAAAGGAAUAGUCUCAAUUUUUUUAUUUAAUUUUUUUAAAGACCCUCGAAGCAAAGCAAAGAUGCAGUUAUUUAAACCAACAAUUCAUUAUUGGAAAUUAAAAUGGUGGAAAAAGAUAUUUUAAUAUGUUUUGAAAAGAUUUACUGUUGCAAAUUAAAAUGGUGAAAAAAAAAUUGUGAAAUAUUUUGAGAGAAAAAUUGGAUAUAUUAAGGUCAUUUAAUAGGUUAAUGCAUGUCUUUAAAGUUUUUGUAUUACUAAUACAUAGGAAAUGGUGUGUAUUACUAAUACACAUCUCAAUAUACAAUAGAAUAUAUAUCUAAUGUUUGUAUUAGUUAUAUAUAGGCAAAAAGAUGUACCAAACAAGGUACUAGUAACACACAUUAACUAAUGCAUGCAUUAUAUUUUCCAAUAUGCUCUACCGAACGAUCCUGGUACAAAGAGAAGUUAUCCAUGAUUAACAAUACUGGAAUUAGCAAUGUAAAAAUUGCAGUGCUGAAAUUAUUUUUCAUCAAGUAUUUGAUUCAUUAUAUUAAAAAUUAGAUAUAUCAUGUAUUGUAUUUGAAUUUAAAGUUGUACAAAAUCUUCUUCAGAUUUAUAUCCUUAAAUUUCUGUAGAAUUUUUUUACUUUAUUUAACUAAUGGAAAAUGGUCAAAAGCCCUCCCCCAAACCUUUACCCCAAAUCCCAACUACGCACUCAACUUUUAAAUGUGACCUAUUACCCCCGGAACUAUUUUAAAGUAGAAUUAUUAUCCCCUGAAUUAUUUUAAAGUGAAAUUAUUACCCCCCUCCCUCCCCCUUCCCCAAAAACCCCCCUCCCCUCCCGAAAAUUGACAACCAGUCAUUUGAAAUGUGGUGUGAUACACGCGCUGCCACGUCAUUUUUUUAUUUACUCUAAAAAAGUUAAUUAUUUAACUUUAUUAUUUUUUUUCUUCCCCAUUUUUCAUUUUGCUCCAUUUUCUUCUUCAAUCAAUUUCAUCUUCUUGGGUCAAAUAUAGAAUUCUUGGGAAAAAAAAUGACGGAUUAAUGAAGUUCUUGAAUGACGGGUUAAUGAAGUUCUUGAAUGGGGUUUUAAUGAAGUUCUUGAACCUAAUUUCAUCUCUUUUUGCUCAAGAUCACCAUUAGUGGCGAAUUCUUCCCCAUUGUGGAAAUUCAAAGCUUUGAACUCGCCAUUAAUGAUGGAUCUUGAGUAAAAAUAGAGAAAAUCGAAAAAAUGGGUUGAACAUUAUACGUGGGUUAUGUUGGAAAUUAUGUAUGGCAUUGUGGAAAUUCGAAGCUUUGAGCUUGCCAUUAAUGGUGAUCUUGAGCAAAAAGAGAGGAAAUCGAAGUUGAAUUUUUUCAAGUUUUUUGAAUCGGAGUUCCCCAACUUCUUCAUUCAAGAAUUCAUUAAUCGGAGAAAUCUUAUUGUUUCCUUAGUUCAAGUGUUUCUUGGUUUCGAUUUCAGAGCAAAGAGAAUUUCUUGAUUUCGGAGAAAUCCAUUAAUGAGGAAGAUGAGAAACCCCAUUAAUGAGUUCUUAAAUUUUUGUUUUAAAAAAGAAAAGAAGAAGACAUGACGUGUCAAUUAAAAUUCAUUAAGAAAAAGUAAUAAUUAAAAUAUUUAUUAUAUUAUUAAAAAUAAUGACGUGACAAUAAAAAAUAAAGAAUUUAAAGUGAAAUGGGGUCAACUGACGCGCCCAUGGGCGAGUGUAGUCACGUCCAAUGACAGGUCAGCAAUUGGUGGUAAUAAAUUCGAUAAAAAUAAUUUUAGGGGGAUAAUAGGUCACUUUUAAAGGUUGAGUGCGUAGUUAAGAUUUCGACUAAAGGUUGGACGGUAAUAGACCAUUUUCUCUUUAACUAAUCAAAUUACUCACUUUUUAUGCGAUCUUAUAAAAAAGUUAAAAUAUAAAUAAUAAUUCUUACUCCGCUUAAUUAAUUAUUUACUUAUUUUUUAAAAAAUUGGGCCUAGUUGAUUUAAAAAAAAUUUAAACAGUAAAAAUAUAUUGUAUAAGAACAACAUGGAUUAUUGAUAAUGUAGUUUCAUAAUUUUAAAUUAUAUAUUUAUUGACAAUAAUCUACUCGUUUUAAAUCAGUCAGUCUAUAAAUUGAAUAAUUACAAAUAGAAUAAAUGUUAGCUUACGUUUGAAGCUAUCAAUCAACAUGAGAGAGAAAAUGACAUUUAGGUGCAAAUUAAAUAUGGUAUAACCAUUAAAUUUGAGGUUAGAUUUAAUAUGAAAAUAAAAGAAAGCUUUUAUUAAAAAAGUAGUUAAAUUAUUUAAUUCUCUUAUUUAUAUAUUAUUAAACAACGUAUAAAUAAUUUUAUGAUUUUUAAAGUAUAGAUAAUCUACUCUAUAGUGUAUAAGUGUGUAUAAGUUAUUCAUGUAUUAGCUGAAAUUAAAUUUAACUAGAACAAUCAAAUAUUAUAUUAGCUGAAAUUAAAUUUGAAUAGAACAAUCAAAUAUUAUAUUGAGAAAAUAGUCUAUUACCUCCAACCUUUAGUCGAAAUCCCAAUUACAUACUCAACCUUUUAAAGAUACCUAUUAUCCCCUUAAUCUAUUUUUUUUUCUAUAUUUAUUACUCCCUGACCUGUCAACAUAAACCAAGUAAUAAGACAUUCAUGCAUUUCAUGCGCCUGGCCCACACCUAAACAUAACAAAAUAUCUUUUUUCACAAUUUCAUUUUCAAUUUCCUCUCUCCUCUCUCUUCUCUCUAAACCUUUCAUCUUCCUCUCUCCUCUAUCUUCUCUCUAAACUGCGAUUUCAUCUAUUUUUUUGGGGGAAUUUUUGUUAUAAUUGAGAUAUUUUGGGUGUGAAUUUUCAAAGAAUCAUCUUGUUGCUGUUACAAGGUGUUUUUUUUUUCCGUAAACUGAAAAAAAUUGAAUUAGAAUUUUUAGCUAAUCUCCAAAUUUACAAAUUAAUUGAGUGAAAUUAACUGAUUCUUACUGUUAUGGCGUUGUCUCAGUGUUCGAUUAACAACAUAAUUCGUUCGUAAGUACAUGUUUUGUUGAUUGUUUAAGUGAGUUUAUUAGAAAUUAGCGCUUUUCUUCGAUUUGUUGUUAAUGUGAAAACUUAAAAAUUCAAUUGUGUUUAAUAGGAAGUGCGUGUUAAUAUGUUGUUAAUUUGAGUGAUUUUUUCCAAAAUUGAGUUAAAAUUAAAUAGAGUUUUAUGCUAAUUCCCAAAAUUUAAAAUUAAUUGAGUGACAUUAAGCUGUGGUUUUUGCUAUUAUAUUGUCUACGUGUUUGAUUAACAACAUAUUACGUUUCUAAUUACAUCAAAUUAGAAUUUUUGUUGAUUGUUUAAGUUGGUUUAUUAGAAAUUAGAGCUUUUGUCCGAUUUGUUGUUAAAAUGAUAAAAUUUCUCAAAAUCAAUUGCGUUUAAUAGCAUGUGUAUGUUAAUGUCCGAAACUAUGACUCAGAUAACUCAGCAGUGUGUAGAGCUAUGUCGAUCUGAAGAUAAUAAAAUUUCAGAGCUAAAAAAAGACGUUGGUAAACUCCAUAAAACCCAUAACGUUUAUUAUUAUUUUGGUUUUUAAUUUUGUAGCAUGUUCAUGAUUUUUUUUUCUUUUUCCAUAAUGUUUCUACUAUGCUACUAUGUCUUGUUUGAUUCUUUAUUGUGAUCAGGUAAGACAUGAAUGAUUUUACGUUGAUAACUCUAAGAUAGUACCAUGGUGAGGUCUUACAUUUUAGUAGGGGAAAACCAGUUUAUAAGGGGGGGUUAGUAACAGAAUUUUUGAAUGUUGACGUAGAUAAGAUGUCAUAUUUUGAGUUGAAAGACUAUAUUAAAAAUUGGGACAUAGCAUAACUUGCACUUUUAGUAUUAAAGCAUUUAACUAUGGCAUUUUGGUAGAUGUUGAUAAUGAUAUGGAUAUUUUUGAGAUGAUGUGUUCCUUGCAAGAUGGGGAUGAAGUAGAGGUAUUUGUCAACCAUUUGUUGAUGAGCCAGAUGUAGUGGCCCCCCCUCCCCCAAACCUUUAUUUUUAGAAAAUGUCUGUCCUAGAAAUUUAGAGGAAUCUGGUGCAUCUUUUAAUACUAAGCCUAACUUUAGGGUAAGUGGGGACCAUUUAAAUGUGGAGGACCCUACUUCUUUUUUUCCAACCACACCUCCUUUCAAUACCACACCUCUUUUCACUACUGCAUUAAGUGUUGCUGUAACAACUAAUGCUGCAGUAGAUGAUAUAGAUGUUGGUCUUGCUGGAUUUGAUUUUUUAGAAGAAGAAGUAGAGGCUUCUGAUUAUUCUACUGAGAAUAAUGUUGAGUCAGAAGGAGAAUUAGUUGGAGAUGAUGAUGAAGAGGAGUAUGGUAAUGAUGUACCUGAGGAGGUUAGGGAGUUGAGAGUUGAAAAGAGAAAGUUUCAAAGGAGAAAAAGAAAUGAGAGAGUACCAACUGACAAUGCAGAGGUACCAGUAGGUGAAGUAGUACCAGAUCUAGGUUUUGAUGAAACUGAAACCGGUAGAGUAAGUUAUGAAGGAAGGCUUGGAGGUGAUGAGCCUUACUUUGCAAGUUCUGAUGAGGAUAGUUUUGUAUUAGAUGAAGAUGAUUGUUGUGAUGAUGAUGAACAUGAAAUGGUUCAUUCUGGUAGAGCAAGAACUAUGAAGUUGUCAAAAAAGAGGACAACAAAUCAAAAAAUCAUUCAUGACCCAACUGCAAAGGAAGUUGUUUGCCAGUUACGUAUGGUGUUUAAAGAUAUGAGUGAAUUUAGAAAAGCAGUGACUAAAUAUGUAAUAAGAAAAAGGGUUCUUGUAGAGAAGUGGGUUAAUGAGCCAAAAAAGGUUAGAGUUAGGUGCAAUGAUGGCUGUCCAUGGCUUUUAUUUGCAGGUCUUGACAAGACAACAAAUGAUUUCAUGAUAAAAAACUUAUAUUCCAAAGCAUACUUGCAAUAAGACAACCAGAAAUUACUUGUGCAAUGCAAAGUUCUUAGCUGAAAUCUUUAGAGAAAGAAUAGUUGAGCAACCCAACAUAAGAGUAUUCAAGUUGCAAAAGUUGAUUAGAAAAAAGUUCAAACUUUAUGUUGGUAAGAUCACUGUGAGAAAAGCAAGGUCUAAAGUCUUAAAGGAGAUAAUGGGUGAUCAUGUUGUAGAAUUUGGAAGAAUCCUUGACUACAAAGAUGAACUGUUGAGGAUAAAUCCGGGGACCAGUUGCGUUGUCAAACUUGGUGAGGCUGAUGAAGCAGGUAAACCAAAAUUUCAGACUUUUUACAUAUGCUUUGAUGUUUUGAAGAAGGCAUGGGUACAUUGUAGGAAGUGCAUAGAUUUAUAUGGUUGUUUUCGUAAGGGUAUUUGUAAAAGCCAAUUGUUAGUUGUUGUUGCCAAGGAUGGAAAUAACUAGAUGCUGCCACUUGCUUGGGCAAUAGUUGAAAAACAGAAUACAAACACCUGGACAUGGUUUAUUAGGUGCAUUAGGGAUGACCUAAGACUUGAAGAAGGUGAAAGUCUCACCCUGAUUACAGAUAUGCAGAAGGUAUGUACAGUAUUUUAUGUUUAACCUCAUUUCUUUUUAAUUUAACUUAGUACAUGUAAUUAUGCCCUAACUUCACCCUUUUUUUGUUAUGUAUGUUUACUGAAAGGACUGUUUGUAGCAAUUGAGGAGGUGUUACCUCAAUCUGAACAUAAAAGAUGUGCAAGACACAUCUUAGCUAAUUGGGCUAAGGAUUGGAGAGGUCUUCAAAGAAGACAACAAUUUUGAAAGAUAGCAAAAAGUACAUUUGAGUCUCAAAUGAGGAAGAACAUACAGAAGAUGAAGUUGCUUGGUCCUGGAAAAAUGAUGUAAGACUUAAUGUACUGCAAUAUUAAUUACUGGUGCAAGCUUUACUUCAACACAGAAGUAAAGUUUGAUUCAGUGGAUAACAACAUGAGUAAGUGUUUUAAUGCAUCGAUCUUGGCAGUUAGCAGAAGACCAUCAUUUUCCUGCUUGAAGAAAUAAGAGUGAAGAUGAUGACAAGAAUAGGCACUCUAAGGGAGUUUCCAAAUACCUGGUGUAGUAGUUACUCACCAAGGUGUUUGAAGAUUUUAGAGGAGAACAUCAACAGGGCUCUGGAUUGUACCAUUAAGUUUAAUGGAGUGACUGGUUUUGAAGUGAAAGAAGGGCUUUGUCAACACACAGUGGAUAUUAUCAAGAGGACAUAUAGGUAUAGGUUGUGGCAGUUAAAGGGCAUACCAUGUGCACAUGGUGUGGCUGCACUAUUGUUCAAGAAACAUCCCUUGUAUGACUAUAUUGACAGCUGCUACAGUAAGGAAACAUACUUGAGGACUUAUGCAAAUGUUCUUAAACUAUUAACAAACAUGAAAAUGUGGCCUGUUUCAUCAAACAUUACUGUUGCACCACCUGAAAUUAGUACCUUGCCUAGCAGGCCAUCUAAGUCUAGGAAGAAGGAAGCUGGAGAAACAAAAAAAUCUGCAAAAUUGCCUAGAACUGGACUUGCAAUGACAUGUAGGUUGUGUCAUGUAGGUUGUGUCAUGUUAGAGGCCACAACAAAAGAAGGUUCCCUCUAAGAGGACAAUCAGCAGAACCAAGUGUUGCACUAUCAGUAACACCUACUGGUUCAGGCAUUGGAAGAGGCAGACCAAAGGUAAGUUUAACACUUAAUUUAGUAUAUUACUUAUCUUACUUCUAAAAUUUCUUAACAUUAUUUUAAUAUGUAGAAAACUACACCAAAAACACCAAAUGCACCUCCUCAAGUCAGUGUUGGUUCAGGCAGGGGAAGAGGCAGACCAAAGGUAAUUUUACACUUGUACUAAUUAGCUCAAUAACUUUUAUAUAACUCUCUUCUUUUUAUAUGUAUAGAAAACUCCAUCAGAAAUCAUUAAUGCAUGUCAACAACAAAAAAAAGAAGAAGAAGGAGACCAAAAAAGGCAACACUAGCAGCACCUAGUGCAUCUCCUCUACCUAAAACACCUUCUGCGCCUACUAUUUUUCCAGCAUCCUGUUCUGCACCUUCUGAUUAUUGUGCAUCAUCUUUAAUGGCUGGUAUUACUAAAAGGGGAAGGGGUAAUGAUAAGGAAAAAACACCUCCAUUGAAAAGGUCAAAAGUAAUGGGAAUGGGUGUGUUCCAAGAUGAAAAUGGAUUCAAAGUCCUAAAUGUAAGUAUCUAGCUUUGUUGUAUCUUGUGUACAUAUGAGUCUUUAAUGUAUAAGUUUUUGAAUAAUUUUUAUCCUUCACUGUAGCCUGGCAUGCCUAGCAGUAAGAUCUGCUCUAUUGGUCAUGCAAGGGUAACAAGAUCAGCUGAUAUAACUGGUAACAUUGGUUAUACACCAAGUACUACUAAUAAGCUGAAAUUGAAUGGCAAAGUAGCAAUAUGAACGAAAAAACUACAAGAUAUUAAAGAGAAGAAAAGAAAGAAGAAUGUGCGAAGCAGUUCAAAUAAUUCAAGUCAAGAAAAUACUUCUUCAAAGUCCAAGAUGCCCUGAAAAUUGUAGUAAUGUUGAUUAUUUUAAGCACUGUUUUAAGUUAGACCAAUUGAAAUGAAAAUAAUUUUAUUUUGGUGCUGAAAAAUAAUUUAAGCACUGUAUAUAUAUUUUGUUGAUGAAUGUUGCCUAAUGGUUGGUAUGAAUGAUGAUGUUGUGCCUAAUGGUUGGUAUGAAUGAUGAUGUUGUGUGAAGUCGAAUAUUUUGUUGAUGAAUGUUGUCAUUAGGUAUUAUUGUUGUGUUAAAUGAUGGUAAAGUUGAUAUAAUGUCAACACAACAUUGUCAUUACACGAUUUAAGUGUAAAAACAUAGCAGCAGCACGGUGCUUUGUCUAACAAGACACAACUUUGAAAGUGUAAACAAUAACAUAGCAACAACAAAAGACACAAUAAGUGUAAACAAUAACAUAACAGUAAUACACAACACAAUUUUGUAAAUGUAAACAACAACGUAGCAGGAGCACAACACAAUUUUAAAAGUGAAAACAAUAACAUAGCAGCAACACAAAUGCAAACAAUAACAUAGCAGCAGCAACACAAGUGCAAACAAUAAUAUAGCAGCAACACAACAAACAUCUGAAGUACGACUAAGCAAAAGACACCAUAACAGAACAUAAUCUGAUAUAUUUAGAGAGAGAUAUACAAAAUUUACACCAUAGUAGACAAGAUCUAGCAACUAGUUUUAGUUCAUUUGUUGCUGAUGAACAUAGCAACAACACAAAUCAAAAUAAAUUAAAAUAUCUUCCUAUUGAACCUACACCAUCUCCAUUUUCUAUUAAGCUUUUUCUCCCGCGUCAAGUUAUCAAUUUGGACUUGUUUAAGCCAUACGUCUUCUUCCAACUCAUUGAUUUUUUUCACCAAUCUUGGAAAUAUAAAAUUUGAUCUUGAAUCCACUUUUUCUUUGUCCCUUUGUAGGAAAAAAUUAUAUUUUUGAGACUAAAAUUUUUUUUAGAAAUCAGUACAUUAUCAUAAUUUGAAUAUAAAUUGACGGCAAAAUACAAUGCAAAAUACAUAUACCAUAGUAGAGGCAAGACCAAAAUCUUCUUCCCGGAUUUAACUUCGACCAUGAAGUUUGCAAGUUAAGAAAAAUACCAUGUUUGCAUCUCACAACAACAUUGACCAUUGGAUCUGAUUCAUCUACACAAAGUUUAUUCAAUUUCGAAUUUGUCAUUUCAUGAAUUUCGACAAAAUUAAUGAUAAAAUUACAAACCCUAAAUUAAUAGUUGAACCAAACUACAAAACAAAACUUCACGAAUUGAAGUACAAAUUGGGAUUAAAAAUUAAAACGUACGUUAAAGAAAUAGAAAAAAAAUGGAGAAACAUGAAGGAAAAUGAUGGACAAGAACAAGGGUCUUAUAAAGAAGAAGAUGACCGUUGGAAGAGAGAGUAUUUUUUCAUCUUUAUUUCAUCAAAUAAUCAAUUAAUGAUGUGUAUAUUAUGUGGAAGGUUAAAAUUUUAAUUUUAGAUGUGCUGGGGCUAAACCAACGCGUCUAGAGGGAGUGUUCUCACCUUCCUUGUCAGGUCAACAUUUGGGGUAAUAAAUAUAGAAAACAGGUCAGCAUUUGAGGUAAUAAAUAUAGGAAAAAAUAAAUUAGAGGGUAAUAGGUCAUCUUUUGAAAAUUAAGUGUGUAGUUAAAUUUUGACUAAAGGUUGAUAUUAGCUGAACAAAAUUUUAACCAUAAACAAUAGUCCUAAAUAGAACAGGAUUCAUUCACACGACAACUUGCUUCUUGUAUUGAAGAAUUAGAAGAGGGGUUCUUAAGGAUCAUUCCUUACAAAUAAUUCUAAGAGAAAGAAAAGAGACGCAACUACUUUAAAUAAAUGAUAAAAGGAAAUUAUUUAUUAAUCAAACUCAUAACAUUUUCUUGAUUACAAUUGUAAGACGAAGACCCACAACCUUAGACAAAUUACAGACACACAUCAUUCAGAUUGAAACAAACAUUAUUGACUGACAAAGGGAGUUCGACAAACAACAGUUGAUUUGCAAUUCUUCUUCAACCAAAGAUGUCAAUCGCCUUCACCUCAUGUUUCUUCUCCUCUUCCUUCGGAACAGUCACAGUGAGCACUCUGUUCUCCAUAGCUGCCUUAAUUUCCCCUAUUUUCGUAUUCUCCGGCAGCCUAAAUCUCCUCAAAAACUUGCCGUUGCUCCUCUCCAUACCGUGCCACUGAUCAUUCUUCUCCUCUUGCUCUCUGCUUCUCUCACCACUUAUCUGUAAUAUCCUUCCUUCUGCAACUUCGACUUUCACUUUUUCUUUCUUGAUCCCCGGAACAUCUGCUUUGAAGAUAUAAGCUUCUGGAGUUUUCUUCGAAUCAAUUCUUGCAUUUACGAAAGUAGAAGUUUCACGAGAAGAGGAGGGGGUGUUGGUGAUUGUGCUUGAAAUUGGGAAGCCUUCGAACGGAUCCCAUAGGUCGAGGGAGAAUGGGUCAAAGAUGUUGCUCCUGCGACCACCGAAGAAGCUUGGAAUCAGAGACAUUUUCUGGGGACUUUGUUGUUUGAAGAAGACAAAAGAUGUACUGUUACAGAGCUUGAAUUUUUCUUUGAUUGUAGCGUUUGAUAAUUUGUUGUUGAUGAAUGAGAGGAGAUGCCGUGAUAUUUAUAGGCGAUGAACCAUGAAACUUAAGUAAUUGGAGUGUAAUCUAGGAUGUUCUCAGAGUAUUCGACGAUAUUCUUCAAUAAGCUAUCCAAUUCGAGGCUAAUCUUCGAUGUUCUUCGGUUUAACUUUCAUUAAUAGAAGAAAUAAGAAGCUUCUACAGUAUUCGAGGGAAUUUUUCUAAAAGGGUCAUGCACAUUAUUGUUCGUCAAGUCAUAAUUUCAAGGGUAAGGUAUAAUGGGUAAAUAAUUUUGAAAUAAAAUGAAGAGUAAAUACAUAAUAAUUACCCACUGAUGUUGGUCGAGAUUUUUAAAAAGACACUUAAACUUUGAAUUCGACCCAUUAUCCUAUGAUUCUUACUUAAUUUAUUGCAAACACACUAUUUUUCGCUGAAUUUUAGUCACAACAAGGAGAGUGAAAUACAUGCGUCAAUCAGAUGCCACCACAUGUCAAAUAUGUUUAAUUUAUAUUUUUAUUAUUAUUUUAAUAAAAUUUUAUUUUUUAUUUAAUUUAAUACCCCACCCCAAAAUCAAUUCAAAAAAUAAUUUUAUAAUUAAAUUGAGAGUUUUAUGAUUGAAUUUAGUUUUAAAGAUAGUUAAAUGAUAUGAUUUAACUGAAAAAUUGAGCUUUAAUGAUAUGAUUUUAAUAAAAAAAAAGCUUCAAUGGAGGAACUUUAAUGAUGAUAUUGUGUUGAAGAGCUUUAAUGGUGUUGAAGAAGAUAUUAUGUUGAAGAAGAAAUGGUGGAUAGUUAAAUGAUAUGAUUUAAUUGUAAAAUGGAGCUUUAAUGAAUGAUUUAAAAAAAUUAUGAAAAGUUUCAAUGGAAGCUUUAAUGGUGAGUUGAGUUAAAGAAGAAAGAGUGGGUGGUUGGAGGGCGGAGAGGGGGUAGGGAUAAUUUUUAAAAAUAAAUAAAUAUUAUUUUUUUUUAAAAAAUAUAAAUUAUAUAUUAAAUUAUUUUACACAUGACAGCUUUUAAUUGGUCAAAAAUGUCAAAUUCAAGCCAUUUCACGCGCCUGUGGUGCAUGUAUACACGUAGAGGGUCAAAAUGGUGUGUUUGCAACGAAAUAAAGAAGAAUCAUGGGGUAAUUAAUCGAAGUUAAAGUUUAGGUAUCUUUUUGUAAAUCUCGGACAAGAGAAGGAGGUAAUUAUGUAUUUACUCUAAAAUGAAAGAUUAAUACAUCCUUGACUACAUAUCUACAUGUUUCAUUAUUUACAUAUUGAAAAUGAUGGUGUUUGUAACUUUUCACAACAUCAUUUAGCAAAAAGUACCUGCACAGUACCAAAUGAUUAAUAUUUGUCUCAUAAAGAGGAAAGAAAAAGCAAGGGCAUAUUGAUAGAUGAGAUUUCCGACAAAUAAGAAACCAAAUCAUUACUAUCACAUGAACCUUAAGUUGUUGCAAUUAAGAGUUCGGAACUAAAGUAUGCCAUGCAACUAAAAAAAGAAUCAUUCUAUGUCAUAUAAAAAAAGUAUUAAAAUAGGUUUUGUGCACUUAUUAAGUGCACAAUGCCUUUCUAUUUUAACGGUAAAUCCAUUCACAGUAUCAGAGAAAGUCAAACUUAGUCAUUUUUUAUGAAUUGUGCACUUAUUAAGUGCACAAUUCAUUUUUUUAUGAAUUAUGCACUAAAUAAGUGCACAAUUCUUAUUAAAAUAGAUUGUGCACUUAUUAAGUGCACAAUGUUUUUUAAAUAAACUGUACACUUAUUAAGUGCACAAUGUUUAUUCACUUUUUACGCAUGACAUUUUCAUUUAAUUUGUUUAUUUAUUUAUUUAUUUAUUUAUUUUUUGAUUGUGCACUUUUUUAGUGCACAAUUCAUUUAUUUAUAUUGUUCACUUUUUUGUACAAUCAAUGGAUUGUUGUGAUUUUGGACUUGUUGAAGAAGAUUAACAAACAACAAAAGGAGCUGAAGGCCAAAAGGAUCUUAAAGCUAAUUUUAAGCAUUAGUGUGAUAUGUAAUCUGAUGAUGUUCAUUUACCUUUUGUGCCAUUGAAAGAGAAUUGUCUAUGUAUGAUGUUUUAUUUUGACGAAUAUAAUAGUAUUUCUCUGUUAAAGUACAAAUACUCUUAACACGAAAAUUUUUAUGGUAGAUGAGGUGCGCCAUGUCAUAUUUAUGUGAGGCUUUUCAUUAUUUGACAAGUGCACAUUGUGGGUCCCGUGUAAUUAUUAUCCUUUUCACUUUUUAUUGAAAUGUCAUGCUUUUUUAUUUUUUAAUUUAUUUACACAAAAUCAAAUAACAUGAAUAAAAUAGGGUGAAAAAAUUAUCAUACAAUUUUUUCUUUUUUAUUAAUAUAAAUUAUCUAACUUUAAAGUUUAUCACACAUAAAUUAUUAUUUUUUUUAUUUUUCAUAUAAAAAAUCAUCCAUUUUAAAAUUAUCACAGUAAUCUUUUUUUCUAAUUUUUAAAUGGCAAUGAAAUGAUAUAAUAAAAUUAUUUAUCAUUAUUUUAUUCAAUAAAAUUAUUUAGAUUAAUAGAUUUAUCUCACGAAGUAACAAUAGAAUUAAAACCCACACUUAGAAAAUAGGAUAGUUUGUAAUUAGCAUCCUUAAUAUAUGUGCAUUUUUUUUAAUUACACUUUAUUUUAUUUUUAAUGUCUUGGCCCUUAAAAUCUCAUUAAAUUCCUACAAAAUUAUAAUUAAUCUCAUUUUAAUUGUUACAAAGACAAAAAAAAAAGGAAAAAAUAGAAUUAAGAAGAAAAAAUAAUAAUAGCCUUUCAAUAUUGAUUCAUACCUCCAGUGAAUUUAUCUUGAAUGACUUUCAAGCCGUCUUUGCUUCUUUAAAUAAUCAAAUUUAAUAUUUCAAAAGUAUAUUUAUUGAAAUUAUUUAUUAGUUUAGUUUGGUUUAUAUUAAAAUCAUGUGUUUUAUUUUUGUUUUUUCAUCCGGUGUCCGAUACCCGCAUUGGAGUACGACUAAUGCUGAUUCGCGCCGCGUAGUGUCCCAUUCGGGGGGAAGCGCACCUUACCAAGAAUUUUUUCAUACCUAGGGCUCAAACCCGAGACCUCUGGUUAAAGGAGGAGCAGCCCCAUCCGCUGUAUCACAUCAUUUGGUGGUAUUAAAAUAUGUGGUUGUAUUAUGGUGAAACUGUUUAGUUUGAAAGCUUAUAACAAUUAUUAUUAUUAUUAUUAUUAUUAUUUAUGCUUUUUAUUUUAUUUUAUGUUUUUAAAGGGUAAUUUAUUUUAUUAUUAUUAUUAUUAUUGUAUUUUAAAUAAAUUGCCCUUUUAAAAUAUAAAAUAAAAUAAAAACUAUAUAUGCUUAUAACAAAUUAUCGUAUUCAUACUAUAAUUUUUUUACAUACAAAUACAUAUUUAUAAUAAUAAACAUUUUAAAUGUCAGCCGUAAAAAGUGAAUAGAGAUUGUGCACUUAAUAAGUGCACAAUCUAUUUAAAAAAUGUUGUGCACAAUCUAUUUUAAAAAAAAUUGUGCACUUUAGUGCACAAUUCAUAAAAAAAAAUGAAUUAUGCACUUAAUAAGUGCACAAUCCAUUAAAAAAUGGAUUGUGCACUUAAAAAUUGCACAAUCUAAGCGUGACCUUCUCUGACGCCGCGAAUGGAUUUGCUGUUAAAAUAAAAAGGCAUUGUGCACUUAAUAAGUGCACAAAGCCUAUUUUAGUAUUUUUUUUUAUAUGACAUAAAAUAAUACUUUUUUUAGUUGUAGGACAUAUUUGGUUUCGGACUCUGCACUUAACUAUAUUUCAUUCUUUUAUAUCAAAUACCUUCGUAGUAUUUAUUGGAAGAGUUCGUUGUGAUGGGAAAAAUACUUUCAUAGUAAGAAAAUCUAGAAAGUACAAACAUGUACUCAAACUAACUUAAAUAAAGUAGAAACAAUUAGAUUAGCUAAAUUAGAAUAUCAUGUAAUGUUGAAAACAUACUGAAAGACAUUCGAGAAGCUAACAUCGACAAGGAAUUAAGCCACUUUUACGUCCAAAACUCUCAUGUUCUCGAUCUUUCUAUUGCAGAAAAUCAACCUGAAAAAUUUAAAAGUAAAUUAUUAUUAUUAUUAUUAUUAUUAUUUAUUAUUAUUAUUAUUAUUAUUAUUAUUAUUAUUAUUAUUAUUUCAUUUCUAAUUCUUUAUUCCAUUUUUGAGAAGAGAAAAACUAAAUUAUAAAGUUGAAGGUUGUUGCCCUUCAAAUUAAAUAAUCUAUAGCCAAUAUAAUCUGGAAAACCUCUAUUUAGAAAGGGAAAAAAAUGAACAUUGAUAUACAUUUAAUAAAGCAAUGGAAAGUUGGACAUUAACCUCCUAGAAAUACUCACUGCAUCUUUUAAAAACCUUAAAUCAGAAACUAUCAAAUCUUUGUUUUUAUUAACAACAGGGACUUCCCCCAAUUCUUGUAGAAAACUUGAGACACAUAAAAUGUGAUUCUAAUGCUUAUUCAUCUCUUGAUUUUUCCAUCAUUAUUUAAAUAUCUACAACAAUAAUAUACUGGUAUAAUUUUAUUGGUGGGGUUUAGGGAGAGUAAAGUGUACACAGAUCUUACCCCUAUAAUUCGUAAAGAUAAGAGAAGUUGUUUCUGAUAGACCCUCAGCUGAAGUGAAGUAUCUCAAAGCAAUUUGAAAAGGGAAAUAUGGAAAUAGAAAUAGUAACAUCAACACUAUAUAUGAAUGCAUGGAGCGGAAUUUACCUUACUGUUUGCCUUUGCAUACGCAAUCAGCUGCUAAGUGUCUGACUCAAGAAUGCCAUCAACUAUAGUAGCCACGCCUCUAAUGAUUGCUUGUUUAAGAGCAGAUAUGGAGGAUGCAACAACAUUGCAUUGAGUUAAGAAAUUAACGAUCAGACAGAUUGUCUUUCAAGAGAUGACGGAGGGCUUGUCACACUACCAACCUUCUGAAAGAUACAAAGCUUAUAAAUACAUCAGUAGUGGGAUGUGCAACACAGCCAGCUUCAACUCUGUAUAACAGGACGGACAACAUUAGUUCAUAUAUCGUUUUGGACACACAACCAAUUGACAUACAUGGACAAAUUGAUUUAUAAUUAAGCCCUAUGUGCUAUAAUGUUGAGUCAAGAUGCUCCGCCUUUUCUAUAGAAGCAGUCAACUGAGUUCUAAACGAAUUAGCUUCUGGCCAUAUUACGCCUGUUGGGUUCAAUAUGUAUGGAAGAAGUGUGAAUAGAAAAUGGAGAGAAAAAGGAUGGAGGGAAGGAAACACUAAUUUAGAAAGUGUACUCUCAAAUUGAAAAGUUCACUAAAUCUCCCACAUUGGUGGGAGAAGAGAACUUUGGAGUAUUUUUAAUAAAGAAUACUUACUCUACAUAGAUAGUGAGGCAAGAACAAGGUGGUGCUUCGUGUUGUUGUCGUCGCUCGGCUCGACUUUGAAUUUGGAUUGAUGGAAUCUAUUAUUUUGGACAAAAUUUAUUUGAUCAAAAUCUGAUCCGAAUAUUCUAAAGGAAAAAUGACAGAAAUGCAGAAAAUUUUUUUGUGUUUUAUCCUCCAUUUAUAUGCAUGUAUACAGUGAACUGAUGCAUUAUUUCGAACUGAACUGAUGCAAUGUUAUGAACUGAUGCUUCAAAAAGAUGCAACCAUUCAGUAAAAAUGAUACACUGAUUCAUGGAAAGGUAUGCUUGUUCGGAAAAGAUACACUGUUUGGACGAAUAGACAUGAUUUUUCAGGAAAGGUUACACCUUUUUAAAUAAACCAUUGCCACUUUUCAGAAGAGGCCAGUUAUGACUAUAUAAACCUGCUUUCAUCCAUAGGUUUAGACAUGAAAAUUUUUUUGAAACAAAAACUCUUCUUGUUUUCAAAUAUUUUGUGUGAUCAAUCAAACUGUUGAGUGAGUUCGUAGAAUCCGUCAAUUUGAGGUACCGUUAUUGUUCGGAUUGAAGUCCAUUUUAUCCUGGGAGGAAGAUUCCAUAACCUCGGGUACAGUGAGGAGAAUUAUUCCAUAAGGACAUUCCAUGAAGUCGGGGGACUUGAUCUAAAUUUCUGUUUCAUCUUUUUCUGAAUAUUAACACACUUCUAAGAUAGAUUAUUCAUAAUCUAGUGUUGAAGGUGUGAAGAAACUUCAUAAGUUCUUGUCUUGAACUUGAACUUUCUUUGAAGUUUCUGUUGCUUAUAUAUAGAUUCUUGUACCCGAAUACAUACAAAAUAACAAUCUUAAGGAAUAAUUCAGAAUCUGUAUUACUUGUUUUUGAAGAUUAAAUCUUUAAACUUUCUACUCCGUUUGAAUUUAACUAGUGAUUAGAAGACAUAAAAUCUUUAUCACAAGUUUAAAAUUCACUCGGUUGACAAUUGGAAGUCAUUAAAACUUCAUUGUUAACUAGAAACAAGAAGAAGAGUUUAAGUUUCUUAACUUUAUAAGUAGUAUUCUGAAAAUACUAAAUAUUAUUGUCUUGUGGUGACAGGAAAAAUAACUAAUGAAAGCCAAAUGCAAGAUGCGGCUACGACUGUGGGGGCAACUAGCAUUGCUUCAACAAGUCGAGCAAAUGCUCCGCAACCAAUGGCACCUGCGGAGAAGCCUGGAAAAUUUACGGGCGUUGACUUUAAGCGAUGGCAGCAAAAAAUGUUCUUUUACCUCACCACUCUAUGCCUUUAAAGGUUCACUAGUGAAGAUGCUCCUGAGGUGCUCGAGGGAACCUCGGACAAAGAGCAUUUCAUGAUUGUAGAAGCUUGAAAAUACUCAGACUUUCUUUGUAGGAAUUAUAUAUUAAGUGGUCUCCAAGACGACCUCUACAAUGUUUACAGUGGAACUAAGACACCGAAGAAAUUGUGGGGGGCACUAGAUCGAAAAUACAAGACAUAGGAUGCGGAAAUUAAGAAAUUCUUUGUUGCAAGGUUCUUGGACUUUAAAAUGAUAUAGAGCAAAUCGGUUGUCUCUCAAGUGCAGGAAUUGCAAGUAAUCAUCCAUGAUCUUCUAGCGGAAGGUUUGAUUGUGAAUGAUGCUUUCCAAGUAGGAUCGAUAAUUGAGAAGCUACCACCAAUGUGGAAGACUUCAAAAACUGCUUGAAGCAUAAAAGCAAGGAGAUGACUGUUGAAGAUCUUAUUAACCGACUGCGUAUUGAAGAGGAUAAUAAAGCUACCGAGAGAAGGUCAAAAGGGAAUUCUGCAAUUAAUGGAGCACAUAUUAUGGAAGAUGACCAAAAUAAUUCUGAGAAAAGGAAGAAAGUUGAACAAGGAAGCAAUCAACCGAAGAAGAAAUUCAAGGAAAAAUGCUUCAAUUGUGGCAAGAUUGGCCAUAAGUCCACGGAUUGUCGAACCCCAAAGAAAGGCAAGAAAAAGGAUCAAGCAAAUAUGAUUGAAUCCAACAAAGAAUGCGAUGAUCUGUGUGCUAUGUUUUCAGAAUACAACUUGGUGGGAAAUCCUCGCGAAUGAUGGAUGGAUUCUGGUGCCACCCGCCAUGUAUGUGCAACAAAGAGUUGUUUUCGUCAUUUGUUCUGGCUCAAGUAGAAGAAAUAAUCUACAUGGCUAACUUCGCUACUGCUAAGGUAGAAGGAACAGGAAAAAUGUGCUUGAAAAUGACUUCAGGAAAAGUUUUGACACUUAACAAUGUCUUGUAUGUUUCAGAGUUACGUAGAAAUUUAAUUUCUGUUUCACUUCUAGACAAGAACGGAUUCAAAUGUGUAACCGUUUCUAGUAAAAUUAUAAUUAGCAAAGGAGAAAUGUAUGUAGGAAAAUGCUAUCUCACCGAGGGCCUUUAUAAGAUGAAUGUAAUGAAUGUUGAAAUAAAUAAAAGUUCAAAUUCUUCUUAUUUUCUUGAGUCUUAUGAUUUAUGGCAUGAACAUUUAGGCAAUGUUAAUUAUAAAACGCUACAAAAACUGAUUAACUUAGAAGUUCUGCCGAACUUUGAGUGCAAUAAAUCAAAGUGUCAACAUGUGUGGAAUCAAAGUAUGCAAAACAUCCUUAUAAGUCUGUUGAAAGGAAUUUCAAUCCCUUAGACUUAGUACACACUGACAUUUGAGAUAUGAAGUCAACACCAUCACGUGGUGGAAAAAAGUAUUUCAUAACUUUUUUUGACAAUUGCACUAGAUAUUGUUAUGUCUAUUUGCUAAAUAGUAAGGAUGAAGAAAUGGGUACGUUUAGGAAAUACAAAAUUGAAGUUGAAAAUCAGUUAGAUAAAAAGAUAAAAAUAAUAAGAAGUGAUAGGGGCAGAGAAUAUAAAUCUCCUUUCGCCGAAAUAUGUGUAGAGAAUGGAAUUGUCUAUCAAACUACGGCCCCGUAUUCACCUCAAUCUAAUGGAAUUGCGGAAAGAAAGAAACAAAUUUUGAAGGAAAUGAUGAAUGCCUUGCUUAUAAGUUUUGGUUUACCGUAAAACUUGUGGGAGGAGACUAUCCUUACAGUCAAUCGUAUACUCAAUACAGUUCCCCAUAGUAAGACACAGUCAAUUUCUUAUGAAAAAUGGAAAGGAAGGAAACCCAACUUGAAAUAUUUCAAAGUGUGGGGUUGUCUAGCAAAGGUCCAAGUUUCUAUGCCUAAGAGGGUUAAGAUAGAACCUAAACUGUGGACUGUGUGCUCAUAGGAUAUGCUAAAAGCAGUAAAGCAUGUCGAUUUUUGGUUCAUAAAUCCAAACAUCCGGAUAUAAAUAAAAAUACGGUAAUUGAAUCAGAUAAUGUUGAAUUCUUUGAAAAUAUUUACCUGUAUAAAACUAGACAUGAACAUUCUAGUGGAGGGUCUAAAUAACCUCGAGAUGAACCAAGUGAGAAUAUGCAUAAUGAAGAGAAUCCAAGAUGUAGUACACGUCGAAGAACUUCUACUACGUUUGGAUCAGAUUUUGUAACUUUUCUCUUAGAAAAUGAGCCUCAAACAUUUAAAUAAGCGGUGUCGACAUCAGACUCAUCCUUUUGGAAAGAGGCAGUCAAUAGUAAGAUUAAUUCAAUCUUAAGCAAUCAUACUUGAAAAUUGGUUGAUUUUCCUCCCGAAAAUAAAUAUUUAGGUUCUAAAUAGAUCUUCAAAAGGAAGAUGAAAGCGGAUGGUACUAUUGACAAAUACAAGGCAAAACUUGUAGUAAAAGGCUUCAAACAAAAAGAAGGUCUUGAUUACUUUGAUAUAUACUUGCCAGUAACAAGGAUAAAAUCAAUUCGAAUGUUAAUUGCCUUAGCUGCGGUAUUUGAUCUUGAAAUUCAUCAAAUGGAUGUGAAAAUCGCUUGCCUAAAUGGAGAAUUGGAGGAAGAAAUUUACAUGGAACAACCUGAGGAUUUUAUGGUUCCAGGAAAGGAAAACAAGGUGUGUAAACUUAUUAAGUCAUUGUAUGGACUAAAGCAAGCACCAAAAUAAUGGCAUGCGAAGUUUGACCAAACCAUGUUGGCAAACAGAUUUAAAAUAAAUGAAUGUGAUAAAUGUGUUUAUAUUAAAGACACUCCAAAUCACCAAGUCAUUGUAUGUUUAUAUGUGGAUGAUAUGUUGAUCAUCAGCAGAGACAUUUCUGACAUAAAUGCAGUUAAAUGAAUGCUCGAGAGCAAGUUUGAUAUGAAAGAACUUGGAGUUGCAGAUGUGAUCUUAGGUAUAAGAAUCCAUCGAACUCCAUAAGGGUUGGCAUUGUCACAGUCUUAUUAUAUCAAAAAUAUACUUGACAAGUUCAAGUAUAUGGAAUUCGGUAUUGCCAAGACUCCAUUGGAUGUGAGCUUUGUACUUCGAAAGAAUGAAGGUGAAAGUGACUCACAAUUGGAGUACGCAAGAGUAUUGGGAUGUUUAUUGUAUACAAUGAAUUGUACACGAUCAAACAUAGCAUGCGCUAUUAGUAAAUUGAGUCGGUACACAAGUAAUCCCAACAAAACUCAUUGGAUGGAAAUGAAAAGAGUGUUGGGGUAUCUUAAAUACACUCAAGAUUAUGCCUUGCAUUAUAAUAAAUAUCCUGCGGUACUUGAAGAAUAUAGUGAUGGAAAUUGGAUCACUGGAUCGGAUGAAGUAAAAUCCAUAAGUGGAUAUUUAUUUACUAUCGGAGGAGGAGUAGUCUCUUGGAAAUCAUCCAAACAGACUUGUAUUGCUCGUUCUACAAUGGAAUCUGAAUUUAUCACAUUGGAUAAAGCCGGUGAAGAAGCAAAAUGGCUUCGAAAUUUCUUGGAAGACAUUCCGUAUUAGCCCAAAUCAGUGGCACCAGUAUGUAUACACUGUGAUAGCCAAGCGACAAUAGGUAGUGUAGGGAGUAUGAUGUAUAACGAUAAAUCUCGUCAAAUACGAGGGAGACAUAAUACCGUUAGAGAACUUCUCUCUAGUGGAAUUAUCAUUAUUGACUACGUAAAGUCAAAGGAUAAUGUUUUGGAUUGACUUACGAAAGGUCUAUCUAGAGAAGGAGUGGAAAGGACAUCCAAGGGAAUGGGUUUAAAGCCUAGGACAAGUCAGCAUGGCGGUAACUCUACCUAGCAGACUGGAGAUCCCAAGAGCUAGGUUAAAGGAGAUCAAACAAAGUUGUGUCUGACAGGUUCAACAUUGUCAAUUACCCAACCCAUUCUCAUGAUGUAGACAAUGUUUAGUAAACAAGGAUAAGACUUAAGGUUAAAAGUCUUUUAAUGAUUAUCUAAAUUUGGCAGAUUUGACCAAAUAGUUUAAUCUAUAGGAUUGAACAUUUAGAAAUCACCUAAGUAAGGACGAAGUGGAAGCUGCUUCAAAGAGAAUGUUAGUAAAGGCCCAUUCUCUAAGCUCUCAUGAAACUGGGACGUGUUCAUGGCUGAAAAAAAUAAAACUGUGAGAACCAUAAACGGUAAAAGGCUGGUUAUGUGACACGUGUUGUCUAGGUGUACAUUAAAGCUCGAUGGUUCAAAGAUAUCAAAUUUGCUAAUUGACCGAGUGCAUCCGAUGCAUGUUCACUACGGAAAGGUCAAAGAAAAACCAACUUAUGCAGAUGCAAUCAGUCUUUACUUGAUGAUCACAUACUUGUCCGUAAAAAUUUUAUGAAAAAUAGCCAUUCCUCAUUCAUGUGGGGAAUUGUUGGGUUCAAUAUGUAUGAAAGAAGUGUGAAUGGAAAAUGGAGAGAAAAAUGAUGGAGGGAAGGAGACACUAAUUUAGAAAGUGUACUCCCAAAUUGGAAAGUUCACUAAAUCUGCCAUAUUGGUGGGAGAAGAAAACUUUGGAGUGUUUUUAAUAAUGAAUACUUACUCCACAUGGAUAGUGAGGCAAGAAAAAGGUGGUGCCUCGCGCCGUCGUCGACGUCGCUCGCUCGGCUCGGCUUCAGCUUCGGCCUCAACUUUGGCGUCGGAUUUGGAUUUGGAUUUGGAUGAAAAUGGAGAGAAAAAUGGUGGAGGGAAGGAGACACUAAUUUACAAAGUGUACUCCCAAAUUGAAAAGUUCACUAAAUCUCUCACAUUGGUGGGAGAAGAGAACUUUGGAGUGUUUUUAAUAAUGAAUACUUACUCCACAUGGAUAGUGAGGCAAGAACAAGGUGGUGCCUCGAGCUGUCGUCGUCGCUCGCUCGACUCGACUUCGGCUUCGACUUUGGAUUUGUCAAAUGAUCGAUCAAUGAGAUCUAUCUAAUCUUUUUGGACAAAAUUUAUUUUAUCAAAAUCUGAUCCGAAUAUACCAAAGAAAAAAUGACAGAAACGCAGAAAAUUUUUCUGUGUGAUCAAUCAAACUGUUGAGUGAUUUCGUAGAGUCCAUCAAUUUGAGGUACCGCUAUUGUUCGGAUUGAAGGCCAUUUUAUCCUGGGAGAAAGAUUCCAUAACCUCGGGUACAGUGAGGGGAAUUAUUCCUUAAGAACACUUCGUGAAGUCGGAGGACUUGGUAUAAAUUUUUGUUUCAUCUUUUUCUGAAUAUUAAAACACUUCUAAGAUAGAUUGUUCAUAAUCUAGUGUUGAAGGUGUUAAGAAACUUCAUAAGUUCUUGUCUUGAACUUGAACUUUCUUUGAAGUUUCUGUUGCUUAUAUAUAGAUUCUUGUACCCAAAUACAUACAAAAUAACAAUGCCUACCACUCCCUUCUCUUUACCUGAUACAAGGCAGUCGAAGUACGCACCACCCUGUAGAUAUGAAUGGCGCGAAGGAAAGGUGCAAAUUAUCAUCUGAUGCAUUUGCUAGACAUCAAAAAAGGAAUUAACUUAUACUAUCGUGUAAAAGUUGUUUAUACUAUUAGACGUAAUUUAACCUGUUAUAACAAAUUACCUACUUUAUUUUACAGGUCACUACUUCCAUUUACUAUGUGAAGUUACAUAUUGCUAUCUUUUAGGUGUGUAAUACUAUUAAUGCAUAUGAGUUAAUUAAAGAAAAGGUCAUAUAAGCUAACGAAAUACUUUUUACACUGAUGCAAUUCAAUCGAUUGUAGUAGGUUUCAUCACCGUAAUAUUUAGGUUAUCAUAUUAGACUUGAUACGAAGAGUUACCAAUUAUUGCGAAUUAUGGUGUUCAGACACUUCAAAAAGGUAGUCACACCCGCGUCGGAUCCUCCAAAAUACAUUAUUUUUGGAGGAUUUAAAAAGCACAUUUUGAUGUUUUUAAAGAUUCCAAGCAACAUAAGUUGUAAUUCAAUAGUAUCUAAUGGUCUAAAAAAAGCAUACGUAGUCAGUGCACAAAACUUAAGCUCGGAGAAUAAAAUGACUUACUUCAUUUGCUUGGUUUGGACAAGCUUGCCAGCAGUAGAAAUAUCAGCAUCAAGUUCUUCAUUUUGGUAGAAAAGUUUAGGAUCAUUUACCAUAUCCAAUUUUCUCUUCUUGUAAGCAGCAACACAAACUUGCAAUAACCUAGUAAAAGGGCUACCAGCAGGAUCCAAAUUUCUAUACAAAGGGUAUCCAAAUAUGAACACAACAAUUGAAAUAAGCAUAGCAAUUAUUGGUACAACAAAUCCAAUGCUCCAUCCAAUAUUAUCUUGAAUGUAAACAAUUAUCGUGACAGCAACAAGCAUUGAAAAUCCCAUUGGCCUGAUUUUGCUUCUUUUUCAUUGAAAAUCCCAUUGGCUUGAUUUUGCUUCUUUUUUCAUGAGCUAUUUACUCAUUCUUCUUUUACUCUGAGUUUGAAAUUGUUAUUUUAUGGUGUUUUCGGGUACAAGAAUCUGUAUUUAGGCACAACUUCAACACUAGUUCAAAUUUAAAACAAGAACCCUAUAAAGUACAAAAACACCCUCAACACAAGAUCGAAGUGAUCUUUCUAAGAAGUGUGUUUUAGUUUUUCAGAAAUUAAGAUGAAAUAGAAAUAUAAAGCCAAGUCCCCCGACUUCAUGGAGUGUCCUUAAGAAAUAAUUUUCCUCACUGUAUCCGAGGUUUUGGAAUCUUCCUCCAAGGAUAAAAUGACUUUCAAUCCAACUAUAGUGGUACCUCAAAUAAUUGAAUUUGUCGAACUCACCCAACGAUUUGAUUGAUCACAAAGAAUGUUUUGAAUACAAGAAGAGUUUUUAUUCCAUAAAAUUUUUCAUUCAUUUCUAAACCUGUAGAUGAAAGCAGGUUUAUACAACCAACAAAUACCUUUUCUGAAAGAUAACAAUGGUUUACUUAAAAGGUGUAUCCUUUGGAAGAGUCAUGUUUGUUCAUUUGAAACAUUGUAUCUUUUUCUGAACAGACACAAUUAUCUGAACAGUCACACCUUUUUCAAAAUAAGAUAUCUUUUGCUCAAAGGUUGUGUCCCUCUAUUUUCCAUUCACACCAAUUAAACCAAACAAUCCCCCAUAUGAAUGGGGAAUGACUAUUCUUUGUAAAACUUUACAAAAAAGUAUGUGAUCAUCGAACAAAGAUUGAUUGCGUCUGGAUAAGUGGGUUUUCCUUUGAACUUUUCGUAGUGAACAUGCAUCGGAUGCACUCGGUCAAUAGGUAGAUUUGAUAUCUUUGAGCCGUCGAGCUUUAAUGUACACCUAGACAACACAUGUCACACAGCCUUUUACCAUUUAUGGUUCUCAUGGUUUUGUUUUUUUCAGCCAUGAACACGUCUUGCUUUCAUGAGAUCUUAGAGAAUAGACCUUUACUAACAUUCUCCUUGAAGCGGCUACCACUUUGCCCUCACAUAGGUGAUUUCUAAACGUUCAAUCCUAUAGAUUAAACUAUUUGAACAAAUAUUCCAAAUUUAGAUAAUCAUUAAAAGAAUUUUCACUUUAAGUCUUAUCCUUAUCUACUAAACAUUAUCUACAUCAUGAGAAUGGAUUGGAUAAUUGACAAUGUUGAACCUGUCUGACACAACUUUGUUUGAUCUCAUUGAACUUAGCUCUUGGAAUCUCCAGUUUACUAGGUAGAGUUACCGCCAUGCUGACUUGUCCUAGGACUUAAACCCAUUCCUUUGGAUGUGCUUUCCACUCCUUCUCUAGAUGGGUCUUUUGUAAGUGGAUCCGACACAUUAUCCUUUGACUUUACAUAGUCAACAGUGAUAAUUCCACUAGAGAGAAGUUCCCUAACGGUAUUAUGUCUCCGUCGUAUGUGACAAGAUUUACCGUUGUACAUUAUGAUUCCUGCCCUACCUAUUGCCGCUUGGCUAUCAUAGUGUAUACAUACUAGUGUCACUGGUUUGGGAAAAUAACAAAUAUCUUCCAAGAAAUUCUGGAGCCAUUCUGCUUCUUCAACGGUUUUAUCCAAUGCGAUAAAUUCAGAUUCUAUGUAGAGCGAGUAAUACAAGUCUGUUUGGAUGAGUUCCAAGAGACCGCUCCUCCACCGAUAGUAAAUACAUAUCCACUUGUGGAUUUUACUUCGUUCGAUCCGGUGAUUCAAUUUGCAUCACUAUAUCCUUUGAGUACCGCGGGAUAUUUAUUAUAAUGCAAGGCAUAGUCUUGAGUGUAUUUAAGAUACCCCAAAACUCUUUUCAUUGCCACCCAACGAGUUUUGUUGGGAUUACUCAUUUACCGACUCAAUUUACUAAUAACGCAUGCUAUAUCUGGUUAUGUACAGUUCAUAGUAUACAUUGAACAUCCCAAUAUUCUUGUAUACUCCAAUUGUGAGUCACUUUUACCUUUAUUCUUUCGAAGUGCAAAGCUCACAUCCAAUGGAGUCUUGGCAGUACCGAAUUCCAUAUACUUGAAUUUGUCAAGUACCUUUUAGAUAUAAUGAGACUGUGACAAUGCCAACCCUUGUGGAGUUCUAUGGAUUCUUAUACCUAAGAUCACAUCCGUAACUCCAAGGUCUUUCAUAUCGAACUUGCUCUAGAGCAUUCGUUUCGUUGCAUUUAUGUCAGAAAUGUCUCUACUGAUAAUCAACAUAUCAUCUACAUAUAAACACACAAUGACUUGAUGAUUUGGAGUUUCUUUAAUAUAAACACAUUUAUCACAUUCACUUAUUUUGAACCCGUUUGCCAACAUGGUUUAGUCAAACUUCGCAUGUCAUUGUUUAGGUGCUUGCUUUAGUCCAUACAAUGAAUUAAUAAGUUUACAAACCUUAUUCUCCUUUCCUGGAACCACAAAACCCUCAGGUUGUUUCAUGUAAAUUUGUUCCUCCAAUUCUCCAUUUAGAAAUACGUUUUCACAUCCAUUUGAUGGAUUUCAAGACCAUAUACUGUUGCCAAGGCAAUUAACAUUCGAAUCGAUGUUAUCCUUGUUACUGUCGAGUAUGUAUCAAAGUAAUCAAGACCUUCUUUUUUCUUGAAGCCUUUUACUACAAGUCUUGCCUUGAAUUUGUCAAUAGUACCAUCCGCUUUUAUUUUCCUUUUAAAGAUCCAUUAGAACCUAAAGGUUUAUUUUCUGGAGGAAGAUCAACCAAUUCCCACAUAUGUUUGCUUAAGAUUGAAUCAAUCUCACUAGUGACUAUCUUUUUCUAAAAGGAUGAGUUUGACGACGACAUCACUUCUUUAAAUGUUUGAGACUUAUUUUUUAAGAAAAAUAUUACAAAAUCUGAUCCAAAUGUAGUAGAAGUUCUUUGAUGUGUACUACGUCUUGGAUUCUCUUCAUUAUGUAUAUUCUCACUUGGUUCAUAUCGAGGUCGUUUAGACCCUCCACAAGACUGUUCAUGUCUAGUUUUAUACGGGUAAAUGUUUUCAAAGAAUUCAACAUUAUCUUAUUCAAUUACUGUAUUUUCAUUUAUAUCCUGAUGUUUGAAUUUAUGAACCAAAAACCGACAUGCUUUACUGCUUUUAGCAUAUCCUAUGAAUACGCAGUCCAUAGUCUUAGGUCCUAUCUUAACCCUCUUAGGCAUAGGAGCUUUAACCUUUUCUAGACACCUCUACACGUUGAAAUAUUUCAAGUUGAGUUUUCUUCCUUUCCAUUUUCAUAAGGAAUUGAUUGUGUCUUGCUAUGAAGAACUCUAUUGAGUAUAUGGCUGUAAGGAUAGCCUUCCCCCACAAGUUUUGUGGUAAACCAAAACAUAUAAGCAAGACAUUCAUCAUUUCUUUUAAAGUUUGAUUUUUUCCGCAAUUUUGUUAGAUUGAGGUGAAUACAGGGCCUUAGUUUGAUGGAAAAUUCCAUUCUCUACACAUAUUUUGGCGAAGGGAGAUACAUAUUCUCCGCCCCUAUCACUUCUUAUCAUUUUUAUCUUUUUCUCUAACUGAUUUUCUACUUCAGUUUUGUAUUGCCUAAAUGCAUAUAUUGCUUCAUACUUACUAUUUAGCAAAUAGACAUAACAAUAUCUAGUGCAAUUGUCAAUAAAAGUUAUGAAAUACUUUUUCUCACCACAUGAUGGUGUGACUUCAUAUCACAAAUGUCAGUGUGUACUAAGUCUAAAGGAUUGAAAUUCCUUUCAACGGACUUAUAAGGAUGCUUUGCAUACUUUGAUUCCACACACGUUUGACACUUUGAUUUAUUGCACUCAAAGUUUCGCAAAACUUCUGAGUUAAUCAACUUUUGUAACAUUUUUUAAUUAACAUGACCUAGACGUUCAUACCAUAAAUUAUAAGACUCAAGCAAGUAAGAAGAAUUUGAACUUUUAUUUAUUUCAACAUUCAUUACAUUCAUCUUAUAAAGGCCCUCGGUGAGAUAGUCUUUUCCUACAUACACUUCUCCUUUUCUAAUUACAGUUUUUUCUGAAACGAUUACACAUUUGAAUCCGUUCUUUUCUAGAAGUGAAACAAAAAUUAAGUUCCUAUGUAAUUUCAAAAUGUACAAAACAUUGUUAAUUGUCAACACCUUUUCUGAAGUCAUUUUCAAGCCCACUUUUCCUGUUCCUUCUACCUUAGCCGUAGUGGAGUUAGCCAGGUAGAUUAUUUCUUCCACUUGAGCCAGAGCAAAUGACGAAAAUAACUCUUUGUUGGCACAAACAUGGCGGGUGGUACCAAAAUCCAUCCACCACUUGGGAGGAUUCCCCACCAAGUUGCAUUCUGAAAGCAUAGCACACAGAUUAUCACAUUCUUUGUUGGACUCAAUCAUAUUUGCUUGGUCCUUUUUCUUGCCUUUCUUAGGGGCACGAUAAUUUGUGGACUUAUGGCCAAUCUUGCCACAGUUGAAACACUUUCUCUUGAAUUUCUUCUUGGGUUGAUGGCUUCCUUGUUCAACUUUCUUCCUUUUCUUAGAAUUGUUUUGGUCAUCUUCUACAAUAUGUGCCCCAUUAAUUGUAGAAUUCUCUUUUGACCUUCUCUCGGCAGCCUUGUUAUCCUCUUCAAUACGUAGUCGGACAAUAUGAUCUUCGAUAUCCAUAUUCUUGCGUUUGUGCUUUAAGUAGUUUUUGAAGUCUUUCCAUAUAGGUGGUAGCUUCUUAAUGAUCGUUGCUACUUGAAAUGCAUCAUUCACAAUCAAACCUACAAAACAGUUUAUGUGAGUACUAAGAACAUUUUCAAUUUGUUUAACUAAGGUAUUUUUCAAAGAUAUACCUUCUGCUAGGAGAUCGUGAAUGAUUACUUGCAAUUCCUGCACUUGAGAGACAACCAAUUUGCUAUCUAUCAUUUUAAAGUCUAACAACCUUACAACAAAGAAUUUCUUAAUUCCCGCAUCCUCUGUCUUAUAUUUUCAUUCUAGUGACCCCCACAAUUCGUUUAAUGUCUUAGUUCUACUAUAAAUAUUAUAGAGGUCGUCUUGGAGACCACUCAAUAUAUAAUUCCUGCAAUGGAAGUCUGAGUGUUUCCAAGAUUCUACAAUCAUGAAAUGCUCUUUGUCUGAGGUUUCCUCGGGCACCUCAGGAGCAUCCUUAGUAGUGAACCUUUAAAGGCAUAGAUUGGUGAGGUAAAAGAACAUCUUUUGCUGCCAUCGCUUAAAGUCAAUGCCCAAAAAUUUUCUGGACUUCUCCGCAGGUGCCAUUGGCUGCAGAGCAUUUGCUUGACUUGUUGAAGCAAUGCUAGUUACCCCCACAGUCGUAGCCGCAUCUUGCAUUUGACUUUCGUUAGUCAUUUUAUUGUCACCACAAGACAAUAAAAUUUAGUAUUUUCAUAAUACUAUUUAUAAAGAUAAGCAACUUUAAACUUUUCUUCUUGUUUCUAGUUAAUGAUGAAGUUUUUAUGACUUCCAAUCGUCAACCGAAUGAUCUUUAACUUGUGAUGAAGAUUUUCUGUCUUCGAAUUACUAGUUAAGUUCAAAUGGAGUACAAAGCUUAAAGCUUUAAUCUCUAAAAACAAGCAAUACAGAUUCUGCAAAAAAUUAUUUCUUAAGAUUGUUAUUUUAUGGUGUUUUCAAGUACGGGAAUUUGUAUUUAGGCACAACAACUUCAACACUAGUUCAAGUUUAAAACAAGAACACUAUGAAGUACAAAAACACAAGAUCAAAGUGAUCUUUCGAAGAAGUGUGUUUUAUUUUUUCAGAAAUUAAGAUGAAACAGAAAUAUAAAGCCAAGUCCCCCGACUUCACGGAGUGUCCUUAAGAAAUAAUUUCCCUCAUUGUACGCGAGGUUUUGGAAUCUUCAUCCCAGGAUAAAAUGACUUUCAAUCCAACUAUAGUGGUACCUCAAAUAAUUGGAUUUGUCGAACUCACUCAACGAUUUGAUUGAUCACAAUGAAUGUUUUGAAGACAAGAAGAGUUUUUAUUCAAGAAAAUUUUUCAUUCAUUUCUAAACCUGUAGAUGAAAGCAGGUUUAUAUAGCCAUCAGAUGCCUCUUCUGAAAGGUGGCAAUGAUUCACUUAAAAGGUGUAUCCUUUGGAAGAGUCAUAUCUAUUCAUUCAAAACAUUAUGUCUUUUUCUGAACAGACACAACUAUCUGAAUAAUCACACCUUUUCCAUACAUAAUAUAUUUUUUGCUCAAAGGUUGUGUCCCUCCAUUUUCCAUUCACACCAAUUAAACCCAACAGAAACAAAUGAAAUCUCACCAUCUUAGUGUGACUGCAUGUUGUUGAAGAGUUUUUCAUUGAAUGAAAAAACGGAUAGGUGACCUCAUCUUAUGGCCUUGGAUAACCUUAACCUUCUGAGCUAACUUUUGGAGUUAAGAUAACUUUAAGAUCUACUAUUUCUUUUUCGAAUAAUGCCAACCAACUCGACCAAGACAUUUAUAUGAAAAAGAUAAAAAAAAAAAAGAUGUGUUAAGUUAGUGUUUUCCCAGCCGACUCGCACACCACCAUCUUUUUUUAGAUUGAAGAAGUAUCAAGAGAAGGUCCACCUCAUCUAAUAUUUAUCGAUAAGUGGGCUUCCCAUAUCAACUUAUUCACUCUCCAAAUAUCCAACCAUGAGUAAGAUCUAUUUCUUAAUACUGGCAACAAGUAUCGAUUGACUUUUACUUUAAUCAUAAGAUUAGAUUCAGUGCCAGACUCUAUGCAUUGUGUUACCACUUAGCAGAGUGCUGUGUUUUUAAUGAACGAUCGAUCGCUACCCCCUGAGUCGCAAUUGACCAUUUCAAUAGACAUAUAGGCAAGGAAACUUCAGUAUGUAUACUUUUCUGUUGAACAUGAGACAACUUGCUUGGGUGUCGAAGAAAGAGAGCCAAAGGGCUAGAUAGAGAGAGGAGAGGGUACUCAAUACUCACCAUUGGCUCUUCACUCCUGUUUUCAAUUAGCAAAAUUAAGAGAGACAUAUCAACAAUUUCAAUACUGUAAAAUAGUUCAAAAUCCUGAAUUUUGCACUGCAUGUAAAAAAGAAAUUCAAAAAUUUAAUCAGUACAAUGAGGUCGGAAAAAAAAUCUCAACAAUGGUUGAUCUAAAAGUUAAUGAACAAAGGAAAAGAGACAUGGCAAAACAAUAAUAGCAAUUUGCCUGAAUUGUACUGGAAUAGAAAAAUUGAAAAGAGGGGAAGAGUCUUAAAACAAAAGAACUUUAUUAUGCAUUCUAACGCUAUAUUCAAAUAUUCUUCCUUCUAAUUAAAAUAGUUGAAGGAUGAAAUUAACAAACAAUGAGAAAACUCGGAAAGAAAGCAGACCAAGAAUUUGAAAUAUGAAAAAGAAUCAAAAACAUGCAAAAUUAAACUGACCGGACGCUAGAAGCCUAAAACCAAGCAAUCCUAGUAGCAGGUUUGAGCAAACAAUUGAUUAAAUGAUAGGGAGAUCCAGCAAAAUUGUUUGAGCAAAAAACAAAGAAAAAGGAGAGCAACCAAAUGAACAGAUGGAGAUCAGAUCGGUGAAAGGAUGGAUGGUAUGGAUAAACGUGGUAAAUUUAGUGCAGGUUGAAUGACACAUAAGGAAAGUAGAGGUGAAGACGAAAAUGCCCUUAGUGCUUAAACAAGCAUGUUGAAACAUAGCCUUUCCUAAUAUAGUAGUAAUAAUAAUAAUCAAUGGCGGAUGUAGAGUAGAAGGUGUGGGUUCCCGGGAACCCACACCCGCUACCGUAAGACUUAAAAUUACAUAAAAAAAUCGUCAAAAGUUAUAAAUAUUAAUAGGUGGGAACCCAUAACUAAACCAAGGGAUAACUUAGUGACAGGAAAGGAGCCCUUGUGAACCCACAAGUUUAUAAUUCUGGAUCCGCCUCUGAUAAUAAUUGAGGAGCUCCUAGGUUGAAAAUCACCAAAACAAAAAAUAGUAUUUACUACUUACCAUAAACGAAGAAAAGGAUAAAUAUAUCCUCAUAACUAUAGUAGGUAUAGGUCAUUUGUUAUAUUUUGAGUACAUAUAUAUUCUUAUCAUUAAUAAAAUAGUACGUAUAUGUUCCUCAGAUUAAUGUCAAAGGCAUAUAUGUAUCCAAAGUAUGACGGUGAUCAUAUGCAUAUCAUGUACCAUAGUUCAAUGGUAUAUUUAUCUCCUUUUCGUUUUAAUUUUUGUAACCCCAAUAAUUAACGGAAACCUACUAUCCAACUCAAUAGAAUCACUAUCCGAUCUUGUCUCAAUUAAAAUUAAAGGAACACCUAACAUAUGCAUUUUUCUCACUCUUGUAACAAUAUAUACACAUAAGCCAGUAACACGCACUACUAUCAAUUUUAAAAAAGAAAUCAUUAACUUGUAACACCUAAAAACAACAUCCAAUAAAUUCAUGUCUCAAUUUUUCAGCGAAAUUUCAUCGAAAAAAUACAAUCCACCACCGGUCAGCACCAUAUAGCCACCGUCUAUGUCGAAUAAAAAAACAUGCAUUGGCGAACCACAUCGCACCGCUAGCUCCAACCACCUUCGACCUAAUCUCCACUCCCUCCAACCCGCAAACACCAACGAAUAGCAUUGAUCAAUCACUGUAAUUUGAUUGUGCUUCAAGUUUAAAAGAAAAAUAGAGAGAGUAUUGAAUUUGAAACAAAAAUAGAAAUUGGAUCGAGUUGGUCUGCAAAGGUUCAAUGGGUUUAUUGAGUUGAAUAGGGAGUUUGAAUUAAUUAUUUUAAAUAAAAAAUUAAACGAAAAAGAAACAAAUAUAUCCCAGAAUUAUGAUAAAUAAUACGUAUAAAUAAUACGUAUAUACUCUACAUUAUACUUUGUGUACAUAUAUGUCCCUACCGUUAGUGUCAGAGAUAUACAUAUAAUUUCAUUAACGAAUAUAUACGUAUCAUUUAUCAUAAUCCCAAUAUAUAUUUACUCUUUUUCCGUACAAUAAAUAAGGAACACAAACUAACCGUCCACCCUGGAAAGUCUACCAAGGUACUACUACCAAUUACUAACAAGACAAGGAGUGGUAUUUGUUAUAGUUUGAGGCUUAGCUUUACUAGCCGAAGCUCCUGGACUCAAAAUCUAUCUUCCAAGACCCACAUCCUCAUUUCGUUGUCUCCGUCAAUCAGCCAUUAGCGUAUGUAAUUAAUUUGCGUAGUGGCAUGUUCGUAUCAGUGGUGAAACCGAGAUAUUUACUAAGGAGUUCAUAAGUGAACAAAUGAAUUAACCAAAGAUGGUCAACAUCUAAUAUAUAUACAUAAAAUUUAAUUUUAAUCAUGUAUAUAUAGCAUAAUUUUUUGUCGAUCUGAACCCCCUCGGCAAAGGGUAGAUCCGCCACUGGUUCGUAUAUUUUACGCGGACCCUUAAUGAGUCUAAGAUUAGAUAUUUGGUUUCAUCAACACAUUCUUCGUACAGACUGCAAAUAAAGAAAAACGGAGAAUGAAAUUGGCAAGCUUGUGACGUGACUAUAUGAAAGCAGUAAUGGUCCUGCAAGUGAAGUGAUGAAGCGGAUGAUUUCAUAAACUUCAAAAGAAAAAAAGACAGAGAAAUAAUACUGGAUAAUGUCAUUACAUAAGCACGGGAAACAAUCCCUAAGAUCGAAUACAUUUGAUUAUAUCAGAGUUCAGUAAGUGCUGAAGCCAAGUUGAAAUUAUAUGCCCCGUAUUGCAUAAAGCAUAUAAAGCUGAAAUGCGUUUAAGAUAUACAAUCCACUUGUUGCUAAUCUUACAUCCAAAACCUUUAUGUAGAUUUGAAUACCAAAAUCAAAACUUCCAAAACCUUUAUGUAGAUUUGACCAUAAAAGAAUAAUCUUCAUAGGUUAAGAUUCCUUUUUAGAAGUUUUGAUAAAAUAAAGAAAAAAACCGCACUCUCCCUUAGGAGCGGAGCCAGCCUCAGAAAAAUAUAUUAUUUAUACGUGAUUAAAAUUCAUUUUUAUAUGAUUAUAGUAAAUGUUAAACUCCCUUUAACUAAGUUUUCUUUGAAUAUAAAACCCUUAGUUAAAAUCCUAAUUUUUUUAAUUUUUUUUUUGAAUAUGAAUCUCCUUCAUUAAAAUCCUGAUUCCGCCUCUGCUCUCCCUAGUUAAAAAACAUCACCCAAUCUAGAGCCUAAUUACAAAAAAAAAUAGUGUUCUUCUAUGCUUCCCUUUAGAUCUACGCUUCCCUUCAGAUUAUUUAAGAAAGUGAGGACUAAUCAAAUCAAUUAUCUCAAGGAACUCAACACGCUUCUUUCCAUCAAAAAUCUCAUCACAAAUUAUGACCUCCUUGUUUUGAGGAUCCUAUAAAGGCCCGUAAAAGAAAGAGUCGGCAGCGCAAAGAGUGGAGAUACGCUAUCAGAAAGCAUUCCCUUCUUUUCACCAACCUCUCGGAUAAACCAUAGAGAGCAUCAUGUUAGAUAUCAACACUAGAAAGCUAAAGCCAGAUUACACACCCAACACAAUGCAACAAAAGAUUUGACAUACUAAUUACAGUACUACAUAGACCGGUAGAAGACAGCAGUCCAAAUGCGCUAAGCAUUCCAAAACUUCCAAUAGAUACUUAAGAUGGCAUCUAGGUAGACAAAGGUAGCAAAUCAGAAGCAUGCAAAAAGCCAGCAAUUGUGGCAAAGAACAUAGAUUAGAACCAGUAUAUUCUUUCUCAACAUAUAUACCACUAGAUAAAAUUUCCGGUGUUAAAGUAAGCAUAUCGAAUGAAAAUAACAAAUUUACAUCUUUGUUCAUAGAAGAGACGAAAUGAAGCUCAACCCACGAAAACAUUAAAGAUCAAUCGAACAACUACAAACAUGUAAAAGAAAAAACUGCAUCAAUAGCCAUUUCAGAUAAGAGUGAGCAACUACUUCAGUCAAAUGUUAAAAUUUAUGCCACAUGGAAAGGAUGUUGCAACAAGGUUUCACCGGGAUUCGCUUUAAAGGAGAGUGAAAAUUAGGGGCCAGAAAAACUCAAGACAUACUAAUUCAAGGGAAGGAAAAGAGAACCAGAAAUCUUAAAUAAAUGUAAAGGAAAUUAUUCAUUAAUCAAGCUCAUACAACAAUUUCUUGUUUACAACUACAAAGCCAAGACCCACAACUUAGAUAAUUACACACACACAAUUCAGAUUACACCAAACACAAUAGACAAAGGACUUUCAACAAAAACAGCUGAUCUGCAUGCACUUGUUUAACCAGAUAUGUCAAUUGCCUUGACCUCAGGUUUCUUCUCCUCUUCUUUCGGAACUGUUACAGUGAGCACUCCAUCCUCCAUAGCUGCCUUAAUUUCCCCUGUUUUCGUAUUCUCCGGCAGCCUAAAUCUCCUCAAAAACUUGCCACUGCUCCUCUCCAUACGGUGCCACUGAUCAUUCUUCUCCUCUUGCUCUCUGCUCCUCUCACCGCUUAUCUGUAGUAUCCUUCCUUCUUCAACUUCGACUUUCACUUCCUCUCUCUUGAUCCCCGGAACGUCUACUUUGAAGAUGUGCGCUUGUGGGGUCUCUUUCCAAUCGAUUCUUGCAUUUGCGAAAGCAGAGGUUUCACGAGCAGAGGAGGGGGUGUUGGCGAUUGUGCUUGAAAUUGGGAAGCCUUCGAACGGAUCCCAUAAGUCGAGGGAGAAUGGGUCGAAGAUGUUGCUCCUGCGACCACCGAAGAAGCUUGGAAUCAGAGACAUUUUUUGGGGACUUUGUCGUUUGAAGAAGACAAAAGAUGAACUAUUACAGAGCUUGAAUUUUUCUUUGAUUGUAGCGUUUAAUAAUUUGCUGAUGACCAAUGAGAGAAGAUGUCGUGAUAUUUAUAGGCGAUGAUGAACCAAGAAACUUAAUGUAAUUGGAGUGUAAUCUAGGAUGUUCUCAGAGUAUUCGACGAUAUUCCCCACAAAGCUAUCAAAUUCGAGGCUAAUCUAGGAUGUUCGUCGGUUGAUUUUUGAUAAGAGAAAUAAGAAGCUUCUACACUAUUCCAGAUAUUUUUUCUGAAGGGUCACUGCACAUUUUUGCUCGUGAAGUCAUAAGGUCGAUUGUAUUCGUCUUAAAUUAAAAAUGGAACGAAAGAAAUAUAUAAUGACUUGACGCUCUUACUAUAUUCGGACUUGUUUCGUCAAUUUGGAUCCUUCUAUUCAUUACAUUGCCAAUUCAAUUCUUAAAUUCAACAAAAUCACAUAUGUAAGCAAAUUAAAAUAAAGAGAUUAAUUUUAGAAAAAAUUACAGAAAUUAGUAUCCUUAAGAUUAUAAUUACAAUAAAUAGCAACACUUUUUUAAAAUUAUAACUAGCAAAAGUAGCAAUAUUUUACUUAUUUCAUAGUAAUAGAACAAUAUGUAUUUUUCAAUUGUGCAUAUAUAUUUAUGAGUAAUAUAUAUAUAUUUGUAUAUGUAUUUAUAUAGCAACAUUUUACUUAAAUACAAAUACAAUUUACUAUUUUUCGUAAUUAUAAAACUGUUGCUAUAAAAGUUAUAAUUAAGGUUUAGAGUUACUAUUUCUGAAACACUUCCAUUAUAGGAGCUCUUAGAUUGAGUUGAAAAUCACCAAAACAAUCUGGCAGCUCAUAAUCGAUAUGUCUAUUUCAUUUAAUUCAAUCAUACUUUUAUUAUAUUAUUUUUAAUUAAUUAUUAUAAAUUAUUUAUAUAUUCAAAAUUAAUAAUAUUUAAUGAAAAAAUAAAAUAGACAUAUAUAACAUAUUUGUUUCUUCAAUUGUAAUUUUAUUAUAUCACUCCUAACUAAGUAUUAUAAGUCAUCUAUAUAUUAAAAAAUAAUAAUAUUUUAUAAAAUAUAAAAUAAACAUAAAAUAAUAAAUUAAUGUUUGAUGUUUUAAAUUAAAUUGACGUCUUAUAUUGAAUCCACUUAAAUUUUUUUCACAAGUAUUUAAUUUUUUUUAUAUCAUUUGUAACUAAUUAUUAUAAUAAUUUAAAACAUAUCUAAUUCGCUGCUUUAAUCGUGAUUUUACUAUAUCAUCCCCUAAUUAAUUAUUAUAAAUUAUUUAAGUAUUAAAAAAUUAAUAUAAUUUCAUAGAAAAAGUAAAAUAUACACAAAAUAAAAGUUAACUCUUAAUAUCUUAAAUUAACGUGUCGACUUAAAUAAGAUUCAUUUAAUUUUUUUUAUAAAUAUUUUUUAUAAUAGUUUUUUAUAUUACUUUUAAUUAGUUAUUAUAAUUCAAUUAAAUAUUAAAAAAUAAAUACUAAUAUUUAAUAACUGACACAAAAUAGAUAUAAAAUACUCCCUCCAUUUUAUUUUACGUGUCAUAAUUUGACUAAGGAUGGAGUCUAAAAAAUAAAAAAAGACUAUGAUUUUUUUAUCAAAUUGUCUUCUAUUAAAAAAAAUGUACUACUAGUAUCUUUAAUUAAGUGGAACCUCAUAAGUUGUACCAAUAAAGAUAAAAGUGAAAUUGUAUCUUUAAAUAAUUAUUAAAUAAGAAAAUAUGCAUUCUUUUUUAUAUAGACCCAAAAAAAAAAUAACGAAACAUAAAAUAGGAUGGAAGGAGUAACAAAUUAAAAAUGAUUGAAUGAAGUAUUUUGCAACGGUAAUAUCUGUGUCAAAAACGACUUACUAAUAUCUAAAUGAUUAAAUUUAAACAAAAUAUUAAAUACAUAGUUGCGAAUUAAGAACUGAAUUAUCAAAAUUUAUUUUUUAUUAGACAUAAAUGAAGCAUAAAAUACGUAAAUAAGGGAAUUAAUUUUUUGUUACUAUUUUAUCAUUUCAAUUCACUUGACAACAUUUAAUCAAGCAUGGAGUAGAAAAAUAAAAUGCUUUUGAAAUUCGUAAAUAAAUAAACGUUAAAUUUUUUACGAUCAUAAAAUAUUUUAUCAAAAAAUAAAACAAAAAUUGUAAAAAUAAAUUGUUUCUUCUCAUCACUCACUACAUGCCACUAUUUACUUACAAUAAAUAGAAAUUAUGUUAGGAACACAAAAUAACCGUCCACCAUGAGAAGUCCAACAAGGUACUACAACCAAAUACCGAACAAAUAGUAGUAGUAUUUGUUAUAGCUCUCGAGGCUUGAGCAUUUCUAGCUGAAGCUCCUGGACUCAAAAUCUACCUUCCUAGACCCACAUCCUCAUUUCGCGGUCUCCGAUUUUGUAAUCCAAAUUUAGUUGAUUCGAUUCUGAAAAGAUCGCGGUGCAACUCACGGUUGAAAUUUUUUGAGGGAUCUGUGAUGGUAGUGUAUUAUAGAAGUGCGACUUAAAGGAUUGAUUUUAAUAUAAUAGUUCUCGUGUGUUAUUAAGAACUUUUACUCCUCCCACUCUUCGAUAUAAUGAAUUCCUCCUCCUCUCUAUGAUUUUUCUCAUCAAAGAUUUUCACUUAAAUCUAUGUGUAUUCAUCUUAUUUUUCUUUUGCUUAUCAUAUUGCUUAUUUAUGUUUGAUUUCAUAUUACUUAAUUUGCAUAGUGGCAUGUUCGUAUAUUUUACACGGACCCUUCAUGAGUCUUGAGAUUUGGAUAUCUUCAAACAAACAGACACUGCAAUAGAGAAAAACGGCAAGCUAGUAACGUGACUAUAUGAAAGCAGUAUUAGACCUGCAAGAAAAGUGAAGGAGCUGAUGAUUCCACAAACUUCAUAAAAACAAAGAAAUAAUACUGAAUAGAUUCACUACAUUUGGCCAUGUCAGAGCUGCAGCCAAGUAGAAGUUGUACUAAAUAUGCCCCACAACAACUCACUUGGCUACUAAUUCUGCAAUCCAAAAACCGUCACACAUAUAAAUCCGAUUACCAAAAUCAAAACUUUAACAGGAAAGUAAUCCUAUAGGUUAAGGCUCCUCCAAAGAAGUUCAGAUAAACUUGUUGUCUUUCACAAGAAUAUGUAAUUUAACACAAUAACUUUAAUAUUAAUUCAAGUUUAAAACAAUAACAUUAUAGAGUUAAUCUUUUUAAGAAAUAUAUAUUUUUUCAGAAAUUUAGAUGAAAUAAAAAUAUAAAGCCAAAUCCCCUAACUUCACAGAAGUUCCUUAAAAAAUAAUUCCCUUCAUUUUAUCCAAAAUUUUUUUAGAAUCUUCCUUAAAAUGACUUUCAAUUCACUGUACCCAAAGUUUUAGAAUCUUCCAAUUAUAAUAAUACCUCAGAUAAUUAAAUUCGUCAAACUCAGCGAUUUGAUUGAUCACAACAAAUAUUUUGAAGACAAAAAGUUUGUAUUUCAGAAAAAAAAAAAUUCCUACCAAAAUCUGUUGAUAAAUGCAGAUUUAUAUAAUCAUCAAAUGCCCCUUCCAAAAAAUGAUAAUGAUUCAUCAAACAAUGUGUAUCCUUUAAAAAAUCAUGUCUGUUCAUUCAAAACAUUUUUUUUUAAACAGACACAACUAUCUGAACAAUUAUUCUUUUACAAAAGAAUUGUGUCCCUUUAUUUUUUAUUCACACCAAUUAAACCCAACAAAACCAACAAAACUAAAUUAACAAAGCACCCUUCACCCAAGUAAAUAUUAUCAGCCAAUUUAGAGCCUAAUUUAGAAAAAAAAAAAAAAAAAAAAAAAAGGAAGGUGCUCCUGCGACGCUUCCCUUUAGAUUCGUCCCUUUAGAUCAUUUUAAGGAAGUAAGGACUAAUCAAACUUAUCAACCCAACAAUAUAUAGAUAGGUGUUAACUCCAUAAUAAAAGAACAAGUAGGAUAAUGCAAUUAGAAAGAGUUGGCAACGCAAACAGUGGAGAUGCACCAGCAGAAAGCAUUCCCUUCUUUUCACUGACCUCCCCAGAUAAAUUAUAGAGAUAACAUCAUGUUAAAUAAAUAUCAACACUAGAAAGCUAAAGCCAGAUUACACACCCAAUACAAAGCUACAAAAGAUUUGACAUACUAAUUACACUAAAUAGACCGAUAGAAGACAGCAGACCAAAUGCACCAAGCAUUCCAAACUUCCAAUAGAUGCUUAGGAUGGCAUGGCAUCUAGGUAGACAAAGGCAGCAAAUCAGAAGCACGCUAAAAGCCAGCAAUUGUAGCAUAGAAUAGAUUAUAUUCUCUCUCGACAUACUACUAGAUAAAAUAUCUAUCAAAUUAAAAGAACAGUCCAGCGUACUAGUAAAUAUAUCAACUAUAACUUACAAAAUCAUAAAAGUCGCACAAUAAUUUCAUUGAAGCUUGAUACUUCGUAAGUGAAUGAAAUUAGACAAACAUAUAUCUUUGUUUAUAGAAGAGAAGAGUAUGAAAUGAAGCUCAACACACAAACAUGACAAAGAUCAAUCGAACAACUACAAACAUGUGGAGAGUGAGCAACAACUUUAGUCAAAAACAUACAAAUGCAAGGAAGGAAAAAGAGAAACAACAAUUUAAAAUAAAUGCUAAAAGGAAAUUAUUCAUUAAUCAAACUCUCACAACAUUUUCUUGUUUACAACUCCAAAGCCAAGACCCACAACUUAGACAAUUACACAGACACAUAAUUCAGAUUACACCAAACAUAACUUACUAAGGACUUUAAAACAACAGUUGAUCUGCAUGGACUUGUUUAACCAGAGAUAUCAAUUGCCUUCACCUCAGAUCUCUUCUCCUCUUCUUUAGGAACAGUUACAGUGAGCACUCCAUUCUCCAUAGCUGCUUUAAUUUCCCCCAUCUUCGUAUUCUCCGGCAGCCUAAAUCUCCUCAAAAACUUGCCACUGCUCCUCUCCAUACGGUGCCACUGAUCAUUCUUCUCCUCCUGCUCUCUGCUCCUCUCACCGCUUAUCUGUAAUAUCCUUCCUUCUU